ACAAGAGCUCAAUCCUUCAUCCCAAAAGAUGUACAGCAAAGAGACCAAUUGUCACAAAUGACAAAGGGAACUUACAGCGUGACAGCCAAGCAAGUGCCUUUUCCGAACUGUGUGGCACACAGACAUCAGGAGGAGCAACCAUGAGUAGCCAGUACUGAUGAAGUCCGGAUUUGCCAGCAAUGAAAAGCAGUCAGUGUUCUGCCUUAAGCAUACACGCCGUGUCAAGUAAAUGCUGCCUUUGUAGUUGCCAGAGCAAUAGCCACCACCAAUAACAACAAAAAUGAGGUAGCUGAGAGAGAACAGUGUGCCUACCACAGUAACAUCUCGUUUCCUAUGAUACUGAUUUUUGCUACAUUAAGUCUCUUGCAACGAAUGAUAAGAAAUUCACAUUGACUUUAUCAGAUCUACACUACUCAGAAUCUGACCGGGUUUACAUAGAAUUGACCAAGCUGCAUGUGCCCAACUCUCACAUACUUCUGUUCAAGAAGCCUUUAGUAAAUAAGAACAUAAAAGAAAAGCUUGACUCAGGCAGAUCUGGUUUGGAAUUCAAGCUCCAACACACUGGUUUUGCACUUUGGGCAAUUUGCUUAACAUCUUAAAGCACAAUUUUUCUAGUAUAAAAUGAGGGUAAUAAAAGUAUGACCUGAAAGUACCUCAUAAGGUUGUUCUCAGGAUGAAAUAAAAAAAAAAAUAUAUUCAAUGCUGGCUGGGAGCAGUGGCUCAUGCCUGUAAUCCUAGCACUUUGACGGGGCGGAGGCAGAAGGAUCACUUGAGGCCAGGAGUUCAACACAAGGUAGGCAACAAAGCGAGACCCCAACUCUAUUUAUUAAAUAUAUAUAUUUAUUCAAUGCCAUGCCAGGCACACAGUAAGCACUAUAUAAACAUAAGCAUACGUUGUUGUUAUGGUAUUUCAUUUUGCUGGUGUAGCUAUUCUACUUGCUUUAGGUAGGGUCAACAUCACAGAGGGUCAUAAAUUCCACACACAAAAAAGAAACAAUUCAAGCUGAGAAUUUAAAGUCGGAGCAACCUAUUUAUUGACAGACUACAGAUGAGGAGUAUAGAUUGGUCCCCAUUGCUGAACAUUAUACUUUAACGAGAAAUGUUAAAACAAACAAACAAAAAACUCUGAUUAUCCAUGUGCUACUGCUGCCUUCGUCUGAGCAUCUAUCUACAAAAAUUAUGGAGAAUAUGGGGAAAAAAGCUAAGAAAUUAAAGUAUUUAUUAAGUAACAGAAUGCCACCAUAAGAUUCACAUAUAUUAAAAAUCCUCUCCAAAUAUCAUCUGAUCAUCCACUGAUUAGAAACAAAGUUGACAGAAUGCAACCCUGAAUUUAACUUGUCUGAACUAAGACAGGACUGAUCCUUAAGCACUGACAGGCAAGUUCAAUGAAUCUACCUUUAGGACCAUAGGUUGAUAAAGGUAACUAAAGGCAGGGAGCAGUGGCUCACACCUGUAAUCCCAGCAUGUUGCGAGGCCGAGGUGGGCAGAUCGCUUGAGCCCAGGAGUUUGAGACCAGCCUGGGCAACAUGGUGAAACCCCAUCUCUACAAAAAAUACAAAAAAUUAGCCAGGCGUGAUGGUGCACACCUGUGGUCCCAGCUACUCAGGAGGAUGAGGUGGGAGGAUUGCUUGAGCCCAGAAGGUCGAGGCUGCAGUAAGCCAAGAUUGUGCCACUGCACUCCAGCCUGGGUGACAAAGUGAGACCCUGUCUCCAAAACAAAAAAAAAGAACAACGUUAUUUAGACUAUCCAAACAGGGACCCUGAAAAUACUUGGGUAAGUGCAUUUUGCUAAUCAAUUCUGACAAAAGAUAAUGGGGUGGAGGAAAUAACAUAGAGGCACUAUUAUUAAGACCUGACUCAUUACUUUCCUUCAAAUCUUACAAGGGAACAACCACAGAGUCACAGGAAUACUUCUUCCCACCUGUCAAUAACUUUACUCCAACCAACUCUUGUAAGAUUCCUACCUCUUCUCCUCAUCCCACCUUUGGCCAACUCUAGUCCAAUUCCUGCUGGGCAAUAAGAAAGGAAACAAGGUUAAAGCCUAUGGGAAAACAAAGAGGUCCCAAAACCAAAGCUUUCUAAUUAAAGCUUAAUGUCGCAUGAUGUGAGCAAUGAAAGGCAUGUUAGAUAAAUCUAGUACGGCUACCUCAAUUUAAUUGGGAAGGAAAUGGUAAAUGUUGCCUAGUCUCAUACAGCUAGUUAAGGGCACAGCCAGGCAGGAUUAGAACUUAAAACCCCUAUCUCCUAAUCCAGUGUUUUUCCUACUAUAUCAUUGAGAUCAGUUUUUAAAAGACUGUAUCAAUGAACUCUUCUCCUUUUUUACUAUAUAAUACUCAGAAUAUAAAAACAAAAUGUGGGCUGGGCAUGGUGGCUCACACCUGUAAUCCCAGCACUUUGGGAGGCUGAGGCGGGCAGAUCACCUGAGGUCAGGAGUUCGAGACCAGCCUGGCCAACCCAGGAGGUGAAGGCUGCAGUGAGCCGAGAUCGCACCACUGCACUCUAGCCUGGUGACAGAGCGAGACCCCGUCUCAGAAAAAAAAAAAAAAAAAAAAAAAAAGAUAAAAAAGAUCUUCACAAACAUUUUUAAAUGGUAAAAGGAAAGCAUGGAGGUGGGAGGUGUUUUUGCAAAUACAGGACUAUAAAGAUCCCUGCAAGAGCCAGAACCUAAACGUUUCUUAGAAACAGAACAGUGACUGGUUCACUGGGUCAGUAACCUUCAGACUCAGUAGAGAUCAAUGCACAGAUUUUGAAGUCAGGCUCUCUUGGGUUUGAAUCCAGUCAUGUCAUUUAAUAACUCUGGAACUUCAGGUAUAACCACUCUCUUAAUUUACUUAUCUCUAAAAUGGGAUAAUAACAUCUGAUUCAUAGAAUGAGAGUAAUAAAAAUCUUACUUCUAUUACUAUCUUUUGCUGCUUUUGAUAAUAUAAAGUAUCACAAACCCAAAGGACAUAAUAGUUAUAUAAGCAGCAAGUCAAAAUGACCCCAGGAAAGAUGCUUCAGCAGAAAGAGGCAGGAUAUCCAGCAUGUUAAACACUCCAUUCAAGCAAAGGAAGACGAAGGCUGAUCUACUGAAACUGACACCACUGCAGUUAUUAGUGAACAGAAGAAUCUCCACUGUAGGGCUAAAGUGAGGUGCUGGGAGAAUGACCAAGAAUACAGGAAGGAAGAAUCAUGAUGCCACAGUAAAGGGAGGGAAGGGAAGGAAGGGGAACAGAAAGCAGAGGCCAACAAAUAGUGUUCCUUGCUCAAACUAAACAGUUCUAUACUUUCAUUUAGAGUUAACUACUAAUAAUUAAAAAGAAAAAAGCAGAGAACAAAUGAGUUUGAAUACACAGCCUUCCCCUGGUCUUUGGCACAGCAGGGUUAAGCAUUCCUAAAGAUCAUAUAGUCUAAAAUGGAAUAUCACAAAGACCUCUACCACAAUACAUUGAAAUUGAUUAAGUGAAAGGAAAGAAGGCUGCUCAAUGGAUGUUUCCUUAUGGGCUAUGUAGCUUUGAUCAAGAGGGGCAGAGAUUCCAUAUCUACCCAACAGCAGAAUGCAGGUAAGCUCAAUGUCCAAGUGUUGUGAUCAGGCUUGGGCCAGGAUUUAUUCAAAGUCUCUCCAAAAUACUCCACUUGGAGACUACUCAAAACAAAGGAUCCUUCUAUUAAACAAGGAAGGGGUAUGAGGAGUGAAAGUGCGAGGUGGUGAGGGAGAUCAGAAACUUAAGCUGCUGCACACUGCGGCUCACACCUGUAUUCCCAGCACUUUGGGAGGCAGAGGCGGGAGGAACCCUUUAGCCUAGGAGUUGCAAACCCAAACAAACAACACAGUGAGACCCUAUCUCUGUGUUUAAAAAAAAAAGAAAGAAAGAAAGAAAAAAAAGAUCUUCACAAACAAUUUUAAAUGGUAAAAGGAAAGCAUGGGGGUAGGAGGUGUUUUUGCAAAUCUAGGUAUUUAGCUCAGGCUGUCUAAACUCACUUACCUAAGGAUGGGAUAACAAAAAUGCACACUGGCCAUGCUGCUCUAUUUUUCUCCCAUAAUGAAAAUAGUAACUUUCACAGGAAAGCCCUUGGCCCAGAUUAAUCUUGUUAUUAAAUACUAUUAAUACACUUACCAUAAAGGAAAAUAAAGUGAUUUGAAAAUGAUCCUAGCAAAGCCACCAAUAACAGAGCAGCCAAAUUAAUCCAGGAAUUGCAGACUUAAGCCUCAAAACUGGAUUAUCACCCUCAAUUCACUACUAUCCCAUGGUGUUCCCUUUGGACAUGCUCGUGCUUACAGCAACAGUUUUAUAUUGAAAAUAAAAGGAUCGGCUGGGCACAGUGGCUCACGCCUGUAAUCUCAGCACUUCGGGAGGCCGAGGCAGGUAGAUCACCUGACGUCAGGAGAUUGAGACCAGCCUGGCCAACACAGUGAAACCCUGUCUCUACUAAAAAUAUAAAAAUUAUCCGGGCUGGGUGGUGAGCACCUGUAAUCCCAGCUACUUGGGAGGCUGAUGUGAGACAAUCGCUUGAACCUGGGAGGCAGAGGUUGCAGUGAGCGAAGAUCACGCCACUGCACUCCAGCCUGGGUGAGAGAGCAAGACUCUGUCUCAAAACAAACAAACAAACAAAAAAGGAUCAAAACAAUAUUUUGGUGAACUAAAUAAAACCAGUUUGCUUUCUUGUCACCAAAAGGACUCUCUUUCCCACUCCUCACCAAUUCAAAGCAACACACCUGUACUCAUGAUAGAGGUGAAGGAAGGGAGAGGAGGGGUGAGCACACAGGUGUACAUGUGCCAAUGCACACUCAAUCACAAGCGUUUGUGUUAUGUGUGUUGGGGGAUCCUAUACUCCAUUUUAUCUUUAUAGCUGCCCCCUCAGGGACUCACAAUUAAUGUUAUGGAGUGUCAUACUAACUUUUAGAUUUAGAUAAUUUUUUUCUAGAAAUUUGACAUUAGAUGAACUGUAAGAGUUCAGAAUAUGAGCUCACCCUUCUGUCAAGUUGUUCAAUCUUCCUCAUUAAAAAAUGCACUGCCACCCAGGUGUGCUGGCUCAUGCCUGUAAUCCCAACACUUUGGGAGGCUGAGGCGAGUAGAUCACCUGAGGUCAGGAGUUCGAGACCAGCCUGGCCAACAUGGUGAAACCCCAUCUCUACUAAAAAUACAAAAAUUAGCUGGGCAUAGUGAUGUAAUCCCAGCUACUCAGGAGGCUGAGGCAGGAGAAUCGCUUGAACCCGGGUAGCAGAAGCUGCAGUAAACUGAGAUCGCACCAUGGCACUUCAGCCUGGGCAACAGAGAGAGACUCCAUCUCAAAAAAAAAAAAAAAAAAAAAAAAAAAAAAUUGGGAAGGAGUUAGACAUAUCAAAAGUCUAACUGAAGAAAAAGCCUAAAAUUAACCAUAAAAUUUGGGUUCAUUCCAAAACAAGUAGGCAAUUUUGCCCUAAAGCCUAAAUAAUUGCCAAAGGAAAAUAAACUAACAUUUAUAUGCUAUGCUAAGCACUUUCAUCUGAUUUAAUCCCCACAAGAACCCCAAUAGAUGGGUAAUAUUAUUCCAUUUCAUAGCUGGGGAACCUGUGGCUUGGAAAAAUUAAGUAACUUGCUCAUUAAGCUAAAAUUUGAACCUAGGACUUCCUGACUCCAAACCCUAUAUACUCUUUCUAUUAUAACCUUGCAAACUCACAAGUUUGUUAACAUAAAGGCAAAAGAGAAAAGUCAAAACUCCUAAACUACAAAAAUAUCAACUCGAAUUCUGCAUGGAGAAAAGUCAAACCCUCAAUUCAAUUAAGGACACAGGGUACUAUAUGUAUAUUUGAUUAAAAGCUUUCUCUGCAGAAAAUGAACUCUGGUUUCUUUUUAAAAAUAUUAAUCUCAAACUCCAGAAUUACCUCAAAAUCCUUUUGGAAAUGGGCUUAAUUCUACGCAGUUAAGACAGAAAAUAAGGAAGGCAUUUGAAAAAUGUUUGGUUAAAUAAUGAAUAAUCAAAUCCAGCACAGAGUUAUGGCUUCUGAAUCAGAAAACUAAAUUGCAAAUAGCCUUGCAUUUGGUAAAAUUACUUUCCUGAAGCCUGUUGUGAGUCUGCAAUUCUACCAAAAGUACAGAAACUAACCCAGAAAUAAAUUAUUAAAAAUUAGACUAAUUAAAAUAGGAAAACAUAGAUAACAGUUGGUGAUUUUAAGAAACUAUGAUGUAGCCAGGUGCGGUGGCUCACACCUCUAAUUCCAGCACUUUGGGAGGCCGAGGCAGGUGGAUCACCUGAAGUCAGGAGAUCAAGACCAGCCUGACCAACAUGGCGAAACCCCAUCUCUACUAAAAGUACAAAAAUCAGCCAGGUGUAGUGGUGUGCGCCUGUAAUCCCAGCUACUUGGGGGGCUGAGGCAGGAGAUCACUUGAACCCAGGAGGCAGAGGUUGCAGUGAGCGAGAUUGUACCACUGCACUCCAGCCUGGGCGACAGAGUGAGACACUGUCUCAAAAAAAAAAAAAAAAAAAUCUAUGAUGCAGGGCCAGGCAUGAUAGCUCAUGCCUGUAAUCCCAGCACUUUGGGAGGCCAAGGAGGGAAGAUUGCUUGAGCCCAGGAGUUCGAGACCAGCCUGGGCAACAAAGCAAGACCCUGUCUCUACAAAAAAUGAAAAACUUAGCCUAAAGUGAGGCACUGGGAAUGGUGGCACGCACCUGUGCUCUCAGCUACUCAGGAAGCUGAUGCAGGAGUAUCACUUGAGCCCAGGAGGUUGAGGCUGCAGUUAGCAAUGACAGCACUGCUGCACUCCAGCCUGGGUGACAAAGCAGGUCUCAAAAAAAAAAACAAAAAACAAAACAGAGAAACUCUGACGCAAAAGUCAAGAUUUAUUGUUUAAAAUAUAACCAAUUCAUAAAUACCAUAAAAGGCACAAUUACUUUAUAGGCCACCAAUCAAAGUACACUAUUAUUAUAGCAUUCUCUAAUGUAUCAAAUCAAUAUAAAACCUUUAAGAGAUUCCCUACUUAAUGAUUAGUGAAUCUUUAUCACCUUCCUGAAAAUUUUCUGAGUCUAAAUUUUUAACCAACUAAAUAUUCAACUACUCCUCAAAAACAUUUCUUUCAGAUGCUUUGUUUUAAUGCUGAUAAGGUACUAUUCUUGUUUACUGCCCAACUUCUAGAUUAACACUUACCAAUCCCACAAAACCUUAUCAACCUCCAAAGCCUACAUUUUGAAGAUGCAUCUGGAAAAAAAUAUCUAAAAAUUUAAAAAUAACACUAACGACAACAUCUAUUACCAGUUCAUCCCCAAAGAAGCUGAUUCUGGCUGCAUGGAGAAAAGGGUCACAUGAUCAUCAAGGGGACGGUGGGAAGUGGCUUCUUCCUGGGAAGCCCAGUACCCAAAAAGCCUCUCCCAGACAGGCUUCCCCUCUUCCUUAUUCACAAUGGGCCCUCCUUCAUGAAGAUGAGAGAGGGAAGGAAAGAAAGGGCAGCAAAUUAAGGCUCCAAUGCAUUCAGAAUUUACUCUUUCCCAUUCUCCCAUUCCAAAUACCUAUAGCACUUUCAGCAUGAGUAAUGAAGGUUUUAGAGAUUCUUCUCUGCAAAACAAUGGGUGGGGUGGGCAGAAAAGUGUGACUUCCCCAGUCCUGGAAUAAAAGCUGUGACAGGUAUCCCCCAUGUGGAGAGCACCGAUAAGCCAGGGAGGACUAGGAUGCUGUGUUCUCAUGGGUAUUGGGGGUGACCAGUACAAGGCCUGCUGAGGGUACUCAAAUCUGACUUUCCUUUUUUCUGUGCCUAAACCACCUACAUCACCAGGGUUGUGUCAGUUUACUGUGGGACUCUUCUCUGCUGGCUUAUCAGGCUGUAUGGCCACCAUGCUCCCAGUCCCUGCCACCAUGGCCUUGGUCCUCUUUAAUUUUUCCUUUAAGUAUUUAAGUGCUAUUUCCUGGGGAGGAAGGUCAAAGUAAAUAACCCCACUUCAUUAAAAUGACUGAGUCUUAAUUAAAGCGACUCAGUCCACCAAAAAAUAAUUUUUUAAAGAAAAAAAUAUAUGUAAAUAACAUAUGUAUAAAUGUACAUAUACAUAUACUUUAGAUUGAGAAAUGUCAGAGACAAAAUGUAGGCCAGGCACGGUGGCUCAUACCUGUAAUCCCAGCACUUUGGAAGGCCGAGGUGGCUGGGUCACUGGAGCUCUGAAGUUCGAGACCAGCCUGGCCAACAUGGACAGAUCCUGUCUCUCCAAAAGCUACAAAAAUCAGCUGGGUGUGAUGGCGCAUGCCUGUAGUCCCAGCUACUCAGGAGGCUGACGUGGGAGGAUCGCUUGAGCAUGGGAGGCAGAGGUUGCAGUGAGCCAAGAUUGCGCCACUGCACUACAGCCUGGGGGACAGCGUGAGACCCUGUCUCAAACAAAAACGAAAAUAAUCACCCUCCUCCUGAAAAAAGGAAAUUAUAAAUUUUAAAAGAAGAAAAAAGAGAUGAAAUCUGCAAUCUCCACACUCCUUUUUUUUUCCCCCUGUAAACAGAAGCUGCAAACUUUCUGCAUUAAGGAUGCUGAUGUGCUGCAAAUAGAUUAGUCAAGCUAAACCACAGCGGAGUGAGAAGGGGUAAUAAAAAGAAAGGCAGAAAGGGACUGUCUGAGCACGUACAUAUGAGUAUGAGUGUAUUACGAUUACAUUCUUAAUUCCAAGAGAUGAUUUGGGAUGAGUCAUUGUUUUGUACCAACAACAGUAAAAUUUCUGUCCAUUGUUACACAUAACAGAGAGUGGAUUCUGAGUGGUUAUUUUCUACAGAAAUUAAACGGAAAUUUUUUUUUUUACCCCGAACCAGAAAUUCUGUUGAGAUUGGUGAGAUUUACAAAGAAUUCAGUACCAUUUAUCAGCCAUGUGUUAGUACUGAGAGAAGCUGUUUGGGAUUUACUGAGGAUUCACAUAAAAAAUUCUGCAAGGUAUAGCUGAACAACUACCACAAAAUAAGGUUUCUGGCCAGGCAUGGUGACUCACGCCUAUACUCCCUUGGGAGCUUGGGGAGCUGAGGCAGAAGGACUGCUUGAGACCAGGAGUUCAAGACCAGCCUGGACAACACAGCAAGACCCCAUCUUUUAAUUUUUUUUAAUUAGGCAUGGUGGCAGUACCUGUAGUCCCAACGACUGUGGCACUCCAGCCUACGCAAUAGAGAGAAAGAGACUCCAACUCUUAAAAAAUAAAUACAUAAAGUUUCCUGCUUGGCGGUCUGGCUAUCAAUACAAGCCCAAUCUGGUUAUCCCCUAAACACUUUUUAUUUUCAGAAACAGGAUCUCACUCUAUCACUGACUGGAGUGCAAUGACAUGAUCACAGCUCACUGCAGCCUUCAUCUCCCAAGCUCAAGUGAUCCUCCCAGCCUCCCAAGUAGCUGGGACUACACGCAUGUACCCCCACACCUGGCUAAUUAUUUUUAUUUCUUUGUAGAGGCAGGGUCUCCCUAUGUUGCAGGCUGGUCUCGAAUUCCCGGACUCAAGCAAUUCUCUCAUCUCAGCCUUCCAAAGUGUUGGGAUUAUAGGCAUGAGCCACCAUGCCCAGUCCUCAAAUACUUUUUAGAAAAGUUUUUUUAAUGUUUUCAAUGAUGCCAGGCAGCACCAUUAUAUUGGAGCAUAGAGGGCAUCCUAAAGCCAAUGGCCCCUGCUUGGCUUACAGAAGAACUAGAAUCUUCAUUACACCAUCAUACUUGUAACUGUUAACUUUUCCAAAGCUGUAUUUGACCUUAUGUUUGAAGAAGGCUUUCCAUACUUUAACUUCAGACUACUUUUUCAUCAUCUUCUAAUGCUAAACUGAUUCAUCUUCUGUCCCUAAAAAUGACCUGUACUUUGCUAUUUCCGUAUCCUUGCUUACACUGCUCUGUCCACAAUUCCCUCUUUCCCAUUUUUCUCCAUACAUAGAAACAAUCCUUCUCACUGCUCAAUCCUAGCUCACCCUGGUAGCCUUCCUUCUUUGACUACCUCAGUCAACAAAAGGUUCUCUGUCCAUCCUCACAAUCUCUAUAAUAGUAAUUGUCCAGAUCUCUCAAUUGGGCACUUAGGGAAACAAAACAACAAAUACUAUAUUUUCACUGACUCAUAAUAUAUUGAAAUUCUUAGGGUUUUUUUUUUUGCCAUUACUGCUUUUUUUUUUUUUUUUUUUUGAGACAGAGUCUCGCUCUGUUGCCCAGGCUGGAGUGCAGCGGCGUGAUCUCGGCUCACUGCAAGCUCUGCCUCCCGGGUUCACACCAUUAUCCUGCCUCAGCCUCCCGAGUAGCUGGGACUACAAGCGCCCGCCAUUUGCCAUUACUUUUAAUGGCAAAAACCACAAUUACUUUUACACUAACCUACAGAAGAGCCCUUAAAAGUUAUUAGAAUAGUAGGUACCCAACUUUUUAAUCACCAAAGAUAGUUUCUGUUAUUUAAUACCUUCCCCCUACUCCUACCACUCUUUGGUUUCUAAGUUAAAGUCAGAAGGCCAUGUUAUUUAAAACUUUGUAUAAGGUCAGGCACAGUGGCUCACGCCUGUAAUCCCACCACUUUGGGAGGCCAAAGUGGGCAAAUCACCUGAGGUCAGGAGCUCGAGACCAGCCUGGCCAACAUGGUGAAACCUCGUCUCCACUAAAAGUACAAAAAAUCACCAGGGCAUGGUGCCACACGCCUAUAAUCCUAGAUAGGCUGGGACCCACUUGAACCCAGGAGGCAGGGGUUGCAGUGAGCCAAGCCUGUGCCACUGCACUCUAGCCUGGGCGUCAAGAGUGAAACUCCAUUUCAAAAAAACAUAAAAAAACUUUGUAUACCAAACUGGGAUUAUCAAUAAACGAAGUGUAUUUUUUUGAAAAACUAAGUUAAAACUUUUAUUGUAAAUCAAAGCUGUUAAACUCAGUUCUCACACAGAAAGGACACACGACUCCAGUUAAAAGCAAAGAUAUUUUAUUUUUUGGUUAACCUGUGUGGCAUCACCAUGGCUAAAAAUGUAUACUUUUAGCUUUAAAAAAAAAAUGCUUCCAGUGCUAUCUACUCAGACCCCUUAUCAAUCUGAGGAACCAAAAUCAAGAACUACAUACUUAAGCCAAUCCCUUAUUUUACUGAUAAAACUGAGACCCAGAGAAGGAAAGGAGAUUUCUAAAAUCACAAAGGUGGUGUCACAGCCAGGUCCCCAAAAGGACAUGGAUAUAAGUCUCCAGAUUCUGAGGGGGGGGGGGGGAGGGUGUGUGUGUGUGUGUGUGUGUGUGUGUGUGUGUGUUUUAUUUCUUUUUUUCUUUUCUUUUUUUUUUUUUUUUUUUUUUGAGACAGGAUGGUCUUGCUCUGUCACCCAGUCUGGAGUGCAGUGUUGUACUCACGGCUCACUGCAGCCUCAACCUCCUGGGCUCAAGUGAUCCUCCCACCUCAGCCUCCCAAAAUGCUGGGAUUACAGGCAUCAGCCACCAGGCCCAGUCCAGUCAGUGUUCUUUCUAUUACAUCGUGCUGAUGCCAAGGGCCUUACUUACACAAACAGAAUGUUGAUUAUUUUAGGGCAGGAACCAAGUCUUACAUCUCUUAGUAUCUACCACUGACUCUUCUACAUAGCUGAAGUCACAAUAAAUAUUUGUUUACUAAUUACAUAUAAUCAACUAAUACCUAGUUAUCUAAUAAUUUUAGCCCUUAAGAAAUCUAAAUGUGAAAGGCAAAGCAAUAAAACUUUUAGAAGAUAAUAUUAGAGAUUAUCUUUAUGACUUUAUGUCAUAACUCACAGAAAGCACUAAUCAUACAGAAAAAAAGAUUAAAUUUCAUUACAACAUUAAAAUUAAGAAUUUAUUUAUCAAAAGACACAACUAACAGGGAAAAGACAAGCUACAGAGGGGAAAAAAGAUAUCUGUAACAAGUACAAUAAAAAAAAGGGGGGCUCAUCUCCAAAAUAUAGAGGGAACUACCGGCCAGGUAUUUCCUCAACAAUUUAUUAACAAAUAAGAUUUGUAUAUAUUCAAGGCAUACACCAUGAUGUUUUGAUAGAUGUAUACAUUAUGCAAUGAUUACCAUAACCUAACCAAUUAACAUGAAGAACAUUCUUUUCAUUUUAUUUUUUAAAUUAAAACGAUUUUUAAGUGGGUAGUUCACACCUGGAAUCUCUCACUUUAGGAGGCCGAGGCAGGUGAAUGGCUUGAGCCUAGGAGUUUGAGACCAGCCUGGGCAACAUGGCAAGACCCUGUUUCUACUAAAAAUAUGAAAAUUAGCCGAUCACGAUAGUGUGCACCUUUAGUCCCAGCUACUCAGGAGGCUGAGGCAGGAGGAUCACUUGAGCCCAGGAAGUUGAGGCUGUAGCAAGCUGUGAUCACGCCACUGCACUCCAGCCUGGGCAAAAGAGCAAGGCCCUGUCUCCAAAAUACACAAAAGUUUUUAAUUUAAAAAAAAUUUUUUUAAGAACUACCACAAGUCAAUAAAAGACAAAUAACCCAAAAGAAAAAUGUGCAAAAGACUUGAAUAUCACAGCUAAUAAACUCAUGAAAAGGUGCUCCUAUUGUUAACCAGAGAAAUGCAAACUAAAACCACAAUGAGAUACCACUAUAUUCCUACUACAUUAGGAAUUUUUAAUUUAAUUAUUUAAAUUUUAAAAUUUUAAAUUUAGAAGUUGACAACAGCAAGUGUUAGAGAAGAUCUGAAGAAAUGGGAACUCACCUAUACUGCUGGUGAGUACCUUAAACUGCUAUAACCACUUUAUUUAUUUAUUUUUAUUUUUUAUUUUUGGAGACAGAGUCUCGCUCUGUCACCCAGGCUGGAGUACAGUGGCACGAUCUUGGCUCACUGCAACCUCCACCUCCUGGGUUCAAGCAAUUCUCCUGCCUCAGCCUCUGGAGUAGCUGGGAUUACAGACAUACAACCCCAUGUCCAGCUAAUUUUUUUUUUUUUGAGACGUUGUUUCACUCUUAUUGCCCAGGCUGGAGUACAAUGGCACAAUCUCAGCUCACUGCAACCUCCGCCUCCUGGGUUCAAGUGAUUCUCCUGCCUCAGCCUCCCAAACUAAUUACAGGCAUGUGCCACCAUGCCCAGCUAAUUUUGUACUUUUAGUAGAAACGGGGUUUCACCAUGUUGGCCAGGCUGGUCUCGAACUCCUGACCUCAGGUGAUCCGCCCACCUCAGCCUCCCAAAGUGCUGGGAUUACAAGCGUGAGCCACCGUGCCCAGCCUACAACCACUUUAGAAAAAUGUUUGACAGGCUGGUCCUAUGGUAGUGGGUUAUCAGAACUUAUUAACUUUAGUGUCACUAAAGUUGGUAUACAACCCCCCAUUGCUAAAUUUGACUGGCUUUUAAAAAAGAAAAAAGUUGGGCAGUAGCUAAUAAACUGAAGAUAAAGAAAUCCUGGCUAGGCAUCAUGGUUCACAUCUGUAAUCCCAACACUUUGGGAGGCCAAGGCAGAUAGAUCACUUGAGGCCAGGAGUUCAAGGCAAGCCUGGCCAAUGUAAUGAAACCCCGUCUUUACAAAAAAUACAAAAAUUAGCCUAGUGUAAUGGUGUAUGCCUGUAAUCCCAGCUACUCAGGAGGCUGAGGCAGGAGAAUCGCUCGAACCCAGGAGGCGGCCCUUGCAGUGAGCCGCGAUCACGCCACUGCACUCUAGCCUGGGCGACAGAGAGAGACUCUGCGAAAAAAAAAGGAAGGAAGGAAGGAGGGAGGGAGGGAGGGAGGGAAGGAGAGGGAGGGAGAGAGGGAGGGAGGGAAGGAAGGAAGGAAGGAAGGAAGGAAGGAAGGAAGGAAGGAAGGAAGGAAUCCCAUGACCUAUCUAUUUUUGGGUAUAUCCCCAACACAAAUAUGUGCUGAGAUGUGCCAGAAUAAACACAUAAGAAAGUUCUUGAGCUAAGCACAGUGGUUCAUGACUGUAAUCCCAGCUAAUUGGGAGGCUGAGGCAGCAGGAUAAUCUGACACCAGGAGUUCAAGACCAGCCUGAGCAAAACAGCAAGACCCUGUCUCCGAAAAAAUUGUUUUAAUUUAAAAAAUAAAAUAAUGUUCUUUAUGUUAAUUAGUUAGGUUAUGGUAAUCACUGCAUAAUGUAUAUAUCUAUCAAGACAUCAUGGCGUAUACCUUGAAUAUACACAAAUUUUGUUAACUGUACGUCAAUAAAGCUGGGAGGGUGAGGAAAUGUUCUCAGCUGCAAAUUCAUAGUAUCCCCAAACAGGAAAACACCCACAAAUGUCCACCAACAAUAGAAUGAAGAAAUAGUGGCAUAUUCAUGCAGUGGAAUACUAUACAGCAAUGAAAAAGAACAAACUACUGCUACACAUAAUAGAGAAAAAUAUAAAACAGGAUGUAAGAAGCUGAUACAACAGAAUACAUAUUGUGUAAUGCCAAUUAUAUAACGCUAAAAACUAGGCAAACUAUAUUGUUUAAAGAUGCUUGUUUAGGAAGUAAAUCAAUAAAGAAAAGCAAAGAAUUAGCUGAGUGCAAUGGCACGUGCCUAUAGUCCCAGCUACUUGGAAGGCUGAGGUGGGAGAAUCACUUCAGGCCAGGAGGCCAAGGCUGCAGUAAGCCAUAAUCAUGCCACUGCACUCCAGGGUGACAGAGCAAGAUUCUGUCUCUAAAAAAAUAAUAAUAAAUAAGAAGAAGAAAAAGAAGUGAAUAUCAAAAAGUUAGCAUGUUGAUUGGACACAGCACACAAAAAGCUGGCUCCUAGGCAUGCUAAAAAUGUUCUAUUUCUUGAUCUGUGUGUUGUAUAUAGGAGUAUUUAUAACAGCUCAUUAAGCUGUGUAUUUUAUUAUACACUUUUCAGUAUACCUCUUUUCUUUCAAAACAAAAAGGUUUUUGAAAGUGCUAAGCACAGGCCUAGUACAUAGUAAACAUUCAAUAAAACAAAUGUUUUUUUAAGGCAAGAUACUAUCAAAUUGGUGUAACACACAUUGAAAGAAUCAAAGUACCUGUGAGUAUGAAGAAGUCACACAUGAAGUAAAAGUCAUUUACUCCUGAUUAGGUCAUCAUUCUAGUAGAAAAAAAACUGGUUAUACAACUCCUUUGCACCUAAAGGAGGUAGGAUCUACAAAUCCUAUAAAUGAGAAAGGUCGUAUGGAUUUCAAUUAGCUACUUGGAAUUGAACAAAUUAAUCUCUAUAAAUCUCAGUUUCCUCAUCUGUCUGAGAAAAUACCUGUCUAGAUAGCUUAUCAUGAGGUUCAAAUUAAACAAUAUUUGUAAAAACACUUUAUGAAUGGCAAAGUACCAAAUGUAUAGCAUUAUUAAUAUACUAUUACAUGACAUGAUUUUAGAUAUAAAUAAAUCGAGCAUGAGAGGAAAUACCAUAGAACAUGAAAAUACGAACACUUCAUAUCCUGCUUUUCAUUUAGGAUUUGGAAAACACGAUGUCCCUAAAUUGGUAUAAAAUCUUCGGGGGUAAUAUGAGAACAGAGGAAACCCCAGAUAAUGUGAAAAUUGAGUAACAGCUUGGGGGGAAACCCGCAGCUGAUAUCUCAACACAGUUGUCCCUCGGUAUACUGGGGGACUGGUUCCAGGAAGGACCCCUGAGUACACCAAAUUACACACACACUCAAGUCCUGCAGUCCCCCGAGGAACCUGCAUAUACAAAAAGUUGGCCCUCUGUACAGACAGGUUUCACAUCCUGCAGAUACCACUGUUUUGAUCAGCAUUGGGAUGAAAACAAAUCCACAUAUAAGUGGAUUGUUUUAAAAAGAAAAAACGCAGCUCAAACCUGUGUUGUGCAGGGGUCAGCUCUACAACAGCAUUCACUAAUUCUGACCAAAUGACAGUUCCAAAAGAGAACUCCACCCUUAAAAUACUGUUGACUUCAUCCUAAACUGGAUUAUCUUUGAUGGCAGGAACUAAUCUAAAUCAUCUUCAUGAGAUGCUUUAGGUGUAACACAAAUGGAACAGGAAGGAAAGAGCUCCAAACCAGCCUAAUUAACUGCAGUCCACAGCAAGUGGGCAAAUGUUGCUGGGAAGGAGGCAAGAAGAAGAAAUGCUAUGGCCAGAACACUCAGAAAAUGGCAACUCUAAACAAGACUGAAUUAUUGUAUCAUUGUUUUUAUUUUAUUUUAUUUAUUUUUUUUUUUUGAAACAGUUUCACUCCGUCACCCAGUCUGGAGUACAGUAGUGCAUCUCAACUCACUGAAACCUCCACCUCCUGUGUUCAAGUGAUUCUCCUGCCUCAGCCUCCUGAGUAGCUGGAAUUACAGGCGCCUGCCACCAUGCCCGGCUAAUUUUUGUAUUUUUAGUAGAGAAGGGGUUUCACCAUGCUGGCCAGGCUGGUCUUGAACUCCUGACCUUAGGUGAUCCACCCGCCUUGGCCUCCCAAAGUGCUGGGAUUACAGGGUGAGCCACUGCACCUGGCUUUUAUUGUAACUUUUUUUUUUCCCUUAGAGACAGAGUCUUACUCUGUGGCCCAGGCUGGAGUGCAGUGGCAUGAUCUCAGCUCACUGCAACCUCCACCUCCCGGGUUCUAGCAAUUCUCCUGCCUCAGCCUCCCAAGUAGCUGGGACUACAGGUGCACACCGCCACACCUGGCUAAUUUUUCAUAUUUUAGUGGAGACAAGGUUUCACCGUGUUGCCCAGGCUGGUCUCGAACUCCUGAGCUCAGGCAAUCCACCCACCUCAGCCUCCCAAAGUGCCAGGAUUACAGGGUGAGCCACCGCACACGGUCUUUAUUGUAACUUUAUUUUUUUCAAUUGUAACAUUUUAAAGGAAAUGUAUAUAUCACAGAAUUUCAGAAAGGGAAUGGACACCAAUACAAGUACUAAUUUUACAAAUGAAGAAAUGUGAAGCCUCAAGAGUAGAACUGACCUACUGGUUACAGUAAGUAGCUGUUUUAUGAGUAAAUAAUUACUAAGUAAAUUUUAAAAGUAAAAGUCUUGUAAUAAACAGUCACGGCUCAUUAACAAAGCUCCAUAAAAACUGAAAUCUCCUCAUCUCCUGCCAAUAUUUAAACUUGGCAGUCAACCCCUUCUUUUUUUUUUUUGAGACAGAGUCUCGCUGUUUCCCAGGCUGGGAUGCAGUGGCGUGAUCUUGACUCACUGCAACCUCUGCCUCCCGGGUUCACGUGAUUCUCCUGCCUCAGCCUCCUGAGUAGCUGGGACUACAGGCGCGUGCCACCACGCCCGGCUAAUUUUUGUAUUUUUUAGUACAGACGGGAUUUCACCGUGAAUCCAGGAGGCGGAGGUUUCAGUGAGUUUAGAUACACCACUGUACUUCAGAUUGGUCAACAGAGAGAGACUCCGUUUAAAAAAAAAGAAAAAAAGGAAGAGAAAAGGAAAGCAAAUAAAACAGUUUAUUGAUACUAUUGAGCCAUAAGGAGCUACACUAUUUGUACUUGAAAGAUAACAGCCAUUCAAAGCUGUACCUUCCCCAAAGAAAAGCCCCACCUCAACCACAUCAACUGCUACUAGCUAAAUAAAAACAUACAACCUUCCAAACCCGGGGUUUGACGAAUGAGCCAGAUGAAACUACACAUUCAUUUGCUCGAAAAAGUAAGUGUAACAGCCAACUCAGCCGUUUAUCAGAAGGCACAGGCCCUUGAGAAGAGCAUCAUGGGUCGCGGUGAUAUUUGUAUGUGUAUAUGUGCAUAUAUAUAUACACAUACAUAUAUCUCCAUGGUUCCUGGCUUAAAGCUCCUAUAUAACCCUUGUAAUUUCCUAAGUGACUUUGGUUAAAAUACUGUAUUCGGCCUCUUGCCACUGGUUCCUGAACAGCUCCAGAGUGAUAAAAGCAAAAGACAGUCUUUUGCUAUUUAUAACAAGCCCCUUUCAACCACACCUGAGCUUAUGUUAAUGAGAUGAUUUUUGCAAAGUCCCUAGAUAACCACAGGACUGGUGGCCAAUUGCCAGGGGAAUCAACCCUGUGCUCAUACAGUUAGAACUCAAAACCCCACCCUCAACCUCCAGGGAAAGGAGAGGGGCUGAAGGUUGCACUGAUAACCAAUGGCCAAUGACUUAAUCAAUCAUGCUUACCUAAUGAAGCCUCCAUAAAAACCUAAAAGGGGGCAUCCAGGAGAGUGAAGAGGAACACAUCCACUUGCUGGGAGGGUGAGGCACCCCAGCUCUACCGGGAUGGAAGCUCCUGCGUUCAGUACUCUUCCAGGCUUUGCCCUGGGUAUCUCUUCAUCUGGCUGUUCACUUGUGUCCUUUAAAACAUCCUUUCUAAUGAACUGGUCAGUAUGUUUCCUGAGUUCUGUGAGCCACUCUAACAAUUUCAUGGAACCCAAUAAGGGGAUAUUGGGAAACCAGUUUAUAGCCAGCAGGUCAGAAGCACAGGUAAAACCACCUGGAGCCUGUGACUGGCACUGAAGACUGGGGACAGACUUGUGGGACUGAGCCCUCAAUCUGUGAGAUCUGACGCUAUCUCCAGGUAGACAGUGUCAGAACUGAACUGAACUGAACUGCAUUAGAGGACACCAGCUGGCAGCUGCUGCAGAACUGGUUGACUGCUUGGUGUGUGGGGACACACUCCCACACAUUUGGUCACAGAAGUAUUUUGUGUUGAGAGUACAGGAGAAACCAAUUCUGUUAUUCCUAUAUUCUAGGAGUCAUCCACAGUCAUUCGAGCAGUUUCUACACGAGAGAAGAAAGUCUACUGCAUCGUAGUAAAAAAUAAACAUUAAACCUUCAGAACUAUUUGCACAAAAGAAAAAUGGAAUCACAGGUCAGGUGGGGAAGGAGUGGUGCUUAUCAAAGGUCAGCCACUUAGUACAAAUUUGCUAAACUGCCUUGGUCAGAGCACAUUGUCAGAACCCCACUCUUUCCACAGAAUUUUCCAAACAUUAACCCAUGUCCGUAGCACGCUGAUGAGGUAAAUGAUGUUUUACAGAUAGGGAGGAACAAAAAAGUGAGGGCCUGGCUGAGCCAAUAUUCUCUCUGCCUUUUAGUUAGCAUACAGAUCUCUGUUUAUUAUUCUAGAAAGCUGUUCUCAAUUUCACACAUAGGGGAUUAUGUUUUAAGAUGUAAAGUCUAUAUAAGGGCUGCUUUGCUUACCACUAUCUUUGUCAACCAUUAUCAAAAACUCCAUUAAUUAAGCUAGGCACCAUGGUGUGCACCUAUAGUCCCAGCUACUCAGGAGGCUGAAGCAGGAGAAUCCCCUAGGAACUCGAGUCCUGUCUGGGCAACGUAACAAGACGUCAUCUCUAAAAAAACAGAAUAAAAUAAAAUAAAUCUGGGCACAGUGGCUCACACCCAACACUUUGGGAGGCCGAGGCAGGAAGAUCAUUUCAGCCAACGUGUUUGAGACCACCCUGGAUAGCACAGUGAGCCUCUGUCUCUACAAAAAAAAAAAAAAAAAAAAAAAAAAAAAAAAACCUAAAAAUAACAAAAUAACAAAUAAAAAAUAAAAAUAAUCCAUAAAUUAGUUAAGAAACCAGCUUUUGAGCACCUUCUACCUGUAACAACAGGCCUGCCUACAAAGAAAAUAUUAGUUUUAAGUAAAUCCUACUUUAUUUUAUUCUACCCAUUGCUACAGAAACAAAGAUCUGAUCAUUUUGUAGUUGGGUAUGUCAAAAUCUUUUUAUUAUACAAGUAAAUGUGUCUAGAGAUUGACUGGAAAGAGGCACAAGGGAACUAUCUGGGAUAUAGAGAUUUUCUCUAUUGAUUAAGGUGGUGGUUAUAAUAAUUCAUCAAAUCUCAUUAAACUGUAUAUUUAAUAUCUAUGCAUUUCCUGGUAUAUAAAUUUUACCUAAAAAGUUUAAGAGUCAAAGACAAUUAUUUAAUAGUGAAACCCCUGAGUUGGGAAACACAAAGGGUAAACCCCAUAUAAUUAAAAAAAGACAAAAAGCCUAACUGAAAAAACAUAUUCUUUCCUUUGGUCUACAUUUCAACUUCUGUGUACUGAUUAAUUCUUGAAAAAUCAAAUACCCAUGGGGCUUUCAUAACACCACUAAGCAGAAAGGAGAGGGUCUCAGGGCAGAGUGGACACUUUCAUCUGCCUGUGAGCAUAUAAACCACAUUCAUCAACUAGAGCUGCCCCAUCCAUCAGCCAAAGCAAAAACAAACUGUCCUUGUGUCAAAACGCAACAUAGAAAGUCACCCUGUGAUAUCUCCUCUGAGACGGGUUAAGAGAAGAAGAAAUGAAUUGAAAUCUCAUUUAUAACCACACGGCCUAAAUUAGUCUCUCAUAGUCAUCAAUGAGAUGCUUAUCAGAUUGUGGAGGGCAAGGGAGGAAAUGUGAAGAAGUUAAAAAAAAAAAAAAGGUACAAAUGUAAGUAACUAAUAUUGUAAGUGAAAAACCCACUUCCAUCUUACCACACAGGUUUAUUUUGUUCAGAAACAAACGCAAAGUGAAUACAUAACUGGAUCUAUUUCAAGGGUUAAUAUAAUAAAAAUACCUUUACUCUGGAAGCAAAAAGAGUUCCUUCUUGAUAGAAAUGCCAGGUUUAACCAUUGGCAGAUUGUAGAAAACACAAAUGACAACUAAGAUAACUAGUGUGGGCUAAACAAUAACAUUUUCACUUUUUGAAAUAACUCCAAGGCAACUCCAAAGUCAAUCAUUCUUAUUAGCAGUUGUUGAGGCCCAGAAACCGAUACCUCAAAAUAUGGCACUUUGACAUGCUGAACUGUACAAUCCUCAAGGCCUCUCUGACCAUCCCCUCACCACCCCCAAAGCACAGGGAGAAGUUGUUCUCUGAAGUUCCCUUAUCUGCCUAAAUCUGGACCUGCCAAAGAAGAAAAUAGUUAUCUCUGUCCCUUCCCCGAGUUUUCAUUAACUGAACUAAUAUUGCAGGAAGAGAGACUGAAGUAUGUCAAUACACCUGAUGAUUUUUUUUUUUUUUUUUAGACAGGGACUCACUCUGUCGCUCAAGCUGGAAUCACAAUCACAGCUCACUGCACCCUUGACCUACUGGGCUCAAGUGAUCCUCUAGUCUCAACCUCCCUGGUAGAUGGGACUAUAGUCAUGUGCCACUAUGCCCAGCUAAUAUUCUUAAAAACAAACAAACAAACAAACAAACAAACAAAAAAAAAAAAAUAUAUAUAUAUAUAUAUAUAUAUUGCACACUGCACUAUGCCAGUGCUUGGGAGUAACUUUUAUCUUUUUUUUGACACAGGGUCUCUCUGUGUCACCCAGGCUGGAGUGCAGUGGCGCAAUCUCACCUCACUGCAACCUCCGCCUCUAGGGUUCAAGUGAUUCUCCCACUUCAGCCUCUCAAGUAGCUGGGAUUACAGAUGUGCGCCACCGUGGCAUAACUAAUUUUUUGUAUUUUUAGUAGAGACGGGGUCUUGCUAUGUUGGCCAGGCUGGUCUUGAACUCCUGGCCUCAAGUGAUUCACCUGCGUUAGCCUCCCAAAGUGCUGGAAUUACAGGCAUGAGCCACCACACCCGGGCCUGGACAGACUUUUGUCACAAACCACUAUCUGCUCUGUAGGCCCAAAAAACUUUGUCCCAGACCACUGUAUAUUCUCCAAGCCCACUGAAUAACUUUAAAAAUCAUUUACUAGCCCUGUAAAAUCAUCCAUACCUCCCCAUCUCCCUUCCUCUAAAAACAAGGGUACAUAAGCAUCUGUACCCCACUGGGUUGUGGGCAAUCUCUCUGUGAUUUUCCUCCAUACAUGUUAAUAAAAAUGUUUAUGCCUUUUCUCCUAUUAAUCUGACUUUUGUCAGUUGAUUUUCAGCUAACCUCAAAGGCGGAAAGGAAAACUCCCCUUUCACUCCUACACAGUCUUUAAAAAAAAAAAAAAAAAGCAUUACCAAUAUUGGCUGCAUAAAUAUACUAAUAAUAACACAUGCUCAUUUCUGCCAUUGUGCCUCUUUUCCCUAAAGAUUACUAAAAAUAGCCACCUUAGCAAAGAAGAAUAAAGACUAUCUUGGAAGAUAAACAGGGCUUCAAUAAUGCCCCAUAACUCUAAACUGAUGUAAGCCUGCAACAGCUGUAAAGUCAUCAGGGAUUCAUCAGGUAACACCACCAAAGUUAAGGUUGCAAUAUUUUACAAACUCACAGGCUGAAAAAUUCCUUAAAAACCAUCUGGCUGGGCAUGGUAGCUCACACCUGUAAUCCCAGCACUUCGGGAGGCCAAGGCAGUUUGUUUGCUUGAGCUCAGGAGUUCAAGACCAGCCUGGGCAACAUGGCAAAACCCCAACUCUACCAAAAUAUACAAAAAUUACCCAGGCGUGGUGGCAUGUGCCUGUAGUCCCAGCUACUUAGCAGGCUGAGGUGGGAGGAUCACUUGAACCCAGGAAGCGGAGGUUGCAGAGAGCUGAGAUCAGCGCCACUGCACUCUAGCCUGAGUGACAGAGUGAGACCCUACCUUAAAAAAAAAAAAAUCAUCUAAUGCAGUAGUUUGCAAGCUUUAAGUAGCUAUGGAAUUCUACCCCAUUCUUUAAAAAACAAAAACAAAACCUCAAAAGUUUAUAUCAGAUGUCUUUCCACUUUCUUUUUGUCCAGUCAUACUAAAGGGACACAAACUCAUCCAUCGGUAAUAACAUGCAGUAGUUUCUCAACUGUCAAUGAGCAACUACUACCUCACUCAGUGUGGAUACUCUGGUGCAAAGCUAAGCACCUUUCCCUAUAUUUCAAUCUUCAUUCCACAAGCAAACCUGGAGGCCACUCAAAAGAAUCCUAAGACUCUCUGUAAAUGUAGCUUGAAAAAAAUCACUGAUCCGGUCCAACCCCCUUAUUUCAUAACUGAUACCCAUAAAAGUAAAAUGAGAGACAGCAUGGUAUGACUGAAAGGAAAGUGAUAAAAAUCAAUGCUAGUUCUAGCCCUUACCGGUAUGUGACCUUGAGCAAAUCUCUUAAAGUCUUUGAAUUUUAGUUUCCUCAUCACAAAAUGUGAAUAAUCAUAUCUAUGCCCAAUACAAUUUUUUUUUUUUGAGACAAGAUCUCGUUCUGUCACCCAGGCUAGAGUGCAAUGGCACAAUCUCAGCUCACUGCAACUUCUGCCUCCCAGGCUCAAGCCUCUGGAGUAGCUGAGACCACAGGCAUGUUUCACCACACCCAGCUACUUUUUUGUGUUUUUGGUAGAAACAGAGUUUCACCAUGUUGUCCAGGCUGGUCUUGAACUCCUAAUCACUCAAGUGAUCCACCUGUCUCAGCCUCCCAAAAUGCUGGGAUUACAGAUGUGAUCCACCACACCCAGCCUAUACUUUCUUUAAAAGUGCUCUGCAGACUGCAGAGCAUUAUAUAAAUUAAGGUUAUUAUUUUUAUUGUUAGGUGAUUAUUAACCAAGAUGACGUGGUGAGUCAAGUGCACAGUCAGACCUGGAACUCAAAUCCCCUGACUACCUCUCUAAGGCUUUUUCCACAACUUUAUGUAACACUUGUGUUCAAUACUAAGCCAUUGUUAUCAAAUUCUCAAAUUUGGGUUUUAUACUAACCAUUUGUAUUGAAAAAAAAUGGUGCCAUGCAUAAAACAAAAUCCUUUAAGAUUACAUGAAAUAAAUGUAAACCCAAGGAAUUGAUGGUCUAUCCAAGCCAAAAGGGGGAAAUGUAGAUAAAGGAUAUACAGUCGUGCACCAUAUACCAACAGAGGUCCUGUAAGAUGAUAACGCUGUAUUUAUACUGCACCUUUCCUGUUUAGCUGUGUUUAGAUACACAAAUACUUAACCGUUGGGUCACAACUGCCUACAAUAUUGAGUUAGGAAAAUGCUGUAUAGGUUUGUAGCCUAGGAGCAACAGACCAUACCACAUAGCCCUAGGUGGGUAGUAGGCUAUACCAUCUAGGUCUGUGUAAGUACACUCUUAUGAUGUUCCCACAAGGAAACAAUCACCUAAUGAUGCAUUUCUCAGAAUGUAUCCCCAUCGCUAAGCAGUGCGUGACUAUACUUGCAUUCUACAAUAUGAUAUAUCAUGAAUGGUUGUUAAGGCACUAAUGAAACAAUUUUGACCAUUCUGAGCUGCUGUGUACUAUUGACAUGCUGAAGAAAACCAAAAAAGCCCAUAAUGUGGCUAAAUAAGAACUUCAGCAUGUACAUAUUGAUCAGAACCCAACUAUGAUUUUUAACAAUUAAAAAUGUCCCAAAGCAAAACAUGGUUGAACCUCCAGGUCAGAUGUAAAUAUAAUUUGAUGAAGUCAUCUAACCUACAAAUUACAUAUUAAUAAAUGACUGAAUGGGCAUACCUCUGCCACAAGCCUUACGUGGACAAUGAAGAGAAGGCUGGUGCUGGCAAUUUAGUGCUCUAGUGUCUACCAGCUCUCCAGCUGCUAAGCUGUCCCUUUCAUCAAUCUAAAAUGAGUCAUCAUUGUUUCACCCGUCUAAAGGGCAAGGCAAAAACAGUGAAAUUAAGAAACUCCAUGGAAAAAAGAAUGGAGAAAAUAAAGCCAGAGAUGUCAUUAAAUGUAAUACAAGUAAGGGGGUAAAAACAUAUUAUUCAAGGAAUUUCUAGGGCUAAUGCAAAGCUACUUCUUACGGAAAACUUGGAAAAUACUACCAACGUAAUUUUGUUUCAGAACACAAGAAUUUUUUCUAAAAAGUUGUGUUUAUAAGCUCAUGCAUAUUCAUAAAGUGAUUCAUUUGGUAGGAACAUACAGUCAUCCAGAUGCGAUGAAAAAGCAACAGCUUUAAAUGCUCAAUCUACCCAUCAGACUUAAAGGUUAUAGUAGCAUUUCUUGAAAACACAUUAGUCAUCUCUGCUCUAACUAUACAUCUCUGUAGAGAAAACAUGGAAAACAGGGUUGACUGGUAGUACACAAGUUUGUCACUGCUGAUCGUUAGAAAAGUCAAACCACAUUCAAAAAUAAUAUGGAACACUAUUAAUAUCUGCAUGUUUCAUCAUCCUGUAAAUUUCACAUCCUAGACCAUAAGCAUCACAAACAACUUUCAGGGAAGGCUGUUUUCUUUUUUUUUCUUUUUUUUAUAUCUGUUUGUUUGUUUGUUUGUUUGUUUGAGAUGGAAUUUCACUCUUGUCGCCCAGGCUGGAUGGAGUGCAAUGGUGCAAUCUCGGCUCACUGCCACCUCCACCUUCCAGGUUCAAGCAAUCCUCCUGUCUCAGCCUCCCGAGUAGCUGGGAUUACACGCGCCCGCCACCAUGCCCAGCUAACUUUUGUAUUUUUUUUUAGUAGAGAUGGGGUUUCACCAUGUUGGCCAGGCUGGUCCUGAACUCCUGACCUCAGGUGAUCCACCUGCCUCAGCCUCCAAAAGUGCUGGGAUUACAGACGUGAGCCACUGUGCCCGGCCCAGGGAAGGCUGUUUUCUAAAACUGACUCCCCCUGACCCAUCUUCAGCGUCUGAGCAAGUGAUGAGACAAUGGGACAAUAAAGCAAUGGGUCAACAAUGGCAACCAAAUUAUAGCAAAACCAAGUAAAUUGAUCUUGUAAUUGAUGAGUACGUCUACCCAAAGUUUUAAGUAAUUCUCCUCUCACUUCGUUCAAGACAAUGCAUUAUGCAUGUGCAGCCUACAUAUAGAAGAUGCUUUUUAUUACUGUUAACAAUAUUAACUAAAAUUUGCAGAAUAUUUAUUUUAAAAGCACUUUUAUUAUUACUACUACUACUGUUAAUAGUAUUACUACUACUACUACCACCUCCCUUUUGCAAAAGAACUAAAGAUCAGAGGAGGGAAACAACCUGCUUAAAAUUAUAUCAACACUAAGAAAUGACGGUAGGACUCAAACUCAAUUCCUAUGACUCCAAAAUCUGUGACUUUUUUCUUAAAGUUAAACCCUUUUUUCAUUUUUCAGCAUGAAACCCUUCAUUCAUUCACUCAUAUCUUCAUCUACUCAAGAAAUAUUUAUUAAACACCUACUACAUGCCAGAUGCUAAUCUCAAGCCCUCAGGAAACAAUUAAGAGUACACAGUUCCUGCUCUAGGCGGUAGAAAGCAUGUGUUACAAUCUAGUAUAAUAGGGACAGCUUAACAACAACAACAAAAGUACACCAAUGUAGGAGGUGGCAGAAAGAAGUAGGUACAUGGCACAGUGGGAACACAGACAAGGAAGCCCUUAACAAUUCCUAUAGAGGGCUUGCUUUCCAUAGGAGGUUAUGAUGUUACCUGAAUCUUAGGAUGUGAAAGAAAUCUGGCAAAUGGAUAGAAGAAAGAAGCAUGUCAAGGAAAAAAAAAACAUGAGCAAAAGCAUAAAGGCCUGAAAAACAAUUCUAAUAUGUUGAGGAAACUAGCUCAGCAUGACUGGGAGCCAUAUCAGGCAUGGCCAGGGAUAAAUCAUGAAAGUAGCCUGGAGGAAGGAAAUCAAGACCAGGCUCAUGGGUGCCAUGCUACAGAGAACAGGCUUUAUUUUACAGGAGACAGAAGACAGUGACGGUGAGAAACAUGCUGACAUGCAUGCAUUAAAAUGACAAACUGGGCCAGGCAUGGUGGCUCAUACCUGUAAUCCCAGCAUUUUGUAUAUUUUGUUUUUGAGAUUGAAUCUUGCUUUGUCACAGUGGUGUGAUCUCGGCUCUCUGCAACUUCCACCUCCUGGGUUCAAGUGAUUUUCCCGCCUCAGCCUCCCGAGUAGCUGAAAUUACAGGCACCCGCCACUACGCCCGGCUAAUUUUGGUAUUUUUAGUGGAGACAAGGUUUCACCAUGCUGGCCAGGCUGGUCUCGAACUCUUGACCUCAAGUGAUCCGCCAACCUCGGUCUCCCAAAGUGCUGGGAUUACAGGUGUGACCCACUGUGCCCAGCCUAUCCCAGCACUUUGGAAGGCAGAUGCAGGUGGAUCACUUGAGCUCAGGAGUUUGAGACUAGCCUGGGCAACAUGGUGAAACCCUGGAUCUACAAAAAAUUAGCUGGGCAUGGUGGCAAGCACCUAUAGUCCCAGCUACUUAGGAGGCUGAGGUGGAAGGAUGAAUUGAACCCAGGAGGCAGAGGCUGCAGUGAGCCAAGAUUGCACCACUGCACUCUAGCCUGAGCAACAGAGCCAGACCCUGUCUCAAAAAUAAAAUUAAAAAUUAAAAGACAAAAUGGUUUUAAUGUGAAGGAUGAAACUGAGGGAUGGAACUAGGUCAGAAAUGGGCGUAUCAGUUAAGACACCAAUGCAGCAGUACAAAAAAUAUGAGGGCCUAAAUUAAGGCAGUGGAAAGGGGAGGUAACAAAUUAGAGAGCUAUUUUGGAAGCAGAAUCUUAAAAUGUAAUGAUUGACCAGUGGUACACAAAAUUCAAGGAGAAAUCUAGGCUAACUCCCAAACUUCUGGCUUCUACCACUGGAUGGGUCAUACUGCCAUCAGUGGAGAUGAAGUUAGUGUGGUUGGAUAAUGAGUUCAGUUUUGGAUAAGGGAGUUACAUUUGUGAUGGCUAUGUAGCAUAAGGUAAAAAUAUCUAGUAUGGUGUUAGAACUGGUUCCCAAAACUCAGCAGAGAUAUGGGAUUUAGGAGUCAUUAUGAUGUAAACUGUAGUUGAAGGCAAGGGGCUGGUUCUGAUUAGCUCAAAGAAGAAUAUACAUAGAGAGAAGAGGGAGAGCACAGAACCUAAGGAAACCCAGAUAUCUAAGGAGUAAAGAGAAACAAUUUUGGAAAGCUGAGAACAGAGUUGUAGGAGGAGAGCCAAGAAAAAGUGUUUGGAAACCUUGAGUGAAGGUGAGUAACAUGAACAUUUAUUUUCCUAGAGAAAGGAGAAAUGUAAGAAUAUAAAAGGGGCAUAAAUCGAAACUAUAUUUCUGCAAAGUAUUUUGGCAAUGUAUAGUUAACAAAGGCCUCUAAGAUGCCCACGUCGUGACACAGUAAUUCUACCUCUAAGAAUGUAUUGUAAGGAAGGAAUCAGAAAUCCUGACAGAAGUUUACAUACAAAAAUGUUUCUCACAGCAUUAUUUGCAAUAGCAACAAAAUGGAACUACUUUAAACAUAUGAAAGGAAUGGUUAAAUAAAUUACUGUACAUCCAUACAACAAAGAUUAUGAGCCAUUUAAAAUCUAUAUUCAUGGAUAAUUUUAAGUGAUAAAAAUACUCAUGAUAUUGAGUAUUGUGAAAAAAGCAAGACACAACUGCAUAUUCAGUUAACUAUAUAAUAUAAAAAUGCAGAGGGCAAAAAAAUGUAUAAAAUACAACAAAAUGUUACUGGAAGUUAUAUACAGUUAUUGAGAUCACAUGUGGUUUUUUUCUGCUUUAGCCUUUUUUCCUGCAUUUACUGAAUUUAAUGAUAUUAUUUUUUCCUUUAAAACAAUUUGUUUUAAGACACAGUCUCAUUCCCGUUGCCCAGGCUGGUGUGCAGUGGCAGGACUACAGCUCACUGCAGCCUCGACUUUCCAGGCUCAGGUGAUCCUCCCACCUCAACCUCGCAAAGUACUAGGAUUACAGGUGUGUGCCAGUGCACCCAGGCUUUUUAAAAAUUAAACUCUAUUUUGAGAUAUCUCACUGUGGUUUUAAUUUGCAGUUCCCUAACGGCUAAUGAUGUUGAACAUCUCUUCAUGGGGUUACAUGCCAUCUGUAUAUCCUCUUCAGUGAAAUGUUCCUUAACAUCUUUUGCUGUUUUCUAAUUGGAUUACUUGGGGUUUUUUAAUACUGAGUUUGGAGUUAUUUAUAUAUUCUAGACAGUAGUCUUUAUUGGAUAUGUGGUUCAAAAAUAUUUUCUCCCAGUCUGUAGUUUGCCUUUUCAGCCUUUUAACAUGGUCUUUAGCAGACCAAAAUGUUUUAGUUCUUAUGAAGUCCAACUUACCAAUUUUUCCUUUUCUAGAUCAUACUUUUGGUGUCAAGUCUCAGAACUCUUUGCCUAGCUCUAUAUCCUAAACAUUUUCUCCUGUUAUUUUCUAAAAUUUUUUUUAGUUUUAUGUUUUACAUUUAAGUCCAUGAUCCACUCUCAGUUAAUUUUUUUAUAAGGUGUGAAGUUUAGGUCAGAUUUUUCCUUUUUUCCUUUUUUUUUUUUUGUCUUAUAGCUGUCCAGUUGCUCCAGCACCAUUUAUUUAAAAGGCUAUCCUUCCUGCACUGAAUUGCUUCUGCAUCUUUAUCAAAAAUCAGUUGGGCAAUGGCCAAUGAAUACAGCAUUUUAUUUUAUUUUAUUUUAUUUUUAUUUUAUUUAUUUAUUUGAGACAGAGUUUUGCUCUUGUUUCCCAGGCUGGAGUGCAAUGGCGCGAUCUUGGCUCACUGCAACCUCCACUGCACAGGUUCAAGGGAUUCUCUGCCUCACCCUCCCAAGUAGCUGGGAUUACUGGCAUGUACCACCACACCCGGCUAAUUUUUUUUUUUUUUUUUUUUUUUUUUUGUAUAUUUAGUAGAGACGGGGUUUCACCAUGUUGGUCAGGCUGGUUUCGAAUGCCUGACCUCAGGUGAUCCACCCACUAGGCCUCCCAAAGUGCUGGGAUUACAGGCGUGAGCCACCGCACCAGGCCAGCAUUUAUUUUUUAAGUGAUGAUCAUGUUCUGGAAUUAAAUGAUGGUGAAUGUUAUACAACUUUGUGAAUAUAAUAAAAAACCACUGAAUUUUACAGGUAUGUAAGUUAUAUCUCAAUUUAAAAAUUUACUGAGGAUAUCUGUAUAGGUCUCUAUUCUGUUAUUCCUGCUUUUCUAUUCUGUUUCAUUGAUCUUUGGUCUAUCCUUCUACCAAUAUUACACAAUCUUGAUUACUGGAGCUAUACAAUAAGUCUUGAAAUCAGGUAGAGUGAUUCCUCCAAUUUUUUUAUUCAGUUUAGCUAUUCUAGUUUCCUUGUAUUUCUACACACAAUUGAUAAUAAUCUUGCCUAUAUCUACAAAAAAUCUUCCUGGGCUUUUGAUAAAAAUUGCAUUAAACUUGUAGAUUAAUUUGAGGAGAACUGACAUCUUUACUAUGUUGAGUCUUCCAAUCAUGAACACAGUAUCUCUCACUAUUUUGGUCUUUGAUUUCUUUCAUCAGCAUUUUGCAGUUUUCAGUAUACAAGUAAGUCCUAUAUACGUUUUGUUAGAUAUAUGCUCAAGUAUUUCUUUUGAUUGAACUGUUAUAAAUGGUAUUGCAUGUAUUUCCAUGUGUUCACUGCUAAUAUAUAAAAAUGCAAUUGAUUUUUGUUUUUUUGUUUUUGUUUUGCCUUGUUUAGAGACAAGGUCUUGCUCUGUUGCCCAGGCUCCUGGCUAGAGUCCAGUGGCAUGAUCAUAGCUCACUACAACCUCAAACUCCCGGGCUCAAGCAAUCCUCCUAGCUCAGCCUCCCGAGUAGCUGGGACUAUGACACGCAUCACCACACCCACCUUUUCUUUUUUUUUUUUUUUUAAAAGAGAUGGGUUCUCACUAUGUUGCCCAUAAUGUUUAUGAGAUUAAGUUCAUCUUUUUUAUCUGAGUAGUAUUUUAUUGUAUGAAUAUACCACCAUUUAUUUAUCUGUUGGUUAUUUCCAGUUUUGGGCUAUAAUCCAAAAUGCUUUUUUCAAACAAUAGGCUAUAUAUCAUUAAUGUCCGUUUAUCAGCAGUAUAAAAUAUCUUACCAUAAAUAUUAAUAAAAGAAGCAUUCAUAUAUAAAAUAUAGAUAUUUCAAACCCUACAGAGGGCCUUUUAAUGAUUAAAUAUUUUGUCCUUACAAAAAGGUCCAGGUAAUUACACCCAUGAGGUUAACCUGCCUUAGUGCAGGACUUAAAAUAAGGCUUCUCCUGCCAUCUCUCUCCAUUUGUAGAAUGUGAAAUUCUUUAAAAUGCAUCCUAUAUUAGGAAUACUAUAGCUGUGCACUGGUGUUUGUUCUCUUCUUUAAACUCGGGACCGUAUAUAUCUGCUCAAAUUGCCCAAGUAUACAUAUGCUGCACUCCAUCAAGUGUCAGGCCACAUUCUAUCAGCACAGCGUGACUGCCUAUCAGUGACAAUAUAAGUGAGCUCUAUUUGGAUCCCUCUUACCCUACCUUUUAUAUUUAUGACAGCAUUAUCAUAAAACUCCAAUAUUCUUCAAUAACUUACAUGUUUGUUGUAGGAUAAAAUUAUUACCCUCAAUGAACUACAUAAAAAUAUAGAAAAAAUAGCUGGGUGCAGUGGCUCACACCUGUAAUUCCAGCACUUUGGGAGGCCAAGGCAGGUGGAUCACGAGGUCAAGAGAUCAAGACCAUCCUGGCUAACUCAGUGAAACCUCGUCUCUACUAAAAAUACAAAACAAAAAAAAAUUAGCCAGGCGUCGUGGUGGGCGCCUGUAGUCUCAGCUACUCAGGAGGCUGAGGCAGGAGAAUGGUGUGAAGCCAGGAGGCGGAGCUUGCAGUGAGCAGAGAUUGCGCCACUGCACUCCAGUCUGGGGGGAAAGAGCGAGACUCCGUCUAAAAAAAAAAAAAAAAGAAAGAAAAGAAAAGAAAAAAAAAGAAAAGGAAAAGAAAAGAAAACAUUUUCAGAUUUGAAGAAAAAAAUCUGAUAAUGGAUAUAAGAAGAUUGAUCAGGCUCAAGGCAAAUUAUUAAUUAGUAUUAGAAACCAACACCAACUGGUUCUUCAACCAUUAUCAAACACAUUGAUAACAGUAUAUGAAAUGAAGGAAUCUCACAUAAAUAAUGUAAUAGCCAUUUGUCACUGGAGGUCACCUUUUAUGACAAGAAAAAUAAUCCCACGUUCUUCAUAUGUUUAAUGAAGUUAAGUUUUAUAAAACAGAUUUAUAAUCGCUGCCAUGUAUCAUUCUGGGGGAGAAAAAAACAGUAAGCACAAAAAGAAAGCCUAAGAUUAUGGACAGAAAAAAAAUUCAAAGAAAACUUAAAUCUAACAACAAAAAUACCAUAGCACUGUAUAAGUUAUCACAUAGAACAUGAAGAACUAGUAUACAUUCCAGAGGAAAAGCUUGUUAAAUCCUACACUGCUAACACUAUAACUAUAUUGAAUAAACAUACUGCCCCUUAAAUAUAAUUAGCACCAUUAUUUGAAAACAGAGACAAGAGAAAAGCAUCUAUAAGACUUGAAUGAUAAAAGCUGAAAUUAUGUGAAAUCCUUAUACUUCAGGCAAGGACAUGAAUGCUAAAGAUCUCAAAUUUUCUCAGUGACAUGCAAGUAAAUGAAAGUAAAGAUACGGUUUAUUUGUAAAACACGAUGCACAAUUGAAGGGAGAAAUUAAGUAUUUAGAUCACUUUUUAGCAUGCCCUCAAGUAAGUCGGCCAAAACAUAAUGAGAUCAGUACUGGUGGUUAAGAAAAGAGUAACACCAAAAACUUCAGAAAAAGUGGGUCUUAUAAAGGCUGUUUCCUAAAUGUAGUAAUGUAUAAGUAAUCAUGCCAUGCUCCACAGACAAGCAAGAGAUGUUAAGAAGAUGCCAGCACGAUUCCAAUUAUCAAUUGUAUUAAGGCAUGGUCUUUACAUUUCAAACUUUACAGAGUUACCUGGAAUUAUACAGUAAGUUCCAGAAUCUCCUCUUUCAUUUGUGAAUCUGUUCGCUACCCAAAGGCAAGUUCUAUUAUAAAUAGUCAAUUAAGAUCCAAAAAAACCAAACUUAUUUUUUGCUUUUGGUUAACAAGAAAUUCCUUUAGCUUAAUUGUAACAUGGCUACAGCAAUCAGUGUACCUUGCUAAUAUUUUUAAUAACUUUGUAACAUAAGGUUGUGAUGUUACCAUGUUUUACAACUGCAAAUAAUGCAAUGAUAAAACUGAAAGUUUUGAACUGAACUUUUUUAUCUGAGUAAUAUUUUAUUGUAUGAAUAUACCACCAUUUAUUUAUCUCUUGGUUGUUUCCAGUUCUGGGCUAUAAUCCAAAAUGCUUUUUUCAAACAAUAGGCUAUAUAUCAUUAAUGUCCAUUUAUCAGCAGUAUAAAAUAUCUUACCAUAAAUAUUAAUAAAAGAAGCAGUAUAAACAAAAUCUGUUUAUUUUAAAACUGAGUGAAUAAAAGGCAGAGAUAGGCAAUGAGGAAAUGAGGAAUUUUUUAAUGAUGCAGAUAAUAUGUUCUAAAAUAUAAUGAAGACCUAAAUUAGCUGAGAAAUGUGUUCAACAAUCACUCCAAACUAAGUAUGAAUUAAUGAUUCUAUCAAUUCAUUAAUUCUAUUAAAUCUAUUAAUGAUUCUAUUAAACAUUAAUGAUUCUAUUUGCAAAUUAAAACUUCCUGCUAUUCCAUUUUAAAGCUUUGGCUAUCCCCCAUCUGUGAUUUUUGUACUGGUUAUUUUAACUCAAUGUCUGUCAGUUCUUUUCAUUUGUAAAAUGCAGAUAAAAGUAACUACCUACAUUAUAGGGCUAUUGUCACCCAGGCUGGAAUGCAGUGAUGUGAUCAUAGCUCACUGUAACCUUGAGCUCCUAGGCUCAAGCGAUCCUCCCACCUUAGCCUCCAGAGUAGCUGGGACUACAGGUGCAUGCCACCAUGCCCGGCUAAUUGUUUUAAUUUUUUUUUUUAAUCCAAAAUGUGUUUAUUGAGAUGGUUUCCCACUCAUCUUGAUUCAGAGUGCUUUUAGUGCUGCUUCCUCCUGAAGGAACAUCCUUCUGUAAGCCUUGCUUUUCCUCCUGUAGGCUGGCAGAGGACAGUGGAGCAGCCAACACACAAAACUACCGUUUGUGCAUGGCUAAAGACCGUGAUGAUUUUAUAGCAUCCUGGGCAUUUCACAUCCAUGAAGCAGGAAUUGGGGCUCUGCACCAGGCGUUUCUUCUUGUGUUUCCUCUUCUCCUUUUCUGGAGAGGGAUGAAGGAGACCCUUUGCAAGAGGCAUGUUCUCGUGUGGGUAGGUCAUCACCGCCGGAAAGGUUAAUUUUUUUUUUUUAUAGUCAAGGUCUCACUUUGUCACCUAGGCUUGUCUUGCAACUCCUGGCUUCAAGCAAUCCUUUCAUCUCAGCCUCCCAAAAUGUUGGGAUUGCAGGUGUGAGCCAAUGUGCCCAGCCAAAAAUAAAAUUUAAAAAAAAAUAAUGUAGGUAGUUUCUCAUAGUAACGUAAAGAAUAUGUAACCUGUGUUUUCCUGAAAGUUGAGGGAAAGCUGAGGCAGCUAAUGGGCUCAUACAAAGGUUUGGAAGACCCAUUCUGACUACCUAAAGGAGAGUCAGCAUUCUGACCAUUCUGAUUGUGCUUAUAGAAGAGUCAGAACUUGUGAAGAAAGAAGCCUUAAAAUCCAAGGUAGUAAUCAUCCUGGGAAAUAUUUCAGGAAAUAACUUAAGGUUUGUAUUUUCCCCUAAAAUUGUUAGAAGAAAAGAAAUGAAGAUCUACAUAUAUGCUCUUUUAGAGCUGAGAAUAGCUUCUAUAAAGCAGAAUUUUAGACUUUUCUCCCCAAAGGAAAAUAGGCAUAUUUAUUGUAAUUAUUCUAUCACAGUCAACUUGUGUUAACAUAUCGUUAAUUCUUCCAGAACUGCUACAUGUCACCAAAUCAAAGCCAGUGUGAAAAAUAUAUUAAAUGACUCUUCGGCAAAAUACGGUUUCCAAUGGGGCAAUGAAAAACAUGAAAUAACUCAGAUGAAAGUUGGGAUAGUAUAUAAAAAUACGCAGAUUCUUUUUCAAUGUGAAACCUCUGAUUCAUUAAGAAAUAAAUCCCUUAAAGGAAAACCAAUACCAUAUGAAUCAAUCAAUUCAUUUCUAAUGUAAGAAUGGGUACAACAAAAUUUAAAUGUGUUUUAUACAGUACUAAUUAGUCAUGCAAGAUCUUAACAUUUUGCUUGUUUGCCUGCCCCCAUACCUAACUACUAUAUAUCAUUUGUUUCUAUCUUUAAAAUAUUUGAUCAUAGAAAUUAAGCCUAAGAAUAUUGGGGGCUUUUUUCCCCAUAAGAAACUACUCAAGGUAAGUAUUACUCUAGGAAAAUUGUGUUGCCUGGUCUUUAUCCAGAAUCUUGGUUGUGUCUGCUGCAAAAAAGGGAAAAACUGCUUUUUCAAGGCCAUAGCAAACACAGCAUGACAUGAAAAAUCUAAAAGAUUCUGAGAGUUAGGAAAUCUUCUAAAGGAUCCUCUCGCCAUUUAAGAGGCAGGAAAACUUCCCAAGGUAAACCAGGGAAAAAUCAAGAGUCUCUGUAAAAUAUAUAGCAAUAUAAUAAAUUCACAACAGCCCUUGCCUUCAAGCAGCAUACAUUAACAAUAAAAGUCAACUACAAGAGAUAUCAGAAAGCAAAACAAGACUAAUUGCCACAUGACUCAGAGACAAUUAGGCUAUUUCAGUUCAAAGGAGGGAAUGAUCAUCAUGAGCCAGAAUAGCUGAGAAAGCUUCACUAAGGCUGAGAAGCAACUUAAGCUGUCAGGAAUAGGUGUUAGUACUGAGGACGGGGCAGCUCACUCUGGCCCCAUGUUUAGACUCCUGUCUUCAUUGUCCUGACUCCUGAAGAAGGAUAUGGCAAAGGAUGUGAAUCUGACAGCUUUUAACAACAUAAGGCAACCAGCUUUGAAUUUGCCUCCUGUGUAAGUGGGGUGAUUGCCCUAGAUAAAGCAACAGUUUCCAAGGCAGAAAAAAAGAGAUGAUAAUCCAGCAGAAGAAGAAAAACACACACACAAAAACCAACAGAACCACCACAAAGCCAAGUGAUUCAAACACCUGACCCUGGUUUCCUUGCCAAGAAACAAGUUAAUUCCUAUGCUAAGCACCUUUCCUCUGUUUUCACAUUUCUUCUGUUUUCAAAUGCUGAAUUCAACAAGAAAUCAUAAAAUCAUACCACUUUAGUAGUUCUGAAAAGUUUUAUAAUGCCUCUUUUUUGUUGUGUACUAUGGGGUGGAAAACUCUUUUGUCUUAUUCCUGAAUCAAGAAAGUAGAAACCUUUGCCAGAAUCAUUUGCACUAGAUAAGUGAAUUUGCAUAUCAGACCAUAUUUUUAAAAGCAGAAACAUCCUGUAUAGAGACUCUCCUUAUAGAAUGACUGACCUGCCUUGGCCUAAGGAAGCCUUCUCCCCCUCUUCCAAGCACAAUCUUCCUGUUUUCUCAGCCUCAUCUGAACCCGCUCAACCAAACAAAGAACCACUCAAACAAAAUUUCACAGAAUACCAACUUUAAUAAUUUCUAGCCAAAUCAACACAAACUGUGGCUCUGGCCUAGAAUAAACUGCUACAAGAUACUUUUUUUUUUUUUUUGAGACAGAGUCUCGCUCUGUCUCCCAGGCUGGAGUGCAGUGGUGCAAUCUCGGCUCACCACAGCCUCUGCCUCCCAGGUUCAAGCGAUUCUCCUGCCUCAGCCUCCAGAGUAGCUGGGAUUACAGGCACCCGCCACCACGCCUGGCUAAUUUUUGUAUUUUCAGUAGAGACGAGGUUUCACCAUGUUGGCCAGGCUGGUAUCGAACUCCUGACCUCAGGUGAUCCUCCUCGGCCUCUCAAAGUGUUGGGAUUACAAGUGUGAGCCACCGCACCUGGCCGCUACAAGAUUCUUUAUUUGCAAUGACUCUCCUCUCCUUUUACCUUUGUUAAUAAUCACUCAUUUCUUCCCCACAGAUGCAUCAAAGCUAAGAUUCUUCGAAAUAUCCCACAUGCGGCCAGGCGCAGUGGCUCAUGCCUGUAAUCCCAGCACUUUGGGAGGCGGAGGCGGGCAUAUCAUCUGAGGUCAGGAGAUCAAGACCAUCCUGGCCAAAAUGGUGAAACCCCAUCUCUACUAAAAAUACAAAAAUUAGCCAGGCAUGGUGGUGUGUGCCUCUAAUCCCAGCUACUCGGGAGGCUGAGGCAGGAGAAUUGUUUGAACCUGGGAGGCGGAGGCUGCAGGGAGCUGAGAUUGUGCCACUGCAUUCCAGCCUGGGCGACGGAGUGAGACUCCAUCUCAAAAAAAAAAGAAAAAGAAAUAUCGCACAUUCACGGAGCAUCUUUAGAUCAGAAUCACCUCGGCUCUACGUUGAGACUACUGUAAUUCUUAGCACAAAGACAGAAAAAGUUGACUCAAGGCUGUCAUUUAAAAGAAAAAGCAUAAUUAAUAAACCUUAUUUGAUAAAUAAAAAGAUACCUAUUGUCUUCAUAUUACAAACACCGAAAAUAAAGCUCAACAAUGAAAAAAUAUAUUUUUUUAAUUGUGUUUGUUUGUAGAGGUGAGGUCUCGCUAUGUUGCCCUGGUCUUGAACUCACUUAAGUGAUCCUCCCACUUCAGCCUCCCAUAGUGCUGGGAUCACAGGCGUAAGCCACCAUGCCUGGCAAGAAAAUGUUCAGAACAAACCCUACAAUUAACUCAGUUCAUGACAGACUUGUUACUAAUGUAUGAUGUUUGCAGUGUAUAAAUGGUGCAAUGUACACUACAAUUCUCACUGCAUAUUAUAAACAGACAUGUUACUAUGAAGUUGAGGGAGUGGAAGAAAACAGACUUAAUGCUUUAGCUGACUAAAAUCGAAAGGUCCACAUUCAAAAGACAUAUUUUUUUAAGAAAUUAGGAGUUAAUUUUAUGUUAAGUAAAACCUAUUGUAUCAUAAGUAACAUUUGUUGGGCACUUAAUAUGUAGUAGGUACUAUAGCUAAGUGCUUUACAUGAUCAUCUGAUUUAAUCCUCACAUAGACACUAAAGAAGUAGUUACUAUUAUUUUACAAAGAAGAAAACUACGGUUUACAACUGUUAAGAAACUUGCCCAAACUGCUAAUAAAUGAAGAAGCUGAAACUCCCAUCCAGGUUUUCCUGACUCCAAAGCCUGGACUCACCACUAUUUCUUCAACAAGGAUAGCAGCAGGUUCUAGUGUAUAAAUAAAAUAAACACAGUGACUAAACACAUUUCCCCACACACUCAUCUCUACCACUCCCACAGCCCACCUGAACUCUAGCUAAUUGUUCUUAGUCACUGAAAACAUUACAUGGCUAGAUAAAUGAUAAAUGUCAGCUUUGAAAAGGGGAAAAGAAAGUGCCUUAUGAGCUUGAGCCACAGAUGAUGGGCCCUCUUUUUCAAAGCCUUGUCUGCUCAUUUGUUCAUUCAAAUCUCACUGAGCACCUAUCAUAGCAAGCAGUACUGUAUAGUGAUAAAGAGCAGAAGAAUGCUUAGGUUCAAAUCCUGGCGCCAUCACUAACUGAGCAUGUGACUGAGUAAGUUACUCUACUUCUUCACUACAUUAAUUAUCUAAAGCAUUUAGAACUGUGCUCGUCAUUUAUUAUAGUAAACAACAAAUGUUAGCUGACAUUAUUACUCUGUUAAUAAUGUUACUAGGCAAUAGCUAAGCUACAAGCUUCUGGGUGAUAUGGCAUGCUAUUCCCUCUCUUCUGAAGCUCGAAAUCUAAGACAUGUGCAUAAAUAACCACAAAUAAAUCUGUAAAUAACACUAUAGGUAUUAGUACAUAAAUGCUACAGAUGUGCCAAGGAAGAGAUUACUUCUAGCUAAAGAUAUCAGGGAAGGUCUCAUGGAAAAGGUGCACUUGAGCCAGACCAUAAUACAAAAAGUAGAGGAGAACAUUCCACAUACAGAAUAUAAUCAUGGAAUAGUAAAUUGAGCUCAAGUGAAGACUUACCAUGGAAGACUGGUGAUGAAUAAACCUGGGAAUGUAGAUAAGAUUAGGGACCAGAUUAUCCAGAAACUUAAAGAUCCAAAUAAAGAGUUCACAUAUAAAUACUAUCAUCAUAUUUUCUUUUCUUUUCUUUUUCAUUGUAUAUAUUUAAGGUAUACAACACAAUGUUUUUAUAUACUUAUAUAUAGUGAAAUGGUUACUAUAGUCAAGCAAAUUAAUUUAUCCAUCACCUCACAGUUACCUGCCUCCUUUUUUUUUUUUUUUUUUUAGCAAGGGCAACUAAAAUCUACUCUCAAAAAAAAUCCCAGUGCAAUACAAUAUUAUUAACUAUAGCCCUCAUGUUAUACAUUGGAUCUCCAGAAUAUCGUAUUUUAAAAUGUAAGCUAGUAUUAAUAUUGCUCAAAGUGGAAUACACAUAUAAAAAUGUAAAAAGAGAGAAUUCAGAUCUCCAGAAUAUCAUAUUUUAAAAUGAAAAAAGAAAGAAUUCCCCCAAUUUGGGGGAUAGCAGGAAGUACUGUAAGAGAUGGGGAAAAAAAUAGCAAAGCAAGUCAGAGGAGAUGUGGAAGAAAGCCAGGUUUCACAGGUAAUGCAUUUAUAUAGACCAGCUUUCCUCAAACUGUAUGGUAGUCACAUAAAUUUGAGAAAGGCUACAUGCCCCACCCUCAUCUAGCCCUUCAGGGAUCCACAAGACACUGGUACUUCAAGACCUCUCAAAUGACCUGUAAUUUUAAAACUAAUUUUGUCCACUCUAUAUAUUCCCAAACUUAUUUAAUAAAAAAAAUCCUUUUCCUCCUAAUAUAUUUAAGCAAUGAGGGAUACUAGUGUUCUACAAAACUCAUUCUAGAAAACUUUGAUGCUAAAAUAUCUGAAAAUAAUUGGGAAAAGUAUGAUGCCAUAUGAGAUGAGAUGGGAGAUGUCUUAACAGUUCUAUAAUCAUUUUUCAGAAAGACUUUUCCAAGAUCACAGACUACUCUGGAAGUCUAAUUUUGUUUUUACCCUAAGAGGCAAGUAAACCAACUAAAGGAGUUCUAUAAAUGAUUAUCAUGCUUUGUUUUCUACCUGGCAACACAACUUUUAAGACUAAACUCUGACAACAAUACAAUUUGAAUUACUUCUGAUUUCCUUGUCCAAAGAUGCCCUAAGGAUUUCAAGAAGUAUUUUCCUUUACUGAUCAGAAAAGGAAACAGGUAGAGCCCGUUUAUCCCUACUCUUUUUUUUCAUGUCUUUUUCAUCUUUUUCUCUCCAGUUUACCAUUUUCCAUUCUCUAUUCUUCCAUUCAUAUGUAAUUUUCCCUUUACUGGCCCACUUUUGUCCCAUGUACUCAUGUCCUCCUUAUUUCUCCCAGCUCCCUGCUCAAAUUAUUAUCUGGAGCCUGGGGACUGCCAUUAUGACCAAAGAGCAUGUUCAACUGCUAAUAACUGACUUCGAGGGUUACAGAAGGCUCAUGAUAUGCUAUAGUUCCCCCAUUUUUAGCCUACAGUAGACACUGCCCAUUCUGCCAAAGCACUCUUUCUCACUAAACCCACAGUGCUCUCAACAGCUACUUCUAAUCUCUGGAAGUUAAAACCUAUUUGCAGACAGGUCCUAUAUGUUCUCAUUUGUAUUCUUUAGAUCUAUUGGCUGAAAUGUGAAAUACGCUAGUAAACGCAAUUCGCAGGUAAGAAAGGAGGCACAAUGGUUAAAGGCCAGAGUGUUGUCUCGCUGCACAUCUACAUGUGUCUGGUUCUUAAAAGUCAGUGUCUGCAUUAGAAGCAUUUGAGGAACAGUACAGGACUUUGCCAAAAUACCAGUACAACCAGGAAUCCUCGUAUACUUAACACACAUAAGGAUAAAUAAAAACAAUGAGGAUAAACUUCAAAACAACCUUGAGACAUUUUAUUUUCCAGGAGUCUUUCCUCCACACUGACUACCCGAAUGUUUUCAGUAAGCAUUUUGCUGUGGUUUCUCAGUUAGAUUUCAUCUAAAUAUGAGUAAUCAUCCUAAUUAAGAAAAGCCAACUGGCUAAAAUGCUAAAAGAUCAAGCCCUCCCUUAAAAUAAUAUCUUUCUCUGUUCAACUAAGAAUGUGGAGUGCAACAGCGUGAAGGAAAAUGUUAAGACUCAUUCAAUGAUGGCACAUAACUAAACCAAUUAAGAUAAAUUUUAAAAGUUGUUUACUUAGUAGCCGCCAAAUUCUAUAAGGAAAAUAACUGUUGGUGCAAUUAUGCAGUUUUGUAUCUCAUUAGCUGCCACAGUGAAAGAUUAUGUAUUGUGCAACAAUGAUAUCUGUUGAACCAAUAAAAUCAAAAGCUACUGUCAGCAAGCUGCGUUUAUAUACCUCUUAAAUCAGUAAAUCUUUUUUCUUCUUUUAAAACCAAGAUAUGCCCACAAGAGUUCCCAAAACAGCUUCCAUAUUAAAAUUAUAAAUUAUUGACUUGAUGAGCUUCUCUAACCUGUGAAGUUGGAGAAACAGUAGUUUUUGAUUCAGCAAAGGGCAUUCCCACCAUCCCUCCGAACGUGCCAUGAAACAACUCAAUAGACUAAAGAUGGGGAAAGCUUAAUGACUGAAAUAAAAAUAGAUAAAAAAGGAAACAGAGUAGUUUCUACACUGCAAUUCACUUCUACUUUUUCCAUCUCAACAUUAAAACAUAUAUAUCAUCUAAACAAAAACUCAUUACCACAUAAAAAUAAGGUGGAAGUUCAGUCUUCAGCCUGGAUACUUACACUGCAGUCUCCCCACUCAAUGAGGCUUAAGAGGCUUAAGCAAAGUUUUAAAAAAAUACUGAAAUCCAUCUGAUAUUCAACACAUGUAACUAAACAGUACAAGCACUACCAUUUUACAAAACCAAUUCUAGAUGACAUAUUCAUAGGAGUUUCCAAAAAAUGCCUGAACUCUUCAUAAUCCUGCUAAAUAUAUUAACCAUGCCUCAACAUUGCGUGACUAUAACAAAGCUUAGCUUCUGUAUCAUAUCACUACUAAAAUCAACAUUCAACUGAACUGUUCAGCCAUAGGGUUUCAUGUCUAAUUAAUUAUUUAACCAUAUCUAGGCCUCCAAAUCUAAUUUAUCUUUUCCCUGGUUCUGAACCUCAGUUACAUUUUACAAUCUCACUUUAGUUACUUUCUGUCAGCCAUCUCAAAUCCUGUGUGAAACAAAACACAGUAUAAACGAUGUUUUAUUCACCUUUAUGCCAUUAACAUUUAGUGCAGUACCUGGCACACAAGUUCUUAAUUCAUGUUUAACUGGCUUGAAGGCUACUGCCCCAGUAUAGUUCUGACUCAAUAAAAACUUAUGUCAAAUGACCAUAGCAAAUAUUAGUAAUGUUCGUUUUGAGAUGGAUCAGAAGCCUCAUUCCCUGAAUCGAUGUUCCUGAUGAUGAUUUUGUCAAUAAGCAAAGGAAUGUAAAAGACUACUUUUAAAACUAUUCUAUUUCUUGAAUCUUUUCAAAGGAAACAAAUUUAUCAUUUCAUGUUUACAUAAUAAAUAUUAAAAUGCAAGUGAAUGAAACAAAUUUCCAAAUUAUAACUCCAAUACCAUUAUUUUUACUUACUUUUUAAUUUUCACUUUCUAAACUUUCUGGGGGACAGGUGAUAAAGAAAACUAUGCUUCUAAAAAAGUUUAGUACUUAUAAAAACCCAUCUCAGUGAUCAUAGCAGACUUAUACUUUUCUUAUUCUAUACACAGCAAGGUAUAGUAUCUCUAAACUAUAAUUCCUGCUUAGACAAGAUUAAGAGUCCCAGUGACUAAAUUUUAAUUAUGAUUCAUUUAGACAAGCCAAGACAUACAACUAGACAAAAAGUAAACUGCUGACUUAAGAGAUUUAAUAAUACAAAAACACAAUAAAGCCUGCCAGGAAACAGUAUUUCCCUCCUCGGCUUUAAAUAGCACCAAGCCUGGUCACUUUAACAGACCUCUUCACCCCACAUUUUGUAUCACCAAGAAAAAAAAAAAAAGUUAAAAACUUGAGGGCCCAGUCCAGGUUUUCUACCUAAAAAAGGCAAAUCAUCAGCCUUUGGGCAACAUAGGGAGACCCCGUCUUUAUAAAAAGUAAAAAAAGAAAUUAGCCAGAAGUGGUGGUAUACGCUUGUUGUCCCAGCUACUCACAGGUGAGGCAGGAGGAUCACUUGAGCACAGGAGUUCGAGGCUGCAGUGAGCUAGGAUUGCGUCACUGCACUCCAGCCUGGGCAACAGAGCAAGACCCCCAUUUCUAAAAAACAACAUGGCAAAUCAGUCAAACUAUCCGAUACUAAGGCUAAUAAAUAAUUGGUAAUAACAUCGGCAAAUCAGCCAUAGAAUUUCCUCAGUUAUCUUUCUUGGCUUCAAACAAUGGGGACCAUAUUUAAGAACACACAUAGGAGAUAAAGACUGGUUAGAUAGAUGAUAUUUGCAGAUGUUAAACCAUCACAAGCUAAUUUCACUCAUUUCAACAUUGCUCUUCCCCUUCACCUCCAAAGCACAAGACAGAAUCAGUCUUCUAUUCUAAGAAUUGUUUAGAGAGGAUUUGUCAAUAUAUAACCAAAUAUCUGCUUAGUGACGGGAAAAACCUCUGUUCGCCAGCCAAAGGACUUGUGAGAAUGAGAGCUACAUGUGGCUUCUCCCCUCUCUGGCCUCCUAAUUCCACAUCAGUUUGUAGUUAUUCUUGUACUACAAGAGUAUCAGUUUCAGAAUGUAAGCCUCAUAAGCUCCCAGGAAAGCCAUUCUAGUGGAACUGUUCCAGAGUUUCACUUUAGCUCCAUAAGGAACCUAAGAAGCCCCGCCCAUAAGAGUGAACGGUAAUUGCUCCGUUGGUUUCCACCUCUGACCUAUAAAGACCAAAGCCUGAGCUGUCUGUAAUCCAUAAGCCAUUUUAAUAUUCUGCUAGAACACUGCAAAAAUGUGGUUUUCACUAGAGGCACUGGCAUGAAGCUGAAAUUGGUAUUCUCGCUUACUAAUCCUGUGUAGUAUUUGUUCUAAUUCUCAAAAGUAGAGGAAAUUCUCUUUUUAAAUAAAAAGGGCAGUGGUGAGACCCACAACACUUACGACAAGCCAUAUAACAGACUGUCCUAAUCACACUUAGAUAAAUAAUUAGUAAGCUACUCUUCUCCGCAUAUUACAGUAAGUAAUCUACUCCAUUAUUUUGGCAUCUGUUUCUUAAAAUCUGCUGCACCUAUCCCUUCUAAAACGCAUAUACUGUGUAAAAAUGUAUGAACUCUAAACUUCACAGGUAGAAAAUCAUCCAGUUUAAACUUUUUUUAUAUGAGGAAACUAGAGUUCAAAUGCGUUAAAUGAUUUAGCCAAGGUCAUACGUUCUGUGGCAGACUCAGGAUGAGAAUUAGGGUGUCCUGACUUCCAGUCUAAUGUUUUUUAUGAUCACAUCAACUAGACAAUGAGAGAAAGCCCUACCAUUCAUUGGUGGUAAGUGCAGUGGGCACUGUUCCUAUCCAUCUGUCUUUCACAAUAUACAAUUCCUCACUGUUCUGCACAAUAGCCUAUGUGGUAACACAGCACAUAUGAGCUAAACUACCACUCAAGGGUCAUUUUAACAAGCAUGACACAACACUGAGGCACAAUGCCCAUGUUAAGCAAACAGCAAAAUACCAUGACACAAUUAAGGCUUUAUUUAAGCCAAACCAUGUAUCUAUGCCCCUGCUUCACCAUUUAACUAACAAGCAUCUUGAGGGCAAAAAUUAUUUCUUCUUGAUCUCUAUAUCCUUUGCGGCACUAUUCAAAAGUUUUGCUCACAUACCUGCUAAAACAAAUUUAAUGGGGGGAAAAAGGUGUCUCCUUGAAUAUUCUUAGGUUGACAUCUAAAAUUUUCAUUACAAGUUUUAAUCACUGCAAAGGUUAUAUUUUCAUUUAUAUAUCAAUCUAUGUCUAUUUAGAACUGACACCUAAAAACACUAUUAUAUUGCUAAUUUUAAAGCUAUUAAACCUACUAUAUUGGUGAGGCAAAGUGGCUCACGCCCAUAAUCCCAGCACUUUGGGAGGUGGAAGGAGGUGGAUCACUUGGGCCAAGGAGUUCAAGACCAGCCUGAGCCACAUGGCAAAACCCCGUCUCUACAAAAAAAUACAAAAAUUAGUCACACACGGUGGUACUCGCCUGUAGUCCCAGCUGCUCAGGAGGCUGAGGUGGGAGGAUUGCUUUAGCCUGGGAGGCAGAGGCUGCAGUGAGCCAAAAUCGCACCACUGCACUCCAGCCUGGGCAACAGAGCAAGACCCUGUCUUAAAAACAAACAAACAAACAAAAAACCCUACUGUAUCACUAAUUCCAAUAAAAUCUAAACACCUGGGCAAUCUGAUAUCCCCCAUCCUAUAUUUUAAAACUGUAACAGAAUCUUUUUUUCCUAUAUAAAAUGCUAUGCCAUUUAUCGGUCUCCCUGAAACUGUAUUUCUAUUCUGCUUCUUCCACAGUAUUUAAUAUAACUUUUAUCAUACUUUCCUUAAUGAAAACAUGUAUAUUAUUGUUUAUUUAUGUUGGAUUGUGGUAUGGUUACUAUUAUAGUAAAACACAAUCGAUGAAGACAAUGCAAAUGUUACAAAUUUUGAGAACUAAACAUAAAAAGUAAUUUCCUUUUUUGGAGAUGCAUCUCUUAAUAAGAUGUAUGGAGGAAGAUACCUUGAUAAAAGGAAGUUUCACACGUGACACUAGUGUUUUGACUAUCCCUUUGUUAGAAUCCUGGAGGAUUUUAUACCUCAUAGAAAGGUACAAUGGUGAGAUUCAAGAUGGGUGAAAGGUAUGGCUGUCUUCUGUUAAUCAUAAGAAGGCACAGGGCUAAAGGGAGGGUAGGGAAGGUGGACUAGCAUUAUAUCAGUGUUGCCUUCAAACAAGUCAAUUUCAGGAAAGAGUAUAAAUAAAAUAUAGAGAAUCUGGAAAUUUAUUCUCUUAAAACAGUCCAAGCCUAGAUAUUCUUAGACAUGUCCUCCAGUUUGAGAUCAUGGUUCUAAAGCACCAGACUUGGUUCAUUUAUCGGAACUCAGUAAAUACUUGUUGCAUUAAAAUAGUUCAGGGCCAGAUGUGGUGGCUCAUGCCUGUAAUCCCAGCACUUCGGAGGCCGAGGUGAGAGGACUGCUUGAGCCCAGGAGUUUGAGACCAGCCUGGGCAACAUAGUGAGACCUCAUAUUUACUUAUAUAAAAAAUAGUAACAAUAUAAAUUAAAUGAAAUUAAAUUGUUUAUGAAAAAAUGUUAUUCAAUGAGAACAUCUAGAUCGUACUGAUUUUUUUCUAAUCAAAUGAUAAAGUCUGUUGUGAGGAUGAAGCAAGAUGGUGAAUGUAAAACACUGAGAACAAUGCCUGACAGCCUCAGUGUGUCCUACCUGCCAUUCAUCUUAAUAUUAGUAUUCUUAGGCAAAUCUUAUUCUUUCUCUCCAUCUCCCCUACAUUUAUUUAAAUAAGACUAAGGUCUUAUUCAGACAUGGAAAUACGAUUUAUUUCUAAAACCUUAAAUAUAGUUCACUCUGCUAAGGAAUAAUGGUUCAGAAUGACCAUCUAUACUUCAUCUUGGUACUAUUUUUUAUACAUACUAUGACUUUCACAUCACAAGCAUACAGGUUAACUUGAGAAAAACCAGAAAGCUAUUUAUGCAAAUAAUGGCAAAAAUAAGUAGGCCAUUGGUGAAAAUCAUAUUUUUGACACUUAGAUGAAACCCCAGAUUUAUUUACCUUUAAAAAGUUAAUGAAAUACAUUUAAUUAUACAGACAUAAGGUCAAUUAAAACUUUCCAGGCUGGACGCGGUGGCUCACGCCUGUAAUCCCAGCACUUUGGGAAGCCGAGGUGGGCCGAUCACCUGCGGUUGGGAGUUCGAGACCAGCCUGACCAACAUGGAGAAACCCCAUCUCUGCUAAAAAUACAAAAUUAGCCGGGCUUGGCGGUGCAUGCCUGUAAUCCCAGCUACUCGGGAGGCCGAGGCAGGAGAAUCACCUGAACCCUAGAGGCGGAGGUUGCAGUAAGCAGAGAUCGGGCCAUUGCACUCCAGCCUGGGCAAUAAGAGCGAAACUCCGUCUCAAAAAAAAAACUUUCCCAUUAAUUCAUUAUUAAACCAACUUCUUUCUCCCAGUAUCUACUAAGAAAGGUCUAUGCGGUACAUAUCCAAGAAAAAAAUGCCAGGAACUUUGGCCUAUUGAAUUUAAGAGUGUCAGAACCCACGUCCUUUAAAAUACUUCAUGACUAGCCAGGCAUGGUGGCUCACACCUGUAAUCCCAGCACUUAGGGAAGCUGAGGCAUGUGGAUCAUGAGGUCAGGAGUUCGAGACCACCCUGACCAACAUGGUGAAACCCCGUCUCUGCUAAAAAUACAAAAAUUAGCUGGGCGUGGUGGCGCACGCUUGUAAUCCCGGCUACUCAGGAGGCUGAGGCAGGAGAAUUGCUUGAACCUGGGAGGCAGAGGUUGCAGUGAGCUGAGAUCGUGCCACUGCACUCCAACCUGGGUUGUCACUGGAGUGAGACUCCAUCUCAAAAAAUUUUUUAAAAAAAUACUUCAUGAUUUCUCUCAGUUUUUUUGUCUAGCAUCUAAAAGAUUUUUAGGGGUUGUCAACUCUUUAAUAAUAUAUUUAUAAAAAGUAGUUGAUUCCAACCACCUCCAUAAACACCAUAUAUUAGGGGAUAAAUUCUAGGGAGGGAUAUAAAGUUUAAAAAGAUACUUUCCAUCUGGACGCAGUGGCUCAUGACUGUAAUCCCAGCACUUUAGGAGGCCAAGGCCGGGAGAUCACUUAAGGUCAGGAGUUCGAGACCAGCCUGGCCAACACAGUGAAACACCAUCUCUACUAAAAAUACAAAAAUUACCCAAGCAUCAUGGUGCAUGCCUAUAAUCCCAGCUACUUGGGAGGCUGAGGCAUGAGAAUGGCUUGAACCUGGAAGGCAGAGAUUGCAGUAAGCCGAGAUCGCGCCACUGCAUACCAGCCUAGGUGACACAGCAAGGCUCCAUCUCAAAAAAAAAGAAAGAAAGAAGCAAGGAAGAAAAGGAAAAGAAAAAAACCUUUUUUACCCCUGAAAAUUUUAUUCAAAAUAGAGUUUUAAAAUGGAUCAGUCUAGGUGCAAUGGCUCACACCUAGUCCCAACAUUUUUGGAAGCUGAAGUGGAGGAAUCACUUGAAGCCAGGAGUUUGAGACCAGCCUGGGCAACAAACCGAGAUAUCAUCUCUAUACAAAUUUUAAAAUUAGCCAGGCAUAGUGGCACGUGACUGUAGUCCUAGCUACCCAGGAGCUAGGAUCCUCCUCCUGAGGAUCACUUGAGCCCAGAGUUCAAGUUUAUAGUGAGCUAGCAUCACAGCACUGCACUCCAGCCUGGGCGUCUGAGCGAAAACCUGUCUCUUAAAAAAAAAAUAGGAUCUUAUAUUAUAGUAUAAUUAUAUAAGAUAGCAGCCGGGCACAGUGGCUCACGCCUGUAAUCCCAAUGCUCUGGGAGGCCAAGGCAGGCGGAUCACCUGAGGUCAGGGUUUGAGACCAGCCUGGCCAACAUGGCAAAACCUUGUCUCUUCAAAAGUACAAAAAUAAGCCGGGCAUGGUAGCAGGCACCUAUAAUCCCAGCUACUUAAGAGGCUGAGGCAGGAGAAUCGCUUGAACCUGGGAGACGGAAGUUGCAGUGAGCUGAGAUCGCGCCAUUGCACAACAGCCUGGGCGACAAGAUCAAGACUCCAUCACACACACACACACACACAAAAAGAUAUCACCAUUGGUGAAAGUUGGGGGAAGGGUAUACAGGACUCGAUGUACUAAUUUUGUAAUUUCCUAUGAUUCUAUAAUUAUUUCAAAAUAAGCUGGGUGUGGUGGCUCAUGCCUGUAAUCCCAGUACUUUGGGAGGCAGAGGCGGGCAGAUCACUUGAGGUCAGGAGUUCGAGACCAGCCUGGCCAACAGGGUGAAACCCCAUUUCCACUAAAAAUACAAAAAUUAGCCAGGCGUGGUGGCACACGCCUGUAAUCCCAGCUACUCAGGAGGCUUGAGGCAGGAGAAUCGCUUGAACCUGGGAGGCAGAGGUUGCAGUGAGCCGAGAUCACACCACUGCACUCCAGCCUGGGCAACAAGAGUGAGACUUCAUCUCAAAAAAAAUAAAUUAAAUAAAUAAAUAAACAGAUAAAUAAAUAAAUAGUUUUUUUUUAAUGGAUCUUAAAGGAGAGGCAAAAUUUCAAAAGGUAAAAUGUUCUGGGUAGAUACAAACAUAAAAUGCAAUUCACAUUAUAGGACUCACAACUAGGCCAGGUAAGCUACACAGCUCAUUCUAGGAUAUAGUGGAAGAUAAGGUAGAAAAGGUAACCAGAGUCAGACUGCAGAAGAGUCCUGUGAUGGUUAAUUUUAUGUGCCAAGUUGACUAAGCUAAGGAAUGGCCCAGACAGCUGAUAAAACAUUUCUAGGUGGGUCUCUGAGGGUAUUUCUGCAAGAGAUUAGCAUUUGAAUCAGUAAACUAAAUAAAGAAGACCCACACUCACCAAUGAGGGUGGGCGUCAUAAUCUGUUUACCCUUUUCCACCCAGAGAGAGCAAACGGCAGAGGAAGAGCAAAUUCACUCUUUCUUCUUGAGCUGGGAUAUCCAUCUUCUCCCACUCUUGGACAUCAAAGCUCCUGGUUCUUGGGUCUUUGGACUCCAGGACUUACACCAGCACACCACCCCUUCCCAAUUCCCAGGCCUUCAGCCUUGAUUCCCCUGGUUCUCAGGACCUCAGACUCCAACUUAAUUACACCACCAGCUUUCCUGGUUCUCCAGGUUGCACAUGGCCUAUCAUAGGAUUUCUCGGCCUCCAUGAUCACAUGAAUCACAUGAGCCAACUUCCAUAAUAAACCUCCUCUUAUACCUAUCUAUGUAUCUAUUAUAUAUAUAAAAUAAACCUCUUCUAUAUCUAUAGAUAUAGAUAUGGAAACUUAUUAUGAAGGUUUUGGGGUUUUUUUCCUUGUUUUUUGUUUUUUGAGACCGAGUCUCCCUCAGUCACCCAGGCUGGAGUGCAAUGGCGCAAUCUCAGCUCACUGCAACCUCCACCUCCUGGGUUCAAGUGAUUGUCUGCCUCAGCCUUCCAAAUAGCUGGGAUUUACAAGUGCACACCACCAUGCCCGGCUAAUUUUUGUAUUUUUAAUAGAGAUGGGGUUUCAACAUGUUGGCCGACCUGGUCUCAAACUCCUGACCUCAGGUGAUCUGCCCGCCUCAGCCUCCCAAAACGCUGGGAUUACAGGCAUGAGCUACAACGCCUGGCCUAUAGAGGUUUAUUACAGAAAUCCAUCUAUCCAGGCCGGGCGUGGUGGCUCAUGCCUGUAAUCCCAGCACUUUGGAAGGCUGAGGCAGGUGGAUCACGAGGUCAGGAGUUUGAGAUCAGCCUGGCCAACAUGGUGAAAUCCCGUCUCUAAUAAAAAUGCAAAAAUUAGCCGGUCGUGGUGGCAGGCGCCUGUAAUCCCAGCUACUCAGGAGGCUGAGGCAGGAGAAUUGCUUGAAACCGGAAGGCGGAAGUUGCAGUUUGCAAGAUAGUGCCACUGGACUCGACUGGGCAACAAGAGUGAAACCCUGGGAAAAAAAAAGAGAAAAAAAGAAAGGAAAGAAAUCUCUCUCUCUCUCUCUGGAGAAUCCUAAUACAAGUCCAGAAUGACAAGCUAAAACUUGGAACUUUCCUUGUAUAUGAUGGGGUAUUUUGCGAGGAUUUUUUAUAAUGCAUGAGAAAAGUCAAAGUAAGGCUUUAUAAAUAUUAAUAUCAUAGCAGUAGGCAGGAGAGACUGCAGCGAACCUAAAGGUAGAAAGACCAGUUACUAUUGCAGUAGCCCAGGCAUGGUGGGGUGUUAAGGGUUGGCAGUAAAACCUGACCAUAAGGGGCUUAAGAGUUUAAUACCCUGAAAUCCUCUAUAAAGAGUCUAUCUCCGGCAUUCAUUCUGAGCUCUCUAUCAUGUUUACAAUAAAGAAAUCUCUUCUCUGAAUCACAUUUUAACAUUUCAAUCUUCAGCAGGUUUAUAAGAAGAAAGUGGAAAAGGCAGAAACAGCUCUCUUUAUUAUCCCCAACAAAACAAAAGUCUUAUAGCAGCCUUUGUGGCCUUGGAUUGUAUCCCUUUAAGCAAAAAUAAAUCAGAAGUCCUCUUAUGCUCUGGGAUUAACCUCCUUCCAAUGACUACAUGCUGUCAGUUACAAUCUACCUAUUGCAGAUAGGAAGCUUCAUUGUAAUAGCAAAUUUCUGGUUGAAGAGCUUGCUAAGGUCCAAUCCCAAACAGCUUUGUGGCUCUAAUGCCGUAGUUUCAGAAAGCAAUACUUUCCAGAUGCAUGCUGCUGACUGCUGCAAUGCAGGAGGACCUGGCACUUUAUUCUGGGCUACACAAACAGCACAUCUGAUUGUUUACUGGGUCCCACUGUGUACUACAUACUGAUGACACAAAGAUGAUUAAAAUAGCCCACCUUCAAAAAAGCCACAGUCUAUUGGGAAAUAUACACAAAAAAGUAACUGCAGGCCGGGCGCGGUGGCUCAUGCCUGUAACCCCAGCACUUUGGGAGGCCGAGGUGGGUGGAUCACAAGGUCAGGAGUUCAAGACCAGCCUGGCCAACACGGUAAAACCCUGUCUCUACUAAAAAUACAAAAAUUAGCUGGGCAUAGUGGCAUACACCUAUAAUCCCAGCUACUCAGGAGGCUGAAGCAGGAGAAUUGCUUGAACCCAGGAGGCGGAGGUCACAGUGAGCCUAGAUCAUGCCACUACACUCCAGCCUGGGCAACAGAGCAAGACUCUGUCUUGGAAAAAAAAAAAAAAAGUAAAGUGGCAAAUGCUAUUAUAGGUAAGUAUGUAAGAAAUGCUUUGAGAAUAAUAAUAAUAGCUAUAUUUAUGAAGUACUUAGUAAUAUGCAAGCCCUUUCAAUGCAUUUUCCCUACAUUAAUUCACUUAACCCUCACAGCAAGACUAAUAUUACUCAUUUGUUAUAAAUGAGAAAACUGAGACACAAAAAAGUUAAACAGUUUCAUCCCAGUUAUAUACAACUACCUUAAUAACAAAGGCAGUCUGGCUCCAAACUCAGGGAUUUUAACUUACCACUAUAUUGCCUCUUUCCCCCCUCCCACCCUACCCCCUCCACUGAGACAAGGUCUUACUCUGUCACCCAGGCUGGAGCACAAUCAUGGCUCACUGCAGCCUCAAACUCCUGGGCUCAAGUGAUCCUUCUCCCUCAGCAUCCAGAGUAGCUGAAACCACAGGCAUGUGCCACCAUGCCCAGCUAAUUUUUUUAGUUUUUGUAGAGAUGGGGUCUUGCUGUAUUGCCCAGGCUGGUCUCGAACUCCUGAGCUCAAGCAAUCCUCCCUACUUGGCCUUCCAAAGUGCUGGGAUUACAGAUGUGAGCCACCACACCCAGCAUUUUCUUUCUAUUUUUUUCAAAGAGACAAGGUCUUGCUAUGCUGCCCAGGCUGGCCUCAAGCAAUCCUCCUGCUUCAGACUCCCAAGUAGCUAGGACUGUGGGUAUAUACCUCUCACCAGCUUAUAUUGCCUCUUAUAAUGAGGGACUAACUAAUGUUGCCUUGGAUGGCAGUUAAGACUAAAGAGAAAAGAGCGUAGAAGAUAUAUUUGAGACAGACCACUGAAGAAUCACCAGGAAUUCACCAGACAGACUAGAUGUUUGGGGUGGAAGGCUGAGUGCUUAUUAGCAGGGAGUGCUUGAGGGGACAACCCUCUAAGCAAAAAGAAGGCAGGUACAGCAACAGCAGGUCAGGGACAAAGGUAUGAGAUUUAGAGUACAGGGUGCAGUCACAGAACAGUCAGUAGUCUGCAUAUACUGUAGGACCCAUGGGUCCCAGAACAAGAGGGGAGGCUCUAAAGAUGACUGUGGUGUAGUGGGCCUUGGAGGCUUUAUAUUUCAGGUAAGAGAGACCCAUCAGAGGCCUUUCUGCUGAGUGAUAUGAGCAGAUCUACCUACUAUAAAGAUAACUCAGGAUGAAAGGUACAAGAUGGCCAAGAGGCCAGGAGAGCAAUUAGGAGAUUACCACAAUAAUUGUGUCAAGAAAUGAUAAGGAGUGGUUGGAUGCAAGCACAUGUUUCGGAAGCACAAUCAACAGUACUUGAUAGGCCAGGUGUGGUGGUUCACACCUGUAAUCCCAGCACUUUGGCAGAGGUGGGAGGAUCACUGGAGCCCAAGAAUUCAAGACCAGCUUAGACAACAUAGUGAGACCCCAUCUCUAUAAAUAAUUUUAAAAUAAAUAAAAAUUAAGAUGUUUAAAAUGAAAAUACAAAAUAACAGUACUUGCUGACUGGUUGCAUAUGAAGGAUAAGGAAGACAGGCAGACAGGCAAAGCUAUCCUGAGGCUCUUUUUCUGGGCAGAACAGGACAAAAAGGGGAUCAGCAUUUAAAAGGAAUAAUAAUAAUAGCAACUAAUAUUUAUUAAGAUAUUAGUAUAUACCAGCACUAUGCUAAAUACUUUUACAAGAAUUAUCUCAUUUAAUAUUGAUAAAAUAAGUUCAUUAUCACCCUUUCAUAAAUGGAGAAAUGGAGGCUUAAAGAAAAUAAGUAGUUUAUUCACGGACACAGUCACUAAGCACUGAAGCCACAGAAAGACUCUGACUUUAGAUAAACUGAGUUUAAGAUAUCUGGGGAGGCAUCCAAAUGUAGAUUUCUAACAGGCAGCUCAAUAUUUUUGUACGAACUUAAGCUAAGAGUACCACAGAUACAGAUUUAUAAUAACAAUGUAACUAUACUGUUGUUACUAUUCCUAUUAUUAGCAUUUAUUAAGCACUUAGUGUACAUGAGACACUAUUUUAAAUGUUUUACACACAUUAUUCAUUUACUCCACACAAUCCUGAGAUAGGUAGCUCUAGUCUCCCCACUCUUACUUACAGAGAAAGAAACAGAAACAUAGAGACAAAGUAAAUCAUUCCGUGUCUCUUAGGGAGAAAAUAAUGGAGCCAGAUUCAAAUCCUGGUCUCUCUGGUUUGGAUGAGGGAACAGAAGAGAAGGUGGGGCUACAGGUGGGUUGGAUAGAGGAGCCAAGGACAAAAUCCAGAAGAAUAUAAUCGCUUAACAAGUAGGCAGAGAAACAGGCACUAUCUCAUAGGAUGGUUGUAAAGAUAAGUAAAAGCACACAAAGGACUUGGCUAGGGCCACAGUUUGAAUGUCUCCGCCUCUAAAAGUCAGAUGUUGCCAACGUGAUGGUAUUAAGAAGUCGGGCCUUUAAGACAUCAUUAAGUCAUGAGGGUUCCUCCGUUCAUGAAUGCAAUUAGGUGCCCUUAAAAAUGGGCUUGAUGGAGGGAGUUACUCCCUUUUUGCCCUUCUGCCUUCUGCCAUGUGAGGACACAGCAUUCAAGGCAUCGUCUAAGAAGCAGAGACCAAAUCCCCAUCAAUGAACCUGCCAGUGCCCUCCCAGCCUCCAGAACUAUGAGAAAAUAAAAUUCUGUUAUUUAUAAAUUACCCAGUGUCAGGUAUUCUCCUAUAGCAGCACAAAAGAACUGACAGCAACCAAAGCUCUAUCAGUUUGGAGGAUGUGCUACAGGAUGAGGAGACAGAAGAGAACCAACAGGGAAGUAGAUAUAUUAAAUGGAAAAGGAUUAGUUAAUAAAACAAAGUCCCUGGAUUAAGAAAAUGUGGCACAUAUACACCAUGGAAUACUAUUUAGCCAUAAAAAAGGAUGAGUUCAUGUCCUUUGUAGGGACAUGGAUGAAACUGGAAACCAUCAUUCUCAGCAAACUAUCGCAGGGACAAAAAAUCAAACACCGCAUGUUCUCACUCAUAGGUGGGAACUGAACAAUGAGAACACUCGGACACAGGAAGGGGAACAUCACACACUGGGGCCUGUUGUGAGGUGGAGGGAGUGGGGAGGGAUAGCAUUAGGAGAUAUACCUUAUGUAAAUGAUGAGUUAAUGAGUGCAGCACACCAACAUGGCACAUGUAUACAUAUGUAACAAACCUGCACAUUGUGCACAUGUGCCCUAGAACUUAAAGUAUAAUAAAAAUAUAUAGAUAGAUAUAGAUAUAGAUAUAGAUAUAGAUAUAGAUAUAGAUAUAGAUAUAGAUAUAGAUAUAAAGUCCCCAAGAAGAAGUGGCAGAAUGGGAUCAGGACAGUGCAGGUGAACACACAGAGCUUCUAUCUCACCUGCUAACGAAAGUAUAAACUUGUCUGGAGGAUGGUCUGGCCAACUCUUACCAACAUUUCAAAUAUGCCCAUCUUUUGAUCUCCUCUUCUAAAACUUGGCUGUGCAUAUAUACCAACCAAGGAUAUACCUACAAAUUCAAGGAUGGUCCACCUUUGGCAAUAUUGGUGAAAAUGAAAAAUGGAAGGAACUUAAAAGUCCAUCAAUAGGGGAAACGUGAAAUAAAGUAAUACACAUCUAUAUAAUAACAUUUUACAUAGCCAUUUAAAAGAAACAGGUCAAUACGCUGACAUGAAAAUAUUUCUAUAGUUUAUUUUUUAAUUAACCAUUUCUUUAGAGAUAAUUGUAGAGUCACAGGCAGUUGUAAGAAACAACAGAGAUCUCCUGUACCCUUUACCUUGUUUCCCUCAAUGGAGACAUCUUGUGAAACUAUCGUUCAAUAUCAAAAUUAAAUUUUUAAAAAACUUAGAUAAUACUACAUACAUUACCCUUGUGUAUUUUAAGUGUCCACAAAAUGUGUACAUGUACAGAAGAAGAUUUAACUACUAGCAGUUGACACCUGGAAGUAUAAAACGUUAAAGGAGGAAAAAAUGGAAGACGUAUACCUUUACUUUAUGUACAUCUGCACUAAUUUUUCUUACGAAGUACAUAAAUUACUCCUAGAAUAUACAAGGCAAACAGGUAGAGGGGUUAGAUUUUGAAAUAAGUACAGGCACCUAUUCUUUUAACCAAGGGAGUUUAAUAUUUGGAAGCAGUGGGGAGGAAAAGUGAAAAGGAUCACACUGAAACCCUCUAUUUCCUCAAUUUAGUAGACUGGCAAGCUGUGAUUCAUUCAAUAGGAACAAGUACUCGGUCACAGACUACUCCAUGCCAGGCUCCGUCCUAGGCCAUGGAAAUUAACCAGACAGGUAUGAUUUCUGACCUCGAGGAGCUUAGAGCCUACCAACAAAGGUAGGCAUUAACAAAAAACAUUACACAGUUAUACUCACCAUUACAGUAGAGCACAGCAGUUUAGAACGUGGGCACUGGGGUCUGCCCGGGUUCAAAUUCCAACUCUGCUACCAAAUGGCUGUGUGACUUUGGACAAGUGACUUAACAUUCCUCACUUCAGUUUCCUCAUCUAUAAGAUGCAGAUAAUUCUAGGUCCUACUUAUUUACCCACCUAUACAACUCAUAGGGUUGCUAUGAAAACCAAAAAACUUCCUAUGUGUAAGUGCUAAGAACAGUCUCUGCAACUCAUAAACACUCAAAGGUUGCUGCUAUUAUUGUUGUUACCAUCAUUACUAUUAAUAAUUUCAGAGGGAAUCUAAUCUACCUUUAGGCAAAUGGAAGGUCAGGGAAAACUUUCUUGAGAAAGGAACACAUAAGCUAAGUCCUUAAGAUAAAUACAAAUUAAACAUGCCAAGAAAAAAGGUGUCCAGCAGAGAAAAGAGCAUAUACAAAGCCCUGUGCUAAGAAUGAGCUUGGCAUGUGAAGGAUCUGAAAAAGGGCCAGUGAAGCUAAGGCGCUAAGAGGACAGAGAUGAGGCUAGAAAACCAGAAAGAUCCUGUUAAACUUAAGAAUUUUACCUCUGGCCAGGUGCAGUGGCUCACACCUGUAAUCCCAGCACUUUGGCAGGCUGAGGCAGGCAGAUCAUGAGGUCAGGAGUUCAAGACCAGCCUGACCAACAUGGUGAAACCCCAUCUCUGCUAAAAAUACAGAAAGUAGCGAGGCAUGGUGGCAUGCACCUGUAAUCCCAGCUACUCAGGAGGCUGAGGCAGGAGAAUCGCUUGAACCCAGGAGGCGGAAGCUGCAGUGAGCCGAGAUCACACCACUGCACUCCAGCCCGGGCAACAGAGCGAGACUCCAUCUCAAAAAAAAAAAAAAAAAUUACCUCCAUCUUUAUAAUGAACAGUAUUGUACAGGAAAUAACAUAAUAGAUUUGUUGUUUUCUCUCUUUUUAAAGGUCACUCUGCUGAAGUGUAGAAUCAGCUGCAAUGGAGGAAGGUGACACGAACCAAAGGAAAAUGUGGAAAGAUUUAGAAAGAACUGUCAUUCUGGUGAAGGAGAAAUGAAAUCAACUCCAAACAAGUGAGAAAACUACUAAAGAGAAUAAUAAGCACAGAUGAGGCUAAAACCCAUGGAUUAGCAAAAGAACAAAUUAAUAUGAUGAAAUCAUUUCUUCAGGCCCUAGAGCGGGAACACAGAAAAAGGGCAGUACUGUUAAUCCACAGCUGGAGAUCUGCAUGGCAUGUGGGAAAGAAGAACAAAGAUGCAGGAGAACUGCGGAUACUGAUGACUCAUUGAAAGUGACCAAUUAUGGCAUCCAUAUGGGAUAAAGUGAUGCCAGGAAGAAUGUCACAAAUUGGGAGACAAUGGAGAUUUAAGGGGCUGGCGGCCUCAGUGAAAUGAGAAAAUAAACUCAGCAAAUGGAAGAACUGAAAAGACAGGAAAUUGUGUUCAAAGAGAAAAAUUUACAGAUUUGUAAUUCCAGAAGUGGACGUUUGGCCACAGAAAUAAAUUGCUACAGAGAAGUGGAAGAACAGAUAGCUGGGAGAAGAAAGACCAAGUCAGAUGAGAUUAAGAUGCUGGACAAGUAAUCAACAUGGACAUUAAAGGCAUACAAAAUCACAGAGUAAGAGAAAAUGAUUUAGAAGGAAUAGGAAUUAAAGUCUCAGUUACAGUCUUAAUAUCACACUAUAAAGAAUGUGUUUUUAAUUAUAUGGAAUAAAACAGGAUGUCUUGCUAAAAACAAAGCUUAAUCUAUUUGUUUAGCCAAAUAAUUUUCAAGGACUUCCCUGAAUAGCCAUUCCUGACAAAAGCUCUUAGAGAGACAAAGAAAGAAGCUUUCUUAACUUGAUGAUUAUUUGUCACAACCAGACAGCAAGCAACAUAUUUAAUGGUAAAAAACUAAAGGCAUAAACAAGCCACAGGCUAGAAGAAAAUCUUUGCAAAAUACCUAUCUGGUGAAGCACUGGUAUCCAAAAUAUACAAAGAACUCUUAAAACUCAACAAUAAGAAAACAAACAUCCCAAUUUUAAAAUGGGCAAAAGAUAUGAUCAGAUACCUCACCGAUAUAUACAGAUGGCAAAUAGUGUAUGAAAAGAUGCUAAACAUCAUAUGUUACUAGGCUACUGCAAAUUAAAACAACAACGAGACACCACAUACCUAUUAGAAUGGCUAAAAUUCAAAGCAGUGACAACAUCAAAUGCUGGUAAGGAUAUAGAACAACAGGAACUCUCAUUUACUGCUGGUGGGAAAGCAAAAUAGUACAGCCACUUUGUAAGACAGUUUGGCAGUUUCUAGAAAACUAAACAUUCUCUUACUAUAUGAUCACGCAGUUCUGUCUUUGGUAUUUAGCCAAAUGAGCUGAAAACAUAUAUCCACACAAAACCUGCAGACAGAUGUUUAUAGCAGCUUUAUUCAUAGUUGAAAAAAGUUGAAAGCAACCAACAAGUUCCUUAAUAGGUGAAUGGGUAAAUAAACAGUGGAAAUCCAGACAAUGGAAUAUUAGUGCUAAAAACAAUGAGCUAUCAAACCAUGAAAAAACUUGGAGGAAACCUAAAUGCACUUUACUAAGUGAAAAAAAGUCAAUCUGAAAAGGCUACAUGCAAUAAUGCCAUUCUGGUAACAUCAAAACUAUGGAGACAGUAAAAAGAUCAGUGAUUGGCCAGGCGAGGUGGCUCAUGCCUGUAAUCCCAGCACUUUGAGAGGCCGAGGCAGGCGGAUCACCUGAGAUCAGGAGUUCGAGACCAACCUGGCCAACAUGGUGAAACCCCAUCUCUACUAAAAAUAUAAAAAUUAGCCAGGCGUGGUGGCGCAUGCCUGUAAUCCCAGCUACUCGGGAGGCUGAGGGAGGAGAAUCGCUUGAACCCGAGAGGCAGAGUUUGCAGUGAGCCGAGAGCAUGCCAUUGCACUCCAGCCUGGAUGACAAGAGCAAAACUCCAUCUCAAAAAAAAAAAAAAAAAUCAGUGAUUGCCAGGGACUGAGGAGAGGAAGGGAUGAAUAGGUACAGCACAGGGAAUUCUUAGGGUAGUGAAAUUAUUCUGUAUGAUACUGUAAUAAUGGAUAUGCAACAUUACAAAUUUGUGAAAACUCUUACAAAUGUGCAACACAAACUAUGGAUUCUAAUGUAAACUAUGAAUUUUAGUUAAUGUACCAAUAUUGCUCAUCAAUUGUAGCAAAUGUACCACACUAAUGCAAGAUGUUAAUAUCAGGGAAAAUCGUGAGGACAGGCAGAGAUAAUGGGAUAUGUGGGAUUUCUCCGUACUUUCUGCUCAACUUUUCUGUAAACUCUAAACUUCUCAACAUAAAGCCUGGCCAGAUGCUGUGGCUCACACCUGUAAUAUCAGAACUUUUGGAGGCUGAGGUGAAGGGAUCGCUUGAGGCCAGGAGUUUGAGACCAGGCAGGGCUAACACAGUAAGACCUCGUCUCUAUCAAAAAUUAAAAAUUAGUUGGGCAUGGUGGCACACACCGGUAGUCCCAGCUACUCAGGAGGCUGAGGCAGGAAGAUGGCUUGAGCCCAGAAGUUCAGGGCUGUGGUAAGCUGCGAUCAUACCACUGCACUCCUGGGCAACAGAGCAAGACCCCAUCUCAAAAAAUAGAUAAAAUAAAGCCUAUUCAUUAAAAAAAAAAUUUUAAGGUAUUACCAUUUGAGUCACACAAGAGAAGAUAAUGUCUGUUGUGUGUGUGUGUGAGCGAACACGCAUGUGGUAAAGCAAUAUAUUCGAGAGGUUCAGAGUGCAAACUCUGCUUGGGCUCAGUCUGGCUCUUCCACUUAAUGGUUGCGUCACUUUGGGUAAGUUAUAAACUUCUCUAAGUGUCAGUUUCUUCACUGGCAAAUUGGGGAUAAUAAUCAUCAUGGAGUUUUAAAGAUUAAACGAGUUCACAGAUGUAAAAGCACUGACCAGAACAAAUUAAGUACUCAAUAAAUCUUAGUUCCCUGUAACUCAACAUAAGGUCUAUGAACCCAUAAGUCAACAUUACCUGGGAGCUUGUCAAAAUGCAGACUCUCAGGCCACUCCAGCCCUACUGAGUCUUCAUUUUAAUAAGAUCCUCAGGUAAUUGCUGUGCAUAUUUAAGUUGAAAAGCACUGUAUUCGCUGGUAUGAUUAUUAUCAAUCAUAAGCUAUUCUUUGAAAAUGUCAAUAAAUAAGCAGAAAUAUUAGAAGAGUCCAAAUUAUUAUUUGCUGAUGAUACGUUACAAAAAAAGAGAAUCAAUUAUAAUAGUUAAUGAAAUUUUGAAACAUAUUCUAAAGAUACAGUAAUUAAAACAAAGUAUAGGCACAUAAAUAAAUAAAGAGUGUAUGUUAAUAUGACCGUUUCAAAUAAGUGAGUAAAUGAUAAACUGAUAGGGCAAUUGGGUAUAGAUUUUUUUUUUUUAAAUAAAAAAGUCAAGCCAGGCACAGUGGUUCACGCCUGUAAUCCCAGCACUUUGGGAGGCGUAGGUAGGCAGAUCAUUUGAGGUCAGGAGUUCAAGACCAGCCUGGCCAACAUGGUGAAACCCCAUCUCUACUAAAAAUACAAAAAUUAGCCAGGCGUGAACUCCACUGUGCCCGGCCUGCUAAUGUUAUAUUUUCAGUAGGAAAUAGGCUAAUAUUUCAGCAGGCUAAUAUUUUCAGUAGGAAUUACAAGCUUUCUGAUUUUCCCUCGAAAAUUACUUAACCCUUUGGAAAUAUAUUCUCACGUUAUCCAAAUUUUCCUAAGAAUUCUUAAAGUAAAAAUAUGUCAAAUUUUGUCCUCCCCAAAUGGGCCACAACGUGCAUUUCCAUUGGCCCUCUGAUCAAACCUAGUUCCAGUUUAGUUUCAACAAUGAACCAUCUAAGCCAGGCAAGAAAUUUAACAACAUAACACCAAAUAUCGGCCCAAAAUGGAACCCAUAGGUCCAAAAUAUGCCUAAUAGUAACAGACAGCAAUUGUUUAAAAGUAAUUGCAAAGAAAUACAGUAAGUCCAAAUUCACUUUAGUUUCAAUUCUGAAUCAUUUCUCAAUCUCUAAACUGGAAAAAAAAAAUUUAGCCAUUUGUCACCUCUGACUAAAUACAGGCUAAAUGCAGGCUUCAGUCCCCAAAUCACUAAGUGUGGAAAAAGUGCAUGCCUUCAAGAAAAGUGCCAACGGGAGGAUUUUCCCAGAAAGAGUGGUUCACAUACACAGUAGGAAAAUCUUGUAUAGGUAACUUGGCUACCAAUUUAAUUCCCUCAACCAAUUUGGAAACUAAUGGAAGUAAAUGACUAAGAACUAAAAUACAUCAGACAGCAUGGAAAAAAACAUACGUAUUAAAAGCACACAAUGUGAUUUAAGUUUGUUUUUAAUUGCCUUUUGCUGAAGUUGGAAUAUUAAAUUCUUUUGCUGCAGAUAAAUCAGAAAUCAGCUUUACUGGUUUCCUAUAAUGUUGCACUUAGAAAUGUUCAGCUGCUAUAAUGAAUUACAUGACUACUUAAAGGGGUUUCUUACUCCUUGUACAAUAUUUAAAAGAAUGUAUUACAUGUAUAUCUGCCUUAUACUAACUAAUCUUCAUAUCAUUGGGUCUAAAUUAUUAAAGUGAUAUAAACUACCAGUUAUUGGAAUUAAACACCCUCCCCUUUCUCUAAAACUGUUAGCUUCAAUGAGUACCCACGUCUCAGAAGCUAUGACCAUAACUACACUGAAACCAUAAAUUAGUGAGAUUGGAAUUCCCCCACAAAGGAGGGGGAAGAUUCAAUACCUUUUCUCAUAGCUGUAGCAGGCAAUACUCUCUUGGUUUCUCAGAACCACUAAGUACGGCAGUCUCCUCUGCCCAAUGUAAAGUCAGCUGCCAGGCUAUCUGUAACCAAACCGUAGAACCUAGUUUCCCUUUCUGAAAAGGUAAAUAAUCCUUCUGGCCUGAUUUACCAAUAAAGAUGUGAGUAAAAAGAAAUUAUCAAGGAGAGCAUACCCAGGCUUUAACUUCUUAAUGAAGUUUCUUUUUUUUUUUUUUUUUUAGAUGGAAUCUCACCCUGUUGCCCAGGCUGGAGUGUAAUGGCAUGAUCUCGGCUCACUGCAACCUCUGUCUCCCGGGCCUCAGCCUCCCAAGUAGCUGGAAUUACAGGCAUCCACCACUACGCCUGGCUAAUUUUUUGUAUUUUUAGUAGAGACGGGGUUUCACCUUGGCCAGGCUGUUCUCGAACUCCUGAUCUCAAGUGAUUCGCCCCACUUCAGCUUCCCAAAGCUAGGAUUACAGGCAUGAGCCACCACGCCUGGCCUGAAGUUUCUUAAGAUUCCCCAUCUUAUAAGAAAAAGACAAACCUUGUUGGUAAUGUUAAUACCAAUAAGUACAAAUUGCACGCUCCAUAUCUCAUAUUCAGUCAGAAAAAAAAAAUUAGCCUUCAGGGACACUGAUAACUUUAUUAUAUGUUAAUGAAUACAGUAUCAAAAACAUCUGGAAAAAGUACCCCUGUUAAAGAGCACAGCAUUAAGAAUUCACAGAGGCUGCUCAGGAUAAAGCCAGGUCAAAACUAAGGUCAACAUCCUUCAGGGUUUUCAAUGUCAGGGUCAUUCAUGUACUGAGACUUAAACUUGAUCCUGAGUAUAAUUUGUCAGUAACUGCCAAGAAUUUAAAAAAGGAAAAACAAUAAUUUAGAGUGCCUGUAUUAUCUAAUUUAUAGUAGACUUCAUUAACACCAGAGAAACAUCACAAUUCCUAUACCCCUACAACUUUUUAAUUAUCUCUUCAAGACAUCUUAAAUGAAAACAGCAUAUUACUUAUUGCCUCUCACUCUUAACUCCUUUUUCUUUAUUCUUUGAGAUUGCUGACUCAAAGCCAUCUUGGGCAAUAAAGACUGGUUCAGCAUUCUUCCAACUCAUCUAAAAAACAUUUUACAUUUAGUGGCAGUUCAGUCUUUAACCACAGAUCACAUUUCUUUUCUACUGAUAAGCACUGUCACAAAUCAGAAUUAACAAUACAAUUUUAGCAUAUUAUCUUAUCAGACUUCAUAAUUCUCCACUGCUGCCUAGAUCUUGAUUUUUCAACUCUUAUACCUACAACGGCUGCUUUUUAAAAAGGCAUCUUAAAACAGGUCUUUCAUUUAAGUUCUUUCUACAGCAAAGGCAGGGUAAUUAGUAGCUAAAUGGCUUACAAAUUGAGCUCUCUUCAAACACUAAAAAUAUUACCUAAACUAAUAUAUCUGAACUGCACUUGACUUUUAAUUGCUAAAAUUCUCGUGUUAGAUAAAACUCAGGAAUUGAUCCCAUAGAAAGUAACUUUGUCGGCCAGGCGGUGGCUCACGCCUGUAAUCCCAGCACUUUGGGAAGCCGAGGUGGGCAGAUCACGAGGUCAGGAGUUCAAAACCAGCCCGGUCAGCAUGGUGAAACCCCAUCUCCACUAAAAAUACAAAAAAUUAGCUGGGCAAGGUGGCACACGCCUGUAGUCCCAGCUACUCGGGAGGCUGAGGCAGAAGAACUGCUUGAACCCAGCAGGCAGAGGUUGCAGCGAGCUGAGAUUGCACCACUGCACUCCAGCCUGGGUGACACAGGGAGACUCCAUCUCAAAAAUAAUAAUAAUAAUAAUAAUAACAAUAAUAAUAAUAAUAAUUUCGUCUCUAGUGAUUCUUACCCAACAUAAAAUGAGACGUAGCUUGGUUUCUUCCCUUGUUCUGAUAAACCCCAAACUACUUUAUUAUUUUAAAAAAUGAAAGAACAAGUGAAGACUGGAUAUUAAAUUUUAAUUAUAAACUAUUUUAAACAGUAAAAUUAAAAGUCCAUUAGUCUAUUAGAAUAAUCACAGUAAAUACAUCAUGUUAAUAAAAGAAAUGAAUUUUUCAUUUUUUUUACAGCAAAUCAGACAACUCAAUAACUUUUGAAAACAAUCCAUGAAAACGAAUGUUAAACCUGGCACUGUAUUUCAUUUGAGGGCAUGGAAACUUUACAGUGACUUAAGACAAAAUAUUCUAUACAGCGGAGUUGAUCAAAAUAAAUGCUUUUUAAACACAAAUUUAGUAUCUUCAAUAUCUUCAAAUUUAAAAAUAACUUUCAUAAAUUGAUUUUUUUUUUUUUUUGACACAGAGUCUCACACUGUUGGAGUGUAGUGGCACGAUCUCAGCUCACUGCAACCACUACCUCCAGGAUUCAAGCAAUUCAUCUGCCUCAGCCACCCUAGUAGCUGGUAUUACAGGCAUGCACCACCACACCUGGCUAAUUUUUGUAUUUUCAGUAGAGACAGGGCUUCACUCUGUUGGCCAGGCUGGUCUCGAACUCCUGGCCCCAAGUGAUCUGCCCACCUCAGUCUCCCAAAGUGCUGCACAAUUACAGGUGUGAGCCGCCAAACCUGGCCCAUAAAUUGAUUUUAAUGAAGUUUAUUCCCUGAGCCAAUAUUUCUUUAUUUAUUUUUACUCCUAUCAAUCUAAAAUUCCUGGUGUCUUAUGCCAAGGAAUCCGGUCUUCACUAGAAUACUUUAUUUUUCUUUUCUUUUCUUCUUUUUUUUUUUUUUGAGAUGGAGUUUUGCUCUGUCACCCAGGCUGGAGUGCAGUGGUGUGACCUCAGCUCACUGCAACCUCCGCCUCCGGAUUCAAGUGAUUCUCCUGCCUCAGCCUCCUGAGUAGCUGGGAUUACAGGCACACGCCACCAUGUCUGGCUAAUUUUUGUAUUUUCAUAGAGAUGAGGUUUCACCAUGUUGGUCAGGCUGGUCUCAAACUCCUGACCUUAAGUGAUCCACCCAACUCGGCCUCCCAAAGUACUGGGAUUACAGGCGUGAGCCACCGCACCUGGCCUCUAAAAACUCUUGCUCUUCAAAAGACACUGCUGAAAGAAUGAAAAAAUAAGCCAUGGAAUCGGAAAAAAAAAAAAUCUUUGCAAAGCGUAAAGCAUUUAUAUAACACAGGACUUGUAUCCAGGAUAUAUAAAGAAUUCUCAAUAUUCAACUAUAAAGAAACAAUCCUUUUUUUUUUUUUUUUGGAAAGACAGGGUCUUGCUCUGUCACUCAAGUUGGAGUGCAAUGGCACCAUCACAGCUCACUGCAGCCUUAAACAGCUAGGCUCAAGUGAUCCCCCCACCUUAAACUCCUGAAUAGCUGGGACUAAAGGCACAUGCCAAGCACCCAGCUAAUUCUUAAGUUUUUUGUAGAGACAGAGUGUCGCUUGUUGCCCAGGGUGGUCUCGAACUCCUGGCUUCAAGUGGUCCUCCCACUUUGGCCUCCCAAAGUGCUGGGAUUACAGGCAUGCAUGAGCCACUGUGCCCGGUCAGCCCAUUUCUUUUAAUGAGCAAAAGAUCUGAACAAAUGCUUCACCAAAGAAGAUACACAGCAUGAAAAUAAGUACAUAAAAAGAUACUCAAUAUCAUUAGUCAUUAGGGAAAUGUAAAUUAAAACCACAAGAUACCAUGACACAACUAUUGGAACAACUAAAAUUUAAGAUAUAUCAUUUUAGCAAUGGUAAGGAUUUAAAGCAACUAGAACUCUCCUAUCUCAUAUAUUGCUAAAGAGAAUAUAAAAUGGUACGGCAACUUUGGAAGACAAUUUGGCAGUUUCUUUAAAAGUUAAACAUAAACCUACCAACCAUAUGACCCAGCCAUUCCACUGUAAGGUAUUUACCUAAGAGAAAUGAAAACAUACAUCUACGCAAAGCUGUACAUGAAGUUCAUAACAGCCUUAUUCAUAAAAGCAAGAAAACCAGACACAAUCCAAAUGUUCAUCAAUAGGUGAAUGAAUAAACAAAUCUUGUUACAUCCAUACAAUGUAACACUACUCAGAUUACCACUCAGCAAUAAAAAACAACAAACUCUGAUACAAACAACAAUAAAUGAAUCUUAAAGAAUGCUGAUGAAAGAAGAGUACAUCCUAGAUGAGGCCAUUUAUAUGAAAUUCCAGAAAAAGCAAAACUAACCUAUGGUGACAGCAAAUCAGUGGUUUUCUGGAAGUGGAGGAGGAUGAGAAUGAAUGCAAACAGUGCUACUGUAACUUUCUGCGAGACUGAAUUGUUCUGUAUCUUGAUUGUAUGGUUAUUAAAUGGGUGUGUAUAUUUGUCAAAAUUCAAAUUGUAAACUUAAAAUGGUUCAAUCUUAUUGAAUGUAAAUUAUGCCUCAAUAAAGUUGAUUAAAAAUAUCAAAAUGUGGCCAGGCACGGUGGCUCAUGCCUGUAAUCCCAGCACUUUGAGAGGCCAAGGCGGGAGGAUCACUUGAGGUCAGGAGUUCGAAACCAGCCAGGCCAACAUGGUGAAACCCCAUCUCUACUAAAAAUACAAAAAUUAGCUGGGCAUGGUGACAGGCACCUGUAGUCCAAGCUACUGGGGAGGUUGAGGCAGAAUCGCUUCAACCCGGGAGGCGGAGGCUGCAGUGAGCCGAGAUCGCGCCACUGCACUCCAGCCUGGGCAACAGAACAAGACCCUGUCUCAAAAAUAAAUAAAUAAAUAAUUUGUAAAAAAUAAAUAUUAAUUCUGGUCCCUGAAUAACUUUUGGAACACUGUGGAAAUAACAAAUUUAUGUUAAAAAGAAUGUAAAGGCUACAAAGUCAAGUUAUACUCUCUAUGCAAAAGCCUGCAACUAAGAAUACACAAUAUUAUCAUCAAACCAAAUUAAUAAAUACUUAGGUAGCUUAAGGGUCAAAAAUGGUUCCCCACACCCCAAAAAUGGCUCCUUAAGGUCUAUAAGAUCAAGCCCAAAUGUCUCAACUAAAAAUUCAUGUCCUUUAUGAAAUGACCCCAUCCUACCCAUCAAAAAUAUCUUCUGUUCCCCAAUCCAAAUUCAUCUAUUCUCCACCAAACAUAGUAUUUUCUCUCCCUGGAAUGCUAUCCCCAUAUUACUGUCAGCAAUUCAACUUUCAAUGUUGUUUAAAGAUGAUCCGAACAUCCACUGGCCUAAUAAAAAAUGUCUUUGUGGUCUGGCAUGAUGGCUCAUGCCUGUAAACCUAGCACUUUGCGAGGCCAAAGUAGGAGGGUCACUUGAGCCCAGGAGUUUGAAACCAGCCUGGGCAAUAUAGCGAGACCCUAUCUCUAAAGUAAUACAAAAAUUAGCUGGACAGGUGGCGCAUGCCUGUAGUCCCAGCUACUCAGGCAGCUGAGCCCAGGAGGCUGAGGCUGCAGCGAGCCCAAGCGGUUGAGGCCACAGUGAGCCAUAAAUGCACCACUGCACUCCAAACUGGGUGACAGAGUGAGACCCUGUUUCAAAAGAAAAGCCUUUGGUUAUUCCUAACCCAAAAUGUUCUUUCCUUUCUCUAGAAUUUCUUAUGUUUGGCCAGAACUAUAAAAUAUGACAUAUAAUUUUAAACCACAUUUUCCUAUUCUCUAAUUAUGUUUUGCUUUUUAAAUCUUAUUUCUUCACCUAUAAGGAGGAAGAGCCUUAAAGAUGGGUAGUAUGACUCCUACCCUGUUGUAACUUACCACACUGCUGGGAAAAUAGCAGGGCUUGUUCUCUCAGUGAUGCUGCACUACAGAUAGAUUGAAACUUAAGGGGAUGGAAAUCUAAACUGCAUUCCCAUUUGGAAACAUCAGCAUGAAUCUAUGGCUUUACUUGCCCAUCUAAAAUUAGAGAGAAAGAAGAUAAAGGGGUAGGCUUGACAAUUCUGCCAGUUCUGGUAGUUGUUAAGAUUUUUUUUUGGGGGGGGGGGGGUUUGUUGUUGUUAUUUUAUGGAAAUUUUCAAACAUAUAUAUAAGUAGAAAGAAAUAAUACAAUGUGCCUCUUGUACCCAUCAGCCAGCUUAGACAGUUAUAAAUAAAUACAUGGCCAUUUUAUCUAUACUGCUGACCACUUCUUCCUUUCCCCCAGCAAAUCUCAGACACAUUCCGUCAUCCAUAUGUAUUUCAGUAUAUAUUUCUAAAAGGUAAGUACUUUUUGUCUGCAAUAUGACCACCAUACUACUGCCCCAUCUGAAGAGAAUAAUUCCUUAACAUCAGAUACCCAGUCAAUGUUCAAACUGCCCCAAUUAUCAUAUAAGUUUUUUAGCAACUGGUUUGUUCAAAUCACCAUCUAGAAUUAUUUCAGAGGGAAAUAACGGUUUCCUUGUCUCCUGCUCUGUGGUCUUUUACCCCUUCAAUUUCAUAUACUUACCUUCUUAAUUUUUAAGUGUAGGCAAAAGAGCAUUUCCUUCCCCCAGUACCCUCUAUUCUCCUUCUUAAUAAAGAAUAUAUCCCUUCUAUUUCCAAUAUUGAAGUUUGCCAUUACCUCAGAGCUUUUAGCACAUUCAGAAAAACAUUUAAGUCAAUCACACAGCCUCCCUCCUUCACAUUUAAGUCGCCACAUUCAUUUACUACUCAGGAAGAGUUUUGAUCUCUAACAUCAUAAAAUGUAAAUAAUGUUGGCCCAUUAAAAGAUUAUUUUCUAUUUCUAAAAAUCUUUAUGAGAAAUUCGAUUUUGAUCUUUAAGUUAUUACAUUCUCCGCUUCCCAUUUUAGGUGAGUUACUUUUAACACUUCAUGAACUAAGGCAUAGUGAUAGGGCAUUUAAGCCCAAAAGAUUACAACAUGCUACUAAGAGAUCAACAUUAGCUUAGCUCUAUUCCUUAGUCAUGAAAUGCAUCCCUCAUUAUAAUGUCACAAGGAGAACUAGAUGAGAAGCUAUGCAAUGGUAACCUCAAAUACAACCCCUUCACUAGAAAACAAUAUAAAUGCAAAUAGUGAAUCAGUAAGGUCAUUUCCACUCAUUUUUAGCACAGAUUAACAGAAGCAGAUAACAAAUAUUAGGCAAACAACUAGAAGGAAUUUUUUUAAAGGGAUAAUCUACCAGGCAUGGUCGCUACUGCCUGUAAUCCCAGCUACUCAGGAAGCUAAGAUAAGAAGAUCACUUGAGCCCAGUAAUUCAAGGCUGCAGUGAGCCAUGAUUGUGCCACUUUACUCCAGCCUGGAUGACUGAACAAUACCUUUUUUUUUUUUUCUUUUUUGAGACAGAGUUUCACUCUUGUCGCCCAGGCUGGAGUGCAAUGGCACGAUCUCGGCUCACUGCAACCUCCAUCUCCUGGGUUCAAGAGAUUCUCCUGCCUCAGCCUCCUCAGUAGUUGGGAUGACAGGCGCCCGCCAUCACACGAGCUAAUUUUUGUAUUUUUAGUAGAGACAGGGUUUCGCCAUGUUGGCCAGGCUGGUCUCGAACUCCUGACCUCAGGUGAUCCACCCGCCUCUGCCUUCCAAAGUGCUGGGGUUACAGGUGUGAGCCACUGCGCCCGGCCCUUUUUCUUUUUUUUUUUUUUUUUGUGACGAAGUUUCACUCGUGUUGCCCACACUGGAGUACAAUGGUGCGAUCUCAGCUCACCACAACCUCCGCCUCCCGGGUUCGAGCAAUUCUCCUGUCUCAGCCUCCCUAGUAGCUGGGAUUACAGGCCCCCGCCACCACACCUGGCUAACUUUUUGUCUUUUUAGUAGAGACGGGGUUUCACCAUGUUGGCCAGGUGAUCCACCCACGUCGGCCUCCCAAAGUGCUGAGAUUACAAGCGUGAGCCACUGCGGCCAGCCCAAUACCAUUUCAAAAAAGAAACAUAAAAUAAAACAAAAUAGAAAAUAAACUAAAAAGCAAGGCAUUAUCUCAUCACUACUUCUAAGUCCCAAGAGCUACUAGUAACUUCAACAUUCAGCAGGGCAGACUGAAAUCAAAACCUUUGGGCUCAGUAUUGCAAAAAAAAAAAAAAUAACAUGACAGUCUCUGUCCUUAAGGAACUAUACUCUAGCCAGUAAAACAAGAUAUUUAAACAAUUAGCCCACAGUAUAAGAAAUUAUAUCAAUAAAUGCUAAAUUGUAUGAAUCAGAUUUAAAGUAGCAUAGGUCAAAGGGAUAGGUUUGCAAGGGCCAAAGAAGUCAAAGGACUACAUGAAGAUCGGGCUUCCACUGAACCUUGAAGGCAGGGCAGACUAGAUAAGUAACACUAGGAUAAACUGCAAGCUCAUAAGGACAGAGGCCAUGCCUCUCUCUCUUGCUUACCAACGAAUCCCAAUGUCUGGCACAGUGCCUAGAACACAGUGACACUCAAAUAUUUGUAGAUGAAACAGAAGGAUAAAUAGAAGGAAGAAGGGGAAGAAGAAGGGAGGGGAAAAGAGAAAUUCCAAGAGUUGUUGUUUUGUUUUGUAAGACAGGGUCUCGCUCUGUCCUCCAGGCUGGAAUGCAGUGGUUUGAUCAUGUUCACUGCAGCCUCAACCUCCCAGGCUCAAGCAAUCCUCUCACUUUGCCUAUUGAGUAGCUGGGACUACAGAUGUGUGCCACCAUGCUUGGUUAAUUUUUUUUUUUUUUUUUUUUUUUCAGGAGAGAGAGAAUCUCCCUAUGUUGACCAGGCUGGUCUAGAACUCAAGGAAUCCUCCCACCUCAGCCUUCCAAAGUACCGGGAUUACAGGUGUGAGCCACCACACCCAGCCAAGAGUUGUGUUUGUUUGUUUGUUUUAAUGAAAGAUUAAAUGUGGCAAUAUAAUGAGGCAGUGAGGAAACACACACUGGUGAAAAAUAAGGUAAAACAGGUAGAAUUAACUCAAAUCACUGAUGGUUUUAAAGUUCGCCAAAUGAGGUUUAAUAUUUAAUCUCAAAUACUAAAAUGACUAUAUCCACAGCCAGGCGUGGUGGCUCACACCUGUAAUCCCAGCACUUUGGGAGGCCAAGGUGGGCAGAUCACCAGAGGUCAGGAGUUCGAGACCAGCCUGGCCAACAUGGCAAAACCCCAUCUCCACAAAAAAUACAAAAAUUAGCCAGGCCUGGUGGCAUGUGCCUGUAAUCCCAGCUACCAGCGAGGCUGAGGUAGGAGAAUCGCUUGAACCAGGGAGGCAGAAAUUGCAGUGAGCCCAGAUCAUGCCACGGCACUCCAGCCUGCACAAGAGCAAAACUCCGUCUCAAAAAAAAUAAAAAUAAAAAUAAAAAUAAAAUAACAUGACUGUGUCCAAAAAGCAUAUUGUUACAUUUCCACUUUUAAAAACUACUAACUAAAAGUGUAAACAGCUAUUUUCACUAAGAUAGCUAUUCAUCUUUUAAUAUCAUCGGGCAAACCUGGAAAAUGUGCUAACAUUUCUCCAGAGGCGAACCCAUACCACUCGCUAAUACAUAUGAAAGAUUUUGUCCCUAAUAUUUUUACUAUCUGAAAAUGUGAAUGGGUUAUCACUAAGGUCAUCCUCUUUGGUAGUUGUGUAAUCAAAUGGCUGAGGCUUACCACAAUUAAGGCAAGAGACAAGAGAAUGUAACCCAGCAGAAAGCCAGUGACUAAUGCUGAGUCACAGUUUCCAAGUGAUUAUUUAACCAAAAUGUCAACCUCUCAUACUAACAAUUCCCUACAAUGGUGGCUGAAAGUAGAUCAAAGGUAUUAUCCAAAAAGUAUACAUCAGUAUUUUGCAGGAUAAUGCUAAGGGAUUGAGGCCAGUAAAGUCUAGUUGGACCUAGCAUUUAUAAGCCCAAAUUUGCUAAGUCAAGGAGAUUCUUACCUCCUCAAACUUUACAGUGGGAGAAGAAUUCAUGAUUAUGUUGAUCUCAGUAUACUUGGAUCCUCCAGAUAACACCCUCUUGCCAAAAAGUUCCAGGUCCUGGCUACUACCAGCUACAGUCUUUAGUGGCAGCUAUAUAAUCUCAAUAUAGAAGGACUUUAGAAAGAAAAACCUAAUGAGGGAAGGGAGCAUUGGAAAUUUUAUCUUAAGGCUCUACAUAUGCACAGCAAGUGCAUUACUUAAAUUAUAUACACAUUCAUCAUGAGUUUGCGAGCUCUCAACAUCUCCAAUGCUCAUUUUCCUUAGCAUUCCUUCUACUCUUUCAGCCCAAAUCAUCCAUAACAGACAAGUUGUCUGGUUACAUGCUAACACUCAUCCAUACUCAUACUUUCUGGUUAUGUACAGCUGUGAUUAGAAUUCUACUGUCCAAUUUUGAUGCCUAAUACCUGGUAUCGUGGAAAGAACAAGAGCCCUGGAGUCAUAUAGACCUACUUAUAAAUCUCAGCUCUACCACUUACAAGGUAAAGAACUUUGGACAAGUUACCUAAGUGAAGCUCAUUUUUCUCAAUAGAAAUUAGGUAAAACAAUAGUUACUUUGUAAAAAGCUGUUGAAGGCUAGCAAGAAUUAUAUGAAGUAUACAGAACAUAGGAGGCACUUAGCAUACAGCAAUUAAGAUGGAAGUCUAUUGACCAGACCUACACACAGGUUUCCAAAUAGUAUUAACUAUAUAAUGAAAGCAUGAAUCAGCUUCACACGUCCUUGUCUCUCUACUCCCAGUUGUAAGAUGACUUAACUGCUCCUCCGGAGGAAGAAGGCUGUUUCUCAGUCCUCAGUCUUAAGCCAAAAUUGACUAACAUUACAGUUAUCUCCUUACCAUUAACAUGUUUGCUACCACAGCUGCUAAGAAAAUUUUAUGUUUUCACUAUGGCCUAUGUUCUUGUUUUAUGGUCUUGACCAAUAUUUUUAAGAGACAGGGUCUUGCUCUGUUGCCAAGGCUAGAAUGCAGUGGCACAAUCAUAAUUCACUGCAGCCCUGAACUCCUGGGCUCCUACCUUAUCCUUCCUAGUAGCCCAGCCUCCUUAGCAAAUCGUGAAUGCUGUUUCACUCUCAGUCUAUUCUAGGGAGCUCUGACAGUCCCCAGCUUCUCCAGAACUACCACUCUUUGGCUUACCAUACUACUGUACUCCAAGAUGGCAAUCAAACCAUAGUGCUCUGCCAGUGCCUAAGUGCCUUUAUGUCCCUGUAACAGGCUGAUGUCCAGUUCCACUUACUCCUAGCAAACAGGAUCCCAAUUUCUAGAAUGACAGAUACAUCCCUAUCUCAAGCUUGCCCCACCUAGGUCUACUUCCUCUUAUUUUCCCACCCCCACUUCCCUACAGCCCCACAACAGUAUAUGUAUUUUGGGUAAAGUAGACAGAUACUCAAAUAGGAGUCAGAAGACCUUGGUUCUACCUCUACUUCUGCCACUUUACUAGUUAUGAAGUGAUAAAAUGUUGUACUUACCUUACAGGAAGGCUCAAAUAGACAUUUAUGAACAUGUUCUAUAGAUGUAUUAUUAUUAUAAGUAUAGCAAGUUUCUAUUAUGACAAUAUUUACUUGUCAAUAUAAAACCCUAACAUAUUUUUUUAAAUCCUCUAGCAUUGUUUUAUUAGCAACAGCUUAGAAACAACUCAAGGCCAGGCGUGGUGGCUCACGCCUGUAAUCCCAGCACUUUGGGAGGCCCAGGCAGGAGGAUUCCCUGAGGUCAGGAGUUUGGGACCAGUCUAGCCAACAUGGUGAAACCCUGUCUCUACUAAAAAUACAAAAAAAAAUUAGCCAGGUGUGGUGGCAUGAGCCUGUAAUCCCAGCUACUGAGGGGACUGAGGCAGGGAAAUUGCUUGAACCAGGGAGGUGGAGGUUGCAGUGAGUCAAGAUCGCGCCAUUGCACUCCAGCCUGGGUGACAGAGAGAGACUCCGUCUCAAAACAAAAAAAAAAAACAACUCAAAUGAAAUAUCUAAAAAAUAUAUAUAAUACAUCCUUUCAUUGGAAUACCACGUAGCUUUUUUAACAUUAGAUACGAGAGUGAAAAAAGUAAGAUGCAGACUAUUGUAUAUUAUUUACUAUAAUUUGUGUUAAAAGAGGAAAUAAGUAGUAGAUAUUUACAUUUACUUCUAUACACAUAAACUAUCUCAAGACAUAUAAGACACAGAUAAUAUCAACUGCCCCUGGGAAGGGAAAUCUGGAUGAUCAUGGGGUAUGUGUGAACAGGAUACUUUUCACUGUAUUUCACUCUUCUUUAGCUUUUAUGAUUUUGAACCUAAUAGUUCCCUAAAUGGGGUAGGCAUAGCAUCUCCUCAUACAACUAUAAACCUGAGAAAUAAGCUGAACCAUUAAUGAGGAUGACAGCAUAUCUGACAACUCAUUUCCUGGGCCAGCCUCAAACUCACAAUUACCACCACCUAAAACAAAUUACAUUCCCUUCCAUGAUCUCACCAAGUAACAAGAGUUAAUUUAUUCCUUCUAGGCAAACUUCCUGACUUGCUAUACGUAUCUAUGUGCUAUGUAUAUCCACAUUCUAUGUUAUUGAUUAUUUUUUUUUCUUUUUUUUUUUUUUUGAGGAAUCUCAGCUCUGCUGCCCAGGCUGGAGUGCAGUGGCACGAUCUCGGCUCACUGCAAGCUCCGCCUCCCAGGUUCACGCCAUUCUCCUGCUUCAGCCUCCCAAGGAGCUGGGACUACAGGUGCCCGCCACCACACCUGGCUAAUUUUUUUUUUAUUUUUAGUAGAGAUGGGGUUUCACAGUGUUAGCCAAGAUGGUCUCGAUCUCCUGACCUUAUGAUCUGCCCACAUUGGCUCCCAAAGUGCUGGGAUUAUAGGCGUGAGCCACCAAGCCUGGCUUUUUUUUUUUUUUUUUUUUUUUUUUGAGACAGUUUUUUGCUCUUGUUGCCCAGGCUGGAGUGCAAUGCACGAUCUCGGCUCACUGCAACCUCCACCUCCUGGGUUCAAGCAAUUCUCCUGCCUCAGCCUCUCUAGUAGCUGGGAUUACAGGCGCCUGCCACCAUGGCUGGCUAAUUUUUGCAUAUUUAGUAGAGACGGGGUUUCACCAUGUUGGCCAGGCUGGUCUCCAACUCCUGAUCUUAGGUGAUCCACCCACCACAGCCUCCCAAAGUGCUGGGAUUACAGGUGUGAGCCACUGCACCCGGCCAGUUACUGAUACUCGUAAAACUUACCGUUGCAGGGUUCCAUCACAAGCCUUGGAAGAGCUCUCUAAAUCAGAACACUUCCUACCUUCAGGGCCUGUUGAGGAUCCAUUCCAAUGCUAACUUUUCUGAACCAAGGACUGAGUUCUCCCUCUUAAUCACUCAAGAUUCACCACAGGACCCCAGCAAAUCAUUAAUUUGAACUCCAAUGAUUAAAUGAGCACAAUGCAGACCAUCCCCCUAUUUACAGAAGAGUAAAUUAUGUUAAUUUCUUCAAUUUAGCAGAAAGGCAUUCUUCCGAAACCUUUCAGAACAACUGUUAUUUACCAAUUUACCAAGGCAACAUUCUCCCAAAAUAAAAUUUUAAAUGAUAUUGCCUUAAACACAAUUUUUUUUUUUUCGAGAUGGAGUCUCACUCUGUCACCCAGGCUGCAGUGCAGUGGCGCGAUCUUGGCUCACUGCAACCUCCACCUCCCGGGUUCAAGCAAUUCUCUGCCUCAGACUCCCAAGUAGCUGGGAUUACAGGCACCCGCUAAUUACCAUACCCGGCUAAUUUUUGUAUUUUUAUUUUGUAUUUUUAGUAGAGACGGGGUUUCACCAUAUUGGCCAGGCUGGUCUUGAACUCCUGACCUCAUGAUCCACCCGCCUCGGCCUCCCAAAGUACUGAGAUUACAGGCAUGAGCCACUGCACCCGGCUGCCUUAAACAUAAUUUUAAUUAUUCUGGAAUGAGACCAGGUGUGGCUGCUCAUGCCUAUAAUUCCAGUGCUUUGGAAGGCCAAGGUAGGAUAACUGCUUCAGGCCAGGAGUUUGAGACCAGCCUAGGCAACAAACCGAGACACUGUCUAUACUAAAAAUAAAACCACUAGCCAAGUGCAAUGGUGUGUGUCUGUAGUCCUAGCUAUUCAGGAAACUGAGAUGGGAGGAUCACUUGAGCCCAGGAGUUUGAGGUGACUGUGAGCUACAAUCACACCACACUGCACUCUGGCCUGGUCAACAGAGCAAGACCCUGUCUCUAAACAAAACCAAAAAACCAUUCUGGAAUGACAUGACAGGACAUGAAACACUGCUCAAAACAGCAGCUAAUGCUACCUCCAUUCUUGCUCCCUAUGGCAAGCAGGUUAUUUUUGGACCUAGCCUAUGAAGCAGCACUUUGUUGACUAUGAGCUUCAUCCUCUGAAUAUUCCUUUCACAUUCAACCUUGGUCCUCGCUUUCUGGUGCCGAGCUCCAAAACCUCAAUGGAAUACAUAAUGAAAUGUUGGGUUACUUUAGGGCAAAAGGUUAAGCCUACAAAAGCUUUCUAAUUGGGAAAUCUCUUCCAUGAAAGCAUACAGAAAUUUGCUGACUCUUUCUUUUCCUAAUAGCUAUUUGCUUUCUUUGGAAAAAAUCUUCAGUCAAACACAAAAGCCAACUACCUAGCAAAGCUCAAAUACAGACAGGUGUUUUGCAAGCACAGUAAAUCUCAAGGGUAACAAAUCAACAAGAGAUAAUAUCUACUAAUAAGCUGCUUAUUGCUGUGCUGGGAGAGUUAACUGCCUAAAAAUCUCUCAGUUAAGACUAGCAUUGAGGAAAAAAAAAAUUGUAAUACAACUAAAAGAAAAACAAGCUCAUUUUCUACCCAGAGAAAAUGUGCAAAGGGAAGAACCCCUGUAAGUCAACUAUUCUGCUACAUAAAAACCUUUUAUUCCAGAGUUAUUUUCAGUGUCACUUAAUUCCAGGGUGGAGACUAAGGGUCCCAAACAAACCUGUGUGUGUAUGUGUGUAUUUUUCUAGCUUAAUAAUUCUAAAAUCCACGGUUAGGCUUUUUCAGGAAAGUCUGAAAGUCACAAAACCCCUAUUAUGCUCUUUGAGAACAGAAUGGGUAAUCAUGUGAAAAUACAUUUGUAAAUUAGCAGUUAUUUAGAAUAAACAAUUUCAAUUGCAAAGAAAGCAAGGAUUUUAUCACAUUAGGCAUGCCUUGUUCCAUUAGCUCAGUUCCCUAGACCUUAAACUUCUCUGAUGCUCACAAGACCCUGAAGUUGGUUCCUACAUGAGAAAGACAUUACAGAAAAUCCCAAGAGAAUGCUGUAUUUCAGAGUUUAAGAAUUUCUGAUGUUCUACAGAGAAAGGAGGCUACACUAAAGAAUAAGAAAGUGAUUAUUCAGCAAUGUUAUCUGAACUUAAUGCAAGUCACAUCCAAUGAAUCAGUCAAAUACUGCAUGCCACAGGAAGGUAACGUGUCAUGCACAAGGUGGGAGGAUCAAGGUGGCUAAACUGAAAUCUGCAUAACACCUUUUUUUUUUUUUUUUUUUUGAGACGGAGUCUUGCUUUGUCACCCAGCUGUAGUGCAGUGGCAUGAUCUUGGCUCACUGCAACCUCCACCUCCCUGGUUAAGCAAGUCUCCUGCCUCAGCCUCCCAAGUAGCUGGGAUUACAGGCCCAGCUAAUUUUUUUGUAUUUUUAGUAGAGAUGGGGUUUCACCAUGUUGGCCAGACUGGUCUCAAACUCCUGACCUCAGGCAAUCCGCCCGCCUUGGCCUCCCAAAGUGCUGGGAUUAUAGGCGUGAGCCACCACACCCGGCCUGAGAAUUGUCAUAUUUUUAAUUAAAUUAAAUUAAAAUUGUCAUAUUUUUAAUUUAACCCGAAAUCUGCAAAACACUUUUAAGUAAUGUCUUUUCCACUAUCUGCUUCGACAUCAGUGGGGUGCCAACACAAUCAUCUCGAUACCUUUUCUGCCACCUACCCCUCUGUGUAUUUUGCAUUAGAAAACUGUGAGAAAAAUGUUGCUUUUCUAGAAAUGCCCAAAGUUAUAAAAUGAGAGUUUUUUAAAAGACACUAAAGAGGUCAUGCCAGAAUUAAGUAUGAUAUCCUAAAAAAAAAAAAACUCUUUACACCAAAUAACACCCCAAAAAUCAUUUCUGCUUUGCAGGCUGACUUUCAGAAUGGAUUAAGUGUUUAAUUGUUAAGUUAAAUGAAUGUUUCCAAAGGUAUAGCAAAAAGUUUAAUAAAGGAGAUUAUAGAGCUUCCCAAACUGUGGUAUAAUAUAUUUAAGAGUGCUUAAAGCUGGCCUCCCAAAUAUACUUUAAGUUGUAUAAAGCUAUCAUAAUUAAAGCUGUACAGUAUCAAAGCAAGAAAAGACAGCACACUCAAUGGAUUAGAAUUCAGAAAUGUACCUAAGUAUCUAUUGGAGUUUUGUAAAUGAUAGUGUUGCUUUUUAAAUCAAGAAGGAAAAGAGCAAUUAUGCAAUUAAUUGUGUCAGGAGAAGCUAGAGACCUGGAGAAAAACCUAGACUCAUUUAUUCAAUAAAUGGAGGGUGUAUUACAAGGCAAGCAUUGUGCUAGACACUGAAAAUAAGAGCAAGGGAAAAACAAAACAACACAAUACAUUGCCCUCAUGAGACUUACAGUCAAGUAGGAAUAAGCCAUUAAUAAUCACAAAAAUAAAUGUAAAUUUACAACUCUAAUAAAUUCUACAACUCAUCCCCUAUCUCAUUUGGUUUAUAUCAAAAUGCAUUUCACAUGAAGCAAAGAUUUACAUUUAAAAACAAAACCAUAAAAGUAGUUGAAAAAAAUGGGUAAAUAUUUUUAUAUAAUUAGAAUUUUAAAAAGCAAGCCAUAAAGAGAAAAAAAAACAGAAAAAUCUGACUAUAAAAAUAAAAGCAUUUUCAUUUUAUAUUAGACACACACACAAAGUCAAAAGACAAAGAAAAAUAUCAGUAAUAUAUUUUAUAAGGUAACUAAUUUCCCUAAUAUUAAAAAGCUAUUACAGGCCAGGCACAGCAGCUCAUGCCUGUAAUCCCAGCAUUUUGGGAGGCUGAGACAUGAGAACCAUUUGAAUUUGGGAGGCAGAGGUUUCAGAGAGCCAAGAUUGCACCACUGUACUCCAGCCUGGGUGACAGAGUGAGACUCCAACUCAAUUUUUUUAAAACAUUAAUAAUAAUAAUAAAGCUAUGACAACUGAUGAAUAAGAAAAAGCCAAAAGCCCAACAGAAAAGUAGACAAAGCAGAAAGACAACCAACAGACAAAUUAAAUGAUGCUCGAAUGUACUAAUAAGUAACUACAAAUAAUAAAAUGACAUUUUUUCACCUGUCAGAUUAAUUCCCUAAAAAGGCUAUUUGCCAGGGUUAAAAAGAACAGAAAAAUCACUGUCAUACACUCUCAAGCUGAGUGAAUUGGCAUGGCCUUACUUGGAGGGUGAUGUGGCAACAUCUUACAUGAUUUUAAGCACUCAUACUUUGAUCCAAGCAUUCCACUUCUAGUAAAUUAUUCUAUACAAUUACCAAGAAAAUGAAGACUCUGGCUUUAAAAGAAGAUCAGAACAUUGUAUAUAUCAUGAUGGAAAAGAAUACAUAACUUUUGAGACGUUGACUCUAGGUCACACUAAAUAAAAUUCUUUUAUUUUUUAAAAUAAGUCUACGUGUUUUGAAUAGUAAAUACUGCAAUAGCAAAUAAAUGGAAUAGAAAAAAAAACCACUAGCACAAGUGUGCAAAUAUAAAUGUGCAGAAACAACUUACGUAAAAUUUGUAAUUAAAACAAUAAAAUCUGGGCUGGGCACGCUGACUCACACCUGUAAUCCCAGCACUUUGGGAGGCUGAGGCAGGGGGAUCACUCAAGGCCAGGAGUUCGUGACCAGCCAAGCCAACAUGGUGAAACCCCGUCUCUACUAAAAAUACAAAAAUUAGCUGGGUGUGGUGGCGCGCACCUGUAAUCCCAGCUACUUGGGAGGCUGAGGUGGGAGAAUCACUCGAAUCUGGGAGGCAGAAGUUGCAGUGAGCCAAGAUCAUGCCAUUGCACUCCAGCAUGGGUGACAGAGAAACUCUGUCUCAAAAAAAUAAAACAAUAUCUAGAAACAACCCUAAAAUCUAUCAAUAGGCUACUAUGUAAAGUAUAGUAUAUCCAUAAAAUAGAAUACUCUGCAGCCAUUAAAAUGAUUGAGACAAGGACAAAGUGUACUGACAUGGAAUAAUGUUGGAGAUAUACUAUUAAAUGAAAAAACAAGUGGCAAACUAGAUUGUGGUAUGUUCCCUUUUUUAAUUAAAAAAAAUUUUUACCAUGUGAAUGGGGAAAAAAUCUGGUUAUAAAUAGUUAAUGUUUUCUCUGGAGAGAUGAGGAACUUUCACUUUCUUUGUUAUACAUUUUGUAAGGUUUGAUUAUUUUGUAAGACACAUGUAUUAGAGAGGCAAAUACAUAGACAGAUGUUUUUAAAGUCUUUGAGGCUAGAGGCCGGGCGCAGUGGCUCACACCUGUAAUCACAGCACUUUGGAAGGCCGAGGCAGGCGGAUCACAAGGUCAGGAGAUCAAGACCAUCCUGGCUAACACGGUGAAACCCCGUCUCUACUAAAAAUUACAAAAGAUUAGCCGGGCGUGAUGGCAGGUACCUGUAGUCCCAGCUACUCAGGAGGCUGAGGCAGGAGAAUGGCAUGAACCUGGGAGGCGGAGCUUGCAGUGAGCCGAGAUGGCGCCACUGCACUCCAGCGUGGGCGACAGAGCGAGACUCCGUCUCAAAAUAAAUAAAUUAAUCAAAAAAAUAAAGUCUUUGAGGCUAGAAAACGUCCCGGGAAAGAGAGAGCUAUAUGAACAUGGGAGAAAGUACAGAAUGAGCACAGAGGAAAAUAAUCUCAAUAAAACAUAUAGUUUCAGAGUUUAAACAACUAUAUAAAUUAAGAAACUAGAGAAUCAAAAUUAAAGACACUUGUGCUGCAAACAACACUACCAAGAAACUGAAAAGACAACCCACAGAAUGGCAGAAAAUAUUUGUAAAUCAUGUAUCCGAUAAGGGACUUGUAUCCCAAACAUAAAGAACUCUUACAACUCAGCAAUAAAAAGACAAAUAAUCCAAUUCAAAAAUGGGCAAAGGAUGUUAAUAGACAUUUCUCCAAAGGAAAUAUACAAAUGAUCAACUGGCACAUGAAAUGAUGCUCACUACCAUUGUUCAUUAGGGAAAUGUAGAUCAAAACCACAAUGCAAUACUUCUUCACAUCCACUAGGAUGGCUAAAAUCAAAAAAAAGAAAAUAAGUUUUGGAUGUAGACAGAACAGAAACCCUCAUACAUUGCAGGUAAGAAUAUAAAAUGGGGCAGCUACUGUGGAAAACAGUUUGGAAGUUGCUCAAAACCUUAAACAAGGAGUCACCACAUGACCAAGCGAUUCCACUCCUAGGUAUAUGCCCAAGAAAAAAAUGAAAACAUGAUCACACAGAAAUUUGUACACAAAUGUUCAAGACCAUAUUAUUCAUAAUCGCCAAUAAGUAGAAACAAUGCCCACCAAUUCAUGAAUUGAUUUUAAAAAUGUGGCGUAUCCAUACAACAUAAUAUUAUUCAGCCAUAAAAAAAUAAUGAGAUUCCAACAUAUGUAAGAACAUGCAUGAACCUUGAAGGCAUUACACCAAGUGAAAGAAGUAAAAUACAACAGGACACCCACUGCAUAAUUCUAUUUAUAUGAAGUGUCCAGAUGACGUAAAUCGAUAAAAAUUAAUUUGUGGUUGCUUAGGGCUGAGAAGAGAGGUUGAAGAAAUAAGCAGUGACUGCUAAUGGGUACCAUGCUUCUUUUAAGGAUAAUGAAAAUGUUCUAAAAUGUAUUAUAGUGAUGGUCGCACAGCUCCAUGAAUACACUUAAAAAAAAUUGGGUGAACUGUAUGGUCUGUGAAAUGUACCUCAAUAAAGCAGUUGAAAAAAUUAUAAAUUAAAGAGAAACUGGAAGCCCCCUGAGGUUAAGUAAUUUGCCCAAAGUCAAACUGCUGGCUAGUAAAAACUGGAACCAGAAACAUCCCGAUUCCCGCACCAGUCUCAGUUCUUUAACUACAGAUUGUCGCAAGCAACUCUGAUGGGCCAAAAAGGUUCCACAAAGAGCUGGAAAAACAGAAAACCUAUUCUUAUCCUGGUAUCAGGAUAAGAAAAGGAAGAGAAAUUUAGGUAAUGCAACUAAAUUUUGGUUUUCAAAAUUUAAUGUGACUCCAAAAUGGAUGCGUGGCCUAAAAAUCUAACAACCAUUGAUGUAACCUCACUGCUAUACGAGGUUGUGACUUGGUAUAACAAUACCCCUUUUACUAAGAGCUCAAUUAGAGCAGGGCACUGGAUGCAGCUGCUGCCUCAAAAGAAAGGAGGAAAAUGAGAUCGGAAGAGGCAGUAGGCUAAAAUCACUGGCUACCCUUUUGCAUGGUCAAAGGCCAAUGAGUAACAUGCUUCAAACAAGUUAUUUUAUUCCUGAGAACUGUGAAAUCCUUUAAAGAGAUCCUAAAGUACCAUCCCAACAUUUAAUUACCUCCCAGAAUUACCAUACACAUGUAAGAUAUUUAGGUAUAAUAUAUGAAAGUGUUGUUUCUGCAGCUGACUUGGACCCAAAGAUCAUUGCCAGAAUACAACUACCCCAUUUGACUAGAAUAACAAUAUCCCUGUUGAUGUAGAAAUGGAAAGUAAGCCAAGAACAUACAAUCACUAAAAACAUUAUUUUGAGAGUUUAAAAAAAUGAAGUACCAAAAAAAUUCAACUAUUGUCGGAAUGCUGCUUAUGCAAUAUUAGAACAUUCUAACAGAAGGAAAAGACAACAGGAGGCAAGAAGCAGAAAGAGAGAAGAAAUCCUGCAGGUGUCCAACUCAUCCUAAUAAGAAACACACAGCUCUGCUCCUGUCUUCCACAAUAAAAACAGUUCUGUUUCUUGCAGCAUAUGAACCAAGAUUGCUUCCGCCAGAAACAGAAAACAACUUACUACAAGAAAAUGUCAACUUGUUCCACAGAACACUACACUAGCAGUGAACAGAUAUAAACCUCUUAAACUAAAGAGUUUGGCCAGUUUCUUCACCAAGUUUUUAAUACCACUGACUCAUUACCAAAUUCAGCUCAGUUCACACAAAUUCUAACAUAAGUGGACAAAAAUACCACCUCGAAGUACACACUAUAAAUAAUAAAAGAUUCUAUAAAAUAACUUGUCCUCAAAUUUCUAACAGCUUUGACUUCUUUAUCAUUUUAAAUUAACGCAGAAGCUCUCUUAGCCCACCUUCACUCAACCAACCUGCCAAAAUAAUCAAUGCUUCUCCUUGUCUCAGUAAAGCAACCAAUGCCCCCAACAUGCAAACUGGCCCCAACUAAUAACAGCUGUCUCUUACUCUUAUAAGCUUCUGCUGCUCCCAUUAUUAAGUUUUUUGGUUUUUUUGUGGUUGGUUUGUUUGAGAUGGAGUCUCGCUCUGUGGCCCAGGCUGCAGUACAGUGGCAGGAUCUUGGCUCACUGCAACCUCUGCCUCCCAGGUUCAAGCAAUUCUCCUGCCUCAGACCUCUCGAGUAGCUAGGAUUACAGGCAUGCACCAACACACCCAGCUAAUUUUUGUAUUUUUAGUAGAGACAGGGUUUCACCAGGUUGGCCAGGCUGGUCUGGAACUCCUGACCUCAGGUGAUCCGCCUGCCUGGGCCUCCCAAAGUGCUGCAAUUACAGGCAUGAGCCACCGCGCCGGGCCCAGCCUCCCGUUAUUAAGUUAUAUUCUUACCAAUAAUUAACUGUUUUUUUCCCAAACCUAUUUAUACCAGUUGCUCAUUAUUACAGUUAUGUAAUUUAAUUAAAUAGAAUGUAAACUGAUGAAAAAUUAAGGAGAUACGUUUCUAUGAAAACUUCAUCAAAUGCUUAAAAAGACAUAGUAAAUUAGACGUGAAUGAGAUGAGUAUAAAAGACUGGGAAGGAGUCAUAAAAAUCAAGAGGGAUGCUGUACUAAUAUUGCUUCACAAAUGCCAUUAAAUUCAUGUUCUGCUUUAAAAAGCAAACAAAACUGGAAAUUAUAGAUAAUGAAUUAUGGGUGUAUUUAAUGGAAACAAAAUUAAGGAACUCCAACUAGGGCACACAAAGAAAAAGCCUUGGCCCUGCAUCAACAGGUUAACAAAAUAUUAACCUAUGUUAACAAACAUUAAUAUUUAAUAUUAACAAAAAACAUUAAUGUUUGUUAACAUAGGUUAAGAUAUUUUGAUAUUAACCUAUGUGCUAAUCAAUCUUUCUUUCUUUCUUUUCUCUCUCUUUUCUUUCUUUCCUUUUUAGAGACAGGGUCUCUGUCACACAGGCUGGAAUGCAGUGGCGCAACCAUAGUUUACUGCACUGUAAUCUGGAACUCCUGGGCUCAAGCAAUCCUCCCAGCUCAACCUCCCAAGUAGCUAGAACUACAGCCACUUACCACCAUCCACCGCUCACUUAUUUUUAUUUUUUGGUAGAGAUGGGGCCUCACUACUACCGUGCUGCUCAGGCUGGUUUUGAACUAGCUAGCCUCAAGCGAUCCACCUACCUAGACCUCCCAAAGUGCUGGGAUGGCAGGCAUGAACCACCAUACCCAGCCCUGGGGUUUGGUUUUGUUUGUUUGUUUAAAGAAUCUUCAUCUAUUUAGAGAUACAUGCCAAAAUAUCUACCGAUGAAAUGAAAGGAUUCUGGGAUAUGCUUCAAAAUCCAGGAAAAAAGCGGGGAAGUGGGAAAGGUAUAAAUGCAAGAUUGGUCACAAGAUGACAACUGUUUAAACUAGGCGACAGGCACAUAGGGGUUCAUUAUAUUAUUCCCUCUACUUUCAUUUAUGUUUGAAAUUUUCCACAAUACAUACUUUUUAAAAGAGUAAUGCAUGAGCCAGGCAUGGUGGCUCAUGCCUGUAAGCCUAGCACUUUAGGAGACCGAAGCAGGCGAACUGCCUGAGCUCAGGAAUUCGAGACCAUCCUGGCCAACAUGGCGAAACCCCAUCUCUACAAAAAAUACAAAAAUUGGCCGGGCAUGGUGGCAUGUGCCUAUAGUCCCAGCUACUCAGGAGGCAGAGGUUGCAGUGAGCCGAGAUCAUGCCACUGCACUUCCAGCCUGGGCGACAGAGCAAGACUCCGUCUACAUAAAAAAGAAAAACCAAAAAAAGAUUAAUGCAUGAAUAUAUAUUUCUGAUUUUCCUGCUUUAUCAGUUUUUCCCCUCAAUUAACUAAGCACAUCAUAACCAAAACUUACUGUAUAGGAGGGCUUCUAUUGGAGAUAAAAGAAAAGCAGUUACCACCAAAUGUCCAAAACACAGAUAAUUCCACAGUCAUAACCCCACAACAUACUAAGCACAAUAUCCUAUAUGGCCCAAUUACCCUUGAAAAUCUCUUAACCCAUAAAGUACAAUGCACACAGCAAAUUUAAACAUGAUAGGACUGCUGCAUUACCAUAUUUAUUCAUAUAACUUUCUCCUUCACAAUCUCCUUGACUAUCUUUUCACCAUUAAAACGAGGGAGGAGCAAUUUACAACUUUUAUUAAUCUCUGAAAUUCUCACGCUGGUUUACCAAAAAAUAGUUAUUUAAAAAUCAAUGGUAGGCUGGGUGCAGUGGCUCACGCCUAUAAUCCCAGCACUCUGGGAGGCCGAGGCGAGUGGAUCACGAGGUAGGAGUUCAAGACCACCCUGGCCAGCAUGGUGAAACCCCGUCUCUACUAAAAAUACAAAAAAAUUAGCCGGGUGUGGUGGUGGGCGCCCGUAGUCCCAGCUACCUGGGAGGCUGAGGCAGGAGAAUCUCUUGAACCCAGGAGGCAGAGGUUGCAGUGAGCAGAGACUGCGCCACUGCACUCCAGCCUGGGUGACAGAGUGAGACUCCGUCUCAAAAAAAAAAAAAGUCAGUGGAGAGGCAAGGUGCAAUGGCUCACUCCUGUAAUCCCAGCACUUUGGGAGGUCGAGGCAGGUGGAUCACAAAGUCAGGAGUUGGAGAGCAGCCUGACUAACACGGUGAAACCCCGUCUCUACUAAAAAUACAAAAAUUAGCCAGGUGUGGUGGCACGUGCCUGUAAUCCUAGCUACUGAGGAGGCUGAGGCAGGGGAAUCACUUGAACCGGAGAGGCAGAGGUUGCAGUGAGCCAAGAUCACGCCAUUGUACUCCAGCCUGGACAACAGAGCGAGACUCCAUCUCAAAAAAAAAAAAAAAAAAAAUCAAUGGUUUGGGUGAUCAAGAGUCUGUUUCUCAUUAACCUUUCUUCUUCCCUUCAGCAAUUUCUCCAGUUUGGGUUUUUGUCCCUUUAUCAAAGAUCAGGAGAGAAUGAUGAUUUAUAAAAAGCAAGUAAAAGGUGAGACUUGGCCGGGUGCGGUGGCUCAUGCCUGUAAUACCACCACUCUGAGAGGCUGGGGGCGGGGGGUGGAUUACUUGAGGUCAGGAGUUCAAGACCAGCCUGGCCAACAUGGUGAAACCCAUCUCUACUAAAAAUACAAAAAUUAGCCAGGCGUGGCUAUGGGCACCUGUAAUCCCAGCUACUAGGGAAGCUGAGGCAAGAGAAUCGCUUGAACCCAGGAGGCGGAGGUUGCAGUGAGCCGAGAUCGCACCAUUGCACUCCAGCCUGGGUGACAGAGCAAGACUCUGCCUCAAAAAAAGGUUAGAUUUACACUUGAAUUCUUGUCAUUCCUCUUCCAGGUUUGGUACAGGGAAAGAUGGAUUACACAGCUGCUAUAACCUUCUCCUGACUUGUACUAUAUCUAUGGGACUAGGUUUAGAGGUGUAGUAGAGACUUAAAAGCCCUACACCCCCAAGCCAACAAAGGCAGAUGGGGAGACAGAUAAGAUAAAGAGAGCCAGUGUGGCUUGCAGUGAGCCAAGCCUGCUCAUACACUGCUCAGGAGGUUAAUUCUAGUGCAGCCUUUCUGGAAAGCAAUGUGGCAAUAUACAUAUUAGGUGCCGUACAAGCAUGUGUUCCCUUUGGCACGGUAAUUUCCCUUUCAACAAUAUAUCCGGAGCAAAAAAUCAGAAGUACAUCAAAGACUUGUGCACAACAAUGGUUAUCACAGAAAAUUUGUAAAGUGAAAAACUAGAAAUAAAAUUAUAAAAAAGAUUCAAAAAAUAACAGCAAUGUUAUGGUAAAGUAAAACUGAUGUUGGCCAGGCGUGAUGGCUCACACCCGUAAUCCCAACACUUCGGGAAGCCAAAGAGGGAGGAUCAUUUGAGCCCAGGAGUUCAAGACCAGCCUAGCAACAUAGCAAGACCCCCAUCUCUACUAAAAAUAAAAUUUUUUAAAAUUAGCUGGGCAUGGUGGCAUGCACCUGUAGUCCCAGGUACUCAGGAGGCUGAAGUAGAAGGAUGACUUGAACCUAGGAGGUGGAGGCUGCAGAGAGCCAUGAUCACAUCACUGCACUCCAGCCUUAGGUGACAAAGCGAAACCCUAUCUCAAAAAUAUAAAAACAAAAAACAAAAAACUAAGGGAUUUGAAUUCAAAUUGCAAGACUUACUUUAGAUACACUGAUCUUCCUAAUAGUAAAAGUUUGAGAUAUGCCAAAAAUCAAUUACUAGCCCAGAAAAGCUGUGAAAUCUCCUUACUCGGAGAUUUGUGAGAAAAAGGUAGAAAAUUACUUUUCUUUAACAUCUUAACUAUAGAUAGGAAAUUCCAAUAGUAAAAGUCAAAAGAUGUAUUAAGGGUAUAAAAACAAACUCAGCUCUUAUUUUUAAUCCUUAUAUUCAUGUACUCAAUGAAUAUCUGCAGACAUUGCACGAAACAUAAGGAAUACAGCAGUGAAUAACAGAUUAAAAUUCCGGCCCCCACAGGGCUUACAUUAGAUUAUCACACUGUGCCAUCCUAAUGAGCAGUAUAAGUUAGGUUAGGUAUUUUUCUUUGGUCCUUUUUUAUUUGAGAAGUGCUCUGGCUCUGUUGCCCAGGCUGGAGUUCAGUGGUGCGAUCAUAGCUCACAGAAACCUUGACCUCCUGGGCUCAAGCGAUCCUCCCACCUCAGCCUCCUGAGUAGCUGGGACCACAGGCAUGCACCACCACACCCCUGGUUAUUUUUAUUAUUAUUAUUUGCAGAGAUAAGGUCUCACUAUGUUGCCCAGGCUGGUCUCCAACUCUGGGGCUCAAGUGAUCCUCCUGCCUCAGCCUCCCAAAGUGCUGGGAUUACAGGCGUGAACCACUGCAUCUGGCCAGGUAUUUUCUUUUUUUACUUUUAAGUAAAAUUAUGCUUGGAAAUUUCAAGUAUGUCAAAGCACUGUCAGAAAAUAAACGGCAUCUAGCACUUGGACUAAUCCAGAGAUGCCCUUAAUAAAUGUUUAUAAGAGUAAGAAGCUGGCCGGGCGCGGUGGCUCACGCCUGUAAUCCCAGCACUUUGGGAGGCUGAGGCGGGCAGAUCACGAGGUCAGGAAAUCGAGACCAGCCUGGCUAACACAUGGUGAAACGCCGUCUCUACUAAAAAUACAAAAAAUUAGCUGGGCGUGGCGGCAGGCGCCUGUAGUCCCAACUACUCUGGAGGCUGAGACAGGAGAACGGCGUGAACCCGAGAGGUGGAGCUUGCAGUGAGCCAAGAUCGCGCCACUGCACUCCAGCCUGGGCAACAGAGUGAGACUCCGUCUCAAAAAAAAAAAAAAAAGACUAAGAAACUGUGUGACUCAGGUAUUGGGGUGGCAAGAAGACUUCAUUUCACUGAAUGCUCCUUUGUACCUUUUGAAUUUUGGGCCAUAUAUCAUCCAUUUCUAUUUCUGAUAAUUUUGCACGUUUAUUGGAUGGAUGGAUGGAAUAAAAAAUUUCUUCUCCAAAAAAUUCCGUCUCAAGAAAUGUGGGCAACUAACCUACAUUUUCACAUUCAAUUCUGGGGGGAGCUAUGAAAAGUAAAGUAUACUGCUGGUAAACAUGCGCUGGAGCUGAAACUAGACAGAAAUUUGAUAAUUUUUCAGAACUUCAUCAAAACCUAAAUUUAGUUUAAAAUAACUGGCCGAAAGUAUCCAACUGAGUGAGCUCAGCCCACACAGACAAGCUUCAACAGGCAAUGAGUCUGCUUCUCUUUCCGUUUCAACUUCUGGGAAAUGUGGCUAAGUAUUCACAAUCUGAUUCCUACCUCUUUGAAAAGCCUAAGUCUGAGAUAAAAUACCAUCAGUGUCCAGAGGCUCCUUGUCUACCACGGAUCACACACCUGCUAAACACAAAUAUGUUCCUAACAUAACUUACUGAUGGCUCAUCCAACAGUUCCGUACUCGCUUCCGCAAUUCUAUUCUGAACAGAUCCAAAAGAAGUCUUUCAAGCUAAUUCAUUCAAGACUGUUGAGACUUCUCAAGGACAUUGCCUACGCCAUUUAUUUAGCAAUAUUUUAUUAGAUUAGGAUAAAAGCCCAUUUGAAUGUAUAUAAUUUUCACCCUCUUGAUGUUAUCAGUCAUCCACGGGACUGUAUGACUACAUUAUUAUCCCAGAAAGGGACCAAGCUACUCGCUAUUAGGAGGAACCAGGGACUCACCUACCUGAUAGGUGAGAUCAUUCAUCUGGAGAACAGCCAUAGCCCACAGACCAGAAACUAGAACUAUAUUAAGAAGAAUUCCUUCUUGUGUUUACUUAGGAUAAUGAAAAAAAAAAAAAAGAGGAACCCUUGAUAUAAAUGGUUCUCUUGACCCUCACCUGUGUCAUCAAGGUAUAUAUCUAGAUGACCAGUUCUCUUAAUGAGUUAUAAGAUGUCACCAUCCCUGGAAAGUGUUAGUCAUUUAGUAAGUGAGGAGCCCAUCUAAGAAACAUACCCUCAAAGGUAGAUCAGACCAGCCCAGCAGAACAAAUGUAUAAUUACCAAUAUUCCCUAGGAGUUAGCUAGAUAUAAUGACAUGAGAAAACUACGUAAGGCAGACUACUUUUACGGUCAUUGCAUGCUGUGUUUACUUCUUUCCCUUUUCAUUUUCUUCAUAUCUCAGUCAUGCCAAGGGGCAUCUGACUAGCAGAUUUAAAGGCAAAGCAGUGGACCCAUAGGGUACUAAAAGUUAGUGGCAAAGGUGACAGAGUGGUAUAAUGCCAAAGGACAGGUGAAAUACAGGGUUGGAAUAUUUACUCUUCCUCUCUACUCGGAAAUGUUUCCUCUCAUCAUGACAUCUCGCUUUUGGUUUGUCUUAUAGAAAGGAUAAAUAUCUUAGACUUUAAUUGGUAUAGGUGUAUCUCGCUUCCCCAGUAAAAAAGCAAGUGCUCAGAAGGCAAGGGCACUGUUUUCUGUGAUUAGAGAAGUCAGGGUAGAAUUAAGUAGGAGUAGUGAUAACUGGAUUCUAACUCCAGCUCCCCCACUAACUACCUAUAAGACUCCGGGAAAAUGGGAGUGAGGAGAGAGAUGAGCCAUGAAUCUAAUGGAUAAUUGGUCUAAAUGACUUUAAAAGUCCGUAAAAUCCUGAGGUUUUUUUUUUCUUUUUUUUUUUUUUUUUUUUUGAGACGGAGUUUCACUCUUGUUGCCCAGGCUGGAGUGCGACGGCACGAUCUCGGCUCACUGCAACCUCUGCCUCCUGGGUUCAAGCAAUUCUCCUGCCUCAGCCUCCCAAGUAGCUGGGAUUACAGGCAUGUACCACCACGCCUGGCUAAUUUUUUGUAUUUUUAGUAAAAACAGGGUUUCGCCAUGUUAGCCAGGCUGGUCUCGAACUCCUGACCUCAGGUGAUCCACCUGCCUCAGCCUCCCAAAGUGCUGGAAUUACAGGCGUGAGCCACCAUGCCAGGCAAAACCUGAGAUUAUAAAUUCUGUUAAGUCUGUCUUUCCAGACUGUGGAGAAGACAGAACUAGAAUAGAACCUCUCUAAGGUCUUUUUCAUGCCCAAUAAAUCAACAAAUACUUGUUAGUUGAUCAUGCUUAAUUUAUGUGCAAUUUAUGUCAAUAUUCCUCUACAGUGAGAAAGAAUAUAAGUUGUUAAAACUGAACUCCUCCCUUGUGCCAAGAAAUGCAUCAGAAAAGGAUUCUUGCUCUUAACCAUAAAAUAACCAGCAUGAGUUGCUGUUUUUCUUUUGGUUUGUUUUCCUGAGACAGGGUUUCACUCUGUCACCCAGGCUGGGAUACAAUGGUGUGUCCAUAGUUCACCACAGCCUCAGACUCCCAGGAUCAAGUGAUCCUCCCGCCUCCACCUCCCAAGUAGCUGAGGCUACAGGUGCGCACCACCACACCCAGCUAAUUUUUAAAUUGUUUGUAGAGAUGGGAUCUCACUAUGUUGCCCAGGCUGGUCUUGAACUCCUGGCCUCAAGUGAUCCUCCUGCCUCAUGCCCCCCCAAAGCACUGGAAUUACAGGCAUGAGCCACCACAUCCAGCCACGUUUUAAAAACAUAAAUUAGGUGAUAUUAGUGUUCUGCUUGAUACUCUCUGAUGUCACCCCCGUGUCACACCCAAUUCCAUAAAAUGGCCAUAAGACCCAGAUGAUCUGGCCCCUCCUACAUGUCUGGCCUCAUCUUUUCCCAUCCUUCCACUUGUUUGCUAAGGUACCAUGGCAUCAUGACCUUGUGUCUAAUCUUUGACCAAACCAAACUCACUUCUGCCCCAUGGCCUUUGCACAUGCCAUUCCUUCUGUAAGGAAUCUUCUGUCUUCCAAAUCUUCCCAGGUUGGCUUUUUCUCAUCACUCAGGUCUCAGCUCAAAUAUCAUCAUCUUGGAAAGAAAGGUCUUCCCUGACCACUCUAUCUGAGGCAGCAGCCCCCCCCAGGGAUUCUCUAGUCCGUUUAUUUUCUUCCUGGUAUUCAUUCCUAUAUGAAAUUUUUAAUUUUUUUACAUGUCCCUUGUCUGUCUCCUUCUACUAGAAAGCUCCAGAAAGGCAGAUGCUUUUUGUCUCCCUUGUUCAUUGGUGCACUCCAGACCCUAGAAUGGAACCUGACAAAAAAUUUUCAUUCAAUAAAUGUGUUGAAUGAAUAAAUGAUUAAGGGAAAGGUUCCAUCUCUAUGCAGAUGUCUUAGGUGUUGUUUUACAGUUACAGUGGCUCUGGUGAGUAGAAAGCAUUUCUUUUUCUUUUCAAAGCAUCCAUUUUGUUCUCUUUUACGCGAUGAACUAGAAAACAUUAGCCAGACUGAAGCCUGAAAAAUGAAAACAGCACUUCUGGCACAGAAAUAACUAGUCUGGGCACCUCUGGCUUGAGCGAGAUCUAUGACUUUCUAGGGAGCUGGCACCAAAGUCAAAAUGUUAAAAUAAACAUCUUUGAUGUAGAAAAUGGAAUACUGGUAUUUUGACUCUGGAGAGACUAGUCUCAAUCAGUCUUAGCUCUUUACAAAAUUUCAAAAACGUUUAGCAACCCCAUCACCACUGUAUCAAACUGAACAUAAUCAUCUUUCAAUAGUCACUUCUAGAUUGUCUAGGGAUGGGGCUAUCUUCCUCAAAUGUAUCUAAUGUAAAUUCUGCUUUCAAUUUCUUUUUGACAUAAUUCUCUCCUACUUACCAAAUGAAUCUUGUUUUCAGUUUUCUAAUGGGUGAAAGCAUCAUCUCAUGUGCUUCGUUAAACUCUUCUUUAGAGGUGAAAAUAAUGCUUUUAGCCCACUUUGACUUGUUCUCCUCAUGGAAAUGAGUUUGCACUAAACCACACCGAUGUGUCUGGCUAGUCAAUAUUUGGAAAGGGGUCAUAGGGCAAAAUGUCUUCUCUGUGUAAUAUUUAAAGUUAAGAAUUCUGACCUUGGCCGUCUAAGGCCUUUGCUUGUGCACGCAAGGGCAAAUGUGUCCUUAAGCUUGCAGAAACAUUUCUUAAAUAUUUCACUUAAACCUAAUUUAAGUGGACCUCUGGAGAAAAGACUGCACUCAACUCUGUUCCAUCAUCAACAUAACAAAAAUUAGUUACACAAAACACACUGAAAAUUCAAGGCAGCCCAAAGCAAAAGCCAGUGUUGGUCACAGUUUUCAUUAGAUAAGUCACAUUGCUAUUUAAAAAAAAAAAAAAAAGUUUAACUAAUGAAAAUUUAUGUUUUAAAAUGCUGAUUUCAUGAGAUUAGCCAGCCUGUACCCUAUACAAAUUAAAUCCAACUAUCUCAAAGUGGCACCUGCAAUAGUAGCAAACUUUUUUUUUACCAGGAAAGUCUAUCGUCAGGAUGGCAUCUACCUACACAAAACUAAUGGCAUAUACAUUCAUGAAUCGUGCCCAAGGGGUGAGAAGCAAAAAAAGGAGGACUAUUAUUAUGUCCAUAAUAUUAUUAUGUUACUAAAACAUCUGAUAACGAUGAUGAUGAUGGUAAUAUUUACGUCAUGCUAUUAGGGCACCAUGCUGCUCUAAGAGCUUUACAUACACUAUCUUCUUUAAUCUUCAUAACACCUAAACUUGUGAGGUAAGUACUACUGUCAUCCCACUUUACAGAUGAGGAAACCCAAGCACACAGAAGUUAAAUAACUUCUCACAGCCUAAAAAUAUCCAACUAUUAAGCAGCAAAAGAUUCAAACUCAGGUUGCUUUAUCCAAAGCUGGAACUCUUACCACAAACCAAUAACAGGCAAGUGAUAUAUAUUUGUUGAAAUAUAGUUUAAACGUAUUUGGCCAAAGGCUUUUAUAGUCAUGCAUACUUUAAAAAAUGCAUAUGGGCCAAGCAUUUGGGUUACAGACUCAUGCCUGUAAUCCCAGCACUUUGGGAGGCUGAAGCAGGAGGAUCACUUGAGUCCAGAAGUUCAAGACCAGCCUGGGCAACAUAAUGAGACCCCCAUCUCUACAAAAAAAAUUUAAAAAUUAACCUGGUGUGGUGGUAUAAGCCUGUAGUCCCAGCUACUUAGGAAGCUGAGGCAGGAGGAUCUCUUGAGCCUGGGAGUUGGAGGUUACAGUGAACUCUGGCAGUGUCACUGCACUCUAGCCUGGGUGACAGAGUAAGACCCUGCCCCAAUAUUUUAAAAAAGGAAAAAAAAUGCAUACAAAAUCUAUCUACUCUUUGUUCCCAAUCAUCCAACUAGUGAAGGUAUAAUUAGGCACAGGCAACAGACUACCUGCAAUUUGAGAGCAGAAAACAUUCUUUUUUAAAAAUAUCUGUAAUACUUUAUAGUUUCCUACCAAAAAAAAAAACAGAGCCAGAGAACCUCAGGCUAAGUAAGGCUCUUCCAAAGAAAAGGAAAUCAAAGCAGGUAGGACAAAGACAGCCAGGGUGAGCUACUAACCAAAGUAUGUCACAGCUGAACAUUCUCUCCUGGUAACUGUUCUGCAGUGCCGCUCUAAGCACUGCAGUGCUGCCAAUAUGAAGUCUGAGCUCAUGAAUGCCGUGCUGCAAAAGUAACCAACAACCAAAUAGGAAAAGCUUCACUUUUCUCUACUGAUUUUAUUCAUCCCAGGAUCCCACUCUAGACGGUUUGAGAGUUAACAGAAUUUGGGAAAGGGCCAGCUUAACCACGCAGUAUUGGAUGGAGUGCAGUAUCCUACUCAAUAAAUGAGGUUUACUUUAGUCUCUUAGUUCUUGGAAUGGGUCAUGUGUGUUUAAAAAAAAAAAAAAAAAAAAAAAGGAGGGGGAUCAUAAUUAUUUCUAAUGUUCAGAAAAUACCUAUUACCUAACCUCCUUCAGCCAACACAAGUAUCAUCUGAAUUACCUCUGUCUGACUGUUAUAUAUGGUUAUAAGAAAACCCAGACCAUUUCCUACAAGGGGAAAAAAAAAUCACACACCUCUAAAAGACAAAACAACAAAUGACACAUUCUGGAGACAGAUGGGGGAAAAAAAUAACUCUCUGUUUCCAAAUGACCCCUCUGCAGAAGUAAGAUAAAGGCUGCAGUGCAUGGGGAGAAAAAAAAUCAACCUGAGUUAACUGAAGCAGCAGCUUCGGCAACUUCUAGUACCUAUGCACCUUCACCAUUGUUAUAUAACCAAACCAUAACCUUAAUAGGCCAUCGUACUGUAUGUCGACAGCUGUUAGGCACAUCUAAGCUGUCCGCAUUUGAGAACCCCUUCCAAAGUGGAUUCAGAGAAGCAUGGAGCAGGCCAAAAUAUGCUCCUAGUUCACCCAGAGCACGUGACAACUCCUUGUGAAUUAAGCUUCACUCAUGUAGUCAGAGUAAUUUAAGCAGCAAAAGAUAUAGCACUUGUAACUGUAACUAGGAAAUUGCACACUGCUACAGAAACACAAAUGAAUGCUGGUGUGGCUCCUUCACACAUGCAACUCAUUGUCCAAGCCAUUUCAGUCUCAUUCAAGACUUUGAAUAUUUCCAUACAUAGGAAUUGCACAACUGCAUACCACAAAUGAUCAAAGAUAAAAACCAACAUAAACAGUGACACCCGUUUGUAAACAAGCCAGUGUUUAAAAUGCUGCAGUCCUAAAGGAUACCAAGGUCUCAGAGAAAAACUAUGAAAAACACACGCACGCACAUAUACACACACAUGAAAAUUAGAAAGCGGGCAGACCAGCCAUAAUUAGGCACUGGCUUUGCUGACUACUGAAGAUAGAAAUGUCUCUUUUAUAUUAAAGCCAAGAAUCAACUGUUUGCAAUUACAUUUACGAAAACAUUCAACCCUGUCUGUAACAGAUUUUAUCAAUAUUUUGGUGUAUCCAAGGGCUGGAAGAUUCAAAAUUCUUUAAAUCAUGAAACCAUAAACCAGGCAACCAAUUAAGUUCAUGGAGACUAUCCCCCAGAGGUCAGAGCAAAAUAACCACAGGAGCACAAAGUGAUUACACAGAAAAUAGGCAGAAAAAAAGGAAAGAAAUAGCAAAACAAGGAACAAGGCAUAUUGUUUGUAAAUGUAAGUUUGCCUUGGCUAAUAGUCAACUAGACUGGAAACACGGUGAGGGGCUGGGGUGGCAAGUGAGGAGCACACCAAAGUCUUGGCUCAAUCGACUUCCCCUGACUUCCCCUCAGGGUCUGAGGGAGCCCUGGACUUUGGUAUCUCAUUCAGCUCUGACCUGCAGACUGGAGGCCCUGUGAUAAAAACGGACAAAAAGGCUGAAGAGGGCCCUCCAGAGGAAGUGAAACUGACCAAUCAAUUCGCCACAGCCACCCACCCUGACACCCUGGUAAGAAGGGCCCCUUGUAGCCUCAGGCAGAAAGAUGGUGGGGAAGGAACUUCAGGUUGCAAGUGAUCAGGAGAGAAGGCCUAGAUAAGUCACUGGCUUCAGAAAACAAGCCACUGCCAAAAAAGCAAAAACAAGGUAGGUCAUGACAACCAGAGGCUAGGCUGAGGAGGUGAGGGGAAUUGAUGUGGCUUUGGUAGGAGGCGGCAGCAGCUGUAAGGGUUCUUCAUUCCUCAGGCUGAGGGAAAACACAAGCUGCAGUUCUAAACAUAAUGAAUGACUACAUUAAAAGUAUUCAUUCAAGUAAGAUAUUGAGCAAAGAAAAUUUUAGAGUAAAAAUGGGCUUUGCGGGUUCCACCAAAACCAAAAGAUUCCUCCUGAUGUCUUAGAUUCCAGUCCUCCCAACGAAGGCUACAUGAAAGUGCUACCAUAUUUCCUCAAAGAAUUUUACAUGCAUACAUAUAUAGCUUCCUAAUUGACCUUGGCCAAUUUCACUCCUAUAGCGCCUCAAAUCCCUUUGAGAACUAAGGGCUCGAUGAGUGUAAUCUCCCGGUGUCUGGGUUCUUCAAUCACAAGCUUCCCCCCAACCAGUAAAAGCCCACCCUGGGUUCUACAAAGCCCACAAUUCCCGACCCUCCAACAACUAAAAAUAACCAGCAAUCAGCUCUCCCAAAUUGUUUAACCCCUGACUACCUAGUGCCAUCAUAAACCUGGGACAGCCCCCACCCCCACCUCACUCCCCCAUUCCCUGGGCCCCUUCCUGUGGACAAGCAAAGCAAUUUCCCCCUUAUUUCCCCAUUUUCCUCAUUGCCUCCUCCACUAAUCGUGUCUCCUCGGGAUCCCCUUCGCACCAUCUAUCAGUCUUAGAUGAUCAAAUGCGGAUUCCUGUCUCUGUCUUAAGGCACCAGGAUCCUGGGACCUCCCAGCGCCCUGCAGACGUGCACAUUCCCAGUCCGUGCCCCAGCCGUCCUGGGUCCCCUUACAAGCCCGGGUCUGCCACUUCACCCUUGUUUUUCCCCAUCCUCCGGGUCCACAUUUCAUAUGCCCCUGCCCUCAUUCCCUUAUGAUUCCCUAGCUGCUGGUUCCAGAGUCUUCUGGGCUUACAGUCUCCCGGCCCUCGGGGAGUUCCGACCCCUUCUUUCCAAUCAUCCCCUUUACCCGCCUGCCCUCAGCCCCGAGGACCCCUCCCCGCGCCCGGCUCCUGGGCGCCGGUGCUCUGUGCCCUCGGCCCCCUGCUUGGAGUUCCGCCGUCUCGAGUCCCAGGUGUCCCUAGCUCCGCGCCCGCCCCGCCGCGGCUGGCUCCCUCCCGCCUCCCGGCCCCCAACGCUCCCACCACGCGCCGCGCUCGCCGCCCCGACCCCCCGGCUGGGGGGCGCGGACCUCUCCCGGCCCCGCCACGCUCCGACUGCCGCCUGGCCCCUGCGCCGGUACCUUGGCCUUGGUGACGAGGUGCGUGGCCCGCUUGACCAC
RNAcentral lists this long non-coding RNA (95377 nucleotides) under Homo sapiens (human). Its description in RNAcentral is "HSALNT0365085". The stretch from base 13093 to 13188 matches the Rfam family "Y RNA". Lineage: Eukaryota; Metazoa; Chordata; Mammalia; Primates; Hominidae. The record is from RNAcentral.